This 119965-nucleotide long non-coding RNA is filed under the name Coffea arabica (coffee). Its description in RNAcentral is "long non-coding RNA (CARA_LNC007267)". The stretch from base 112222 to 112328 matches the Rfam family "Plant small nucleolar RNA R71". The record is from RNAcentral. Lineage: Eukaryota; Viridiplantae; Streptophyta; Magnoliopsida; Gentianales; Rubiaceae.
ACCUCCUCCCCCAGUUUACCUGUCUCCACCUCCACCCUAUCAUCACUACUACGGUUCUCCUUCUCCUCACCACUACUAAGCAAGUGCAUAAGUUUUGAGGUAAUAAUACCUAUCCAAAACUUUAUCAACACAAACUGCCAUGUAUAUCAUGCUAAGGACGUACACUUGAUCCAUGAAAAUGACUAGUAGAAGAUUUUUUUUAAGAACCAAAGAAAUACAUUAUUUUUUCGGUCUGUUUUCAAGAAUUUGAGCAGUAUACAGAUUAAAGAGUGUUUUUUUUUUUGUAAACUUGCUUGUCAACUUAAAAAUGCACAUAGCUGAAAGCCAACUGAAUAUUUGCAGGCAAAGGAGAAGGCAAUCGGUGUUUGAGACCUUCAAGAAGAUGUAGAAGAAUAAGAAUAAAAGCCCAAUGCGAGGAUGAUUCCAAGUUUCUACGUUACCAUUUCUACAUCUAAAUUGACUUUAGCUCCUGAGUUCCAUGUUUAUGGGGUUUGUACCGUUUUACGUACCAUGCAGUACAUGCUUGCAAGGUUUUCUGUCCUGUUGGCAAACUGCAGGUCCAUAUAAUAAAUGAAUACUAUUUACAUUACGACACUUUUCUCUUUUUCUCUUAUAUUUUGUCUUUAAUAUUGUUGAUCAUUUUUUUUUUAUCAAAAGCAUCAAAUGCUUAGGUAAUUUGGUCUAAUGCUAAUUGUUUUACUUUUAUUUUUCACCUACACCCCUUUUCAACUCAAAGGAUGCUAUAGUUUGUGAUAAUUGUUUAAGACCGAAGCAUGAUACUAAUAAAUAUCUCAUUGAAAGUCAAGGAAACUAACAUUAGGAAAAGUUUAAAUCUUGAUUUGAUGAAACUAUUUAUUCGUGGAAUUUAGAGAUACAAAACUCAAAUUGUGACGGUGUUGUUGCUAAAUUAUUAAGGACAUUAUCACCAUUAUUUUUCCCUGAUCACUAGUUUCAACUGCAAUGAUCUCAAUCUUUUUGUGACUAAUUCUUUCCUUAAUAAUUUAUAAAGACAAAACUCACAAAGAAUAUGUGACUAAUUCUUUCCUUUCGUCUUCUAAAGAAAAUGCCAACUGUUAGUUUAUCAAGGGGAAAAAGGAUCGACAUCAGUUAUUAUUGAAACUAGUAAGGAAUAAAUAAUGGUGAUAAUGUCCUUAAUAAUUUAACAACAGCACCAUCAGAAUUUGACUUUGAGCUUCGGUCUUAAACAAUGAUCACAAACUACAGCAUCCUUUGAGUUGAAAAAGGAAGUAGGUGAAAAGAAAAGUAAAAAAUACAAUUAGCAUUCCCUCAAAUUGUAGAAAGUUAGGUAGCAUUAUAGACAAGUUGAUAGCGGCAAUUUUACAUUUCAAACUUCACCUAUUCAAUAACUAAUUCGAUGGCUUGCUACAUGGUCAAUCUUUGGACCCCUUCCUGCCUCCAGAUAUCCCUUUCCUCAAUCAGGGGCUUCUACAAUUACCAGUUUCAAUUGUAUGGUAUAGUGUAAAUAUCAACAAAUUAGAUGUAGAUGCUAACAUAAUAAAUGUGAAUGCUAAGACAGCAACAUACAAUCGAACCUGCAAUUGUAUGAACCCCAAUCUCGCUUCCUAGUCCACCAUCUUUCUCUAGGUAAUAAUCUCCCUUCUAAUUUAUUCACAAAAUGCACCUUUCAUCACCUCCAAUAGCGUCGACAUGAUCUUUACCCUAGAAGACUAUUCACCGACUCUCAAUUGACGUCAGAAAAUCUAAGAGUAAUUCUACUUUACCCUAAGAUUGAUAUCAACAAGACAAGGACAAUUUAGAAUUAUUACACGCCUCUUCUUAAUAGGAAAAAGAAAUAGAGAAGAAAGUCAGGCCAGGUCUAAUUUCUUUUCAAAGGCAAUACAACAUUACGAAAUCAAGCAUUCAUUCAUACAAAUAUUUCAUAGUCACCGGUUUGCUGAGUAGAAAAAUUUAGACAAAAACUUAAUAUUAUAUUGUUUAAGAGUUAACAAUUUAGAGCUUAAUCUCCUUGUACUUUGGAGUUAACAAUUUAGAGCUUAAUCUCCUUGUACUUUGGACUAAACUUGAACGUGAAAGGAAAUCCCAAAACCAUAUUGGGCAUGAAUUCACACUUAAUAUACCCAAUAAAAGAUGGCGACUGGUGAAAGGCAGUGGAGACUGGUGGAGAGAUUUGAGGAAUAGAAGCAGACGGAAAAGCAACAAAUUUUUGCCGAAAAACGGUCACUUUCAUGGUUAAUUUUGCUACUCUCCAAUUGUACUUGACCAAUUACAACAAUUUCAUGGAGUUUGAUACGUGAAAAGAAUUUUUUAUAAAUUUUAUUUUGAUCCAUAAUGUUAUCUUUACAUAUAUAAAACAUUUUACAAUUUUGAUUUUGGCGCAGCUAACUUUUGGUUAACAAAAAUGCUCAUGUUUAAAAAACCAGAAAUAAAACAAAACAAGAAACAAAAGAAAUAAGAGGGUAGCAUAGACAUUUUGGAUUUUUCCGUUAAUUUGGAUGAUUUCCACCCACGUUCUAAUUUAAUCCAAAACACAAAGGAAUUACGUAGAGGUUUUAAAUAAUCAGGGAGCUUCAUGAUCGAACCCCAAACCACGUGAUAGCAUACAAGAGUUCUAUUUCACUAUCGGUAGACAAAGACUUUCUAUGGUUGAUGUACCGUAGGAAAAAAUCUGCCUAUACAACGUGAUAGCAUUUUUUCAAAAACACAAGAUGGAAAAUUGCCCCCUUAAACGUGGAAAUUCAUGAUCUUUCCUCGAACAAAGAAUACUCACGCCUAUUCAAGAUGGAAAAUUGCCCCCUUAAACGUCUAUUUGUCAAUUCUUGAAAAAAGAAUACUCACGCCUAAAACACGGCCUCUUCAUCUGCAGAAUUCUAAAAAGUUACGUAAACUCUAUAAACAAGUUGAUAGGUACAAUCGUACCCAAGAUCAAGUACAGAUAGUUGUACAUUCACUGCUGCAAUAACUAAUCUGAUGACUUACAAACAUAUCAUGGUCAAUCGUUGAAUGGUAAUGAGUCUUUUGUUAUGCAUUAGUAUUAGUGUGUACACUCUAAUAGAUUGAUACUUAUACUCUUUAAAUUAUCAUAAUAAUACCCUUAAUUAACUUUAACUCUUAAAAAGAAUACGUGUUAAUACACGAGAGUGUGUAACCUGAAUUGUUACUUAUACAUUAGUGUGUAAUAGAUAGGGAUGGCAGUGAGGGCGAGUGCCCGCGGGGGGCUCUCGGGGCGGGGGCGGGGGAGAAUUUUUUCCCCCCGUUUAGAAACGGGGCAGGGGACGGGGGAGUAUACCCCCGCCCCAUCCCCCGCCCCGCCACCCGCAAAAAAAAUUAUAUAUAUAUAAUUAUAUAUAAUAUGUAAUUUAAUUAGUUAUAAACUUAUGAUAAUGAUAUUAUUAGUUAGAUGUAUUAUAUAAUGUAUAUUAGUGUAUGUAAUAUAAUUAAUAUUAUCAAUUAUACGAAUAAUUAGACAUGUCCACUAAUAGAGUUUAUUAAUUAGUUAUACUAAAUUUACUAAUACAUUUGUACUAAAUUUCUAAUUACACUUAAUAGAAUAACACUUUUUUCUAAAAAAAAAAGCACAAACACAAUAAUGAAUUAGUGAUUGUAUUUGUACCAAAAGUGAAAACUUAACUAUUUUAGUUGUAUUUAUUUCAUCAUGUUGGAUUGUAUUCAAAUAAUUUUUGUUUGAUUGUUUUUAUGAGUUUCAAUUGUAAAAUUAAAAUGAAUAAUAACUUGAUGAUGUGUUGAUAUUUUAGUACUUGAUUAUUUAUUGAUUUAACUAUAAUAAAAUUUUAUUUUAUUAAAAUUUAACUAUAAUAAAAUUUUAUUAACCAAACGAGUUAUUAAUCCCGCGGGGGCACCCACGGGGGAAGCGGGGCGGGGCGGGGGAGUGGGAGGCGGGGGACGGGGCGGGGGUGGGGGGAGUUGUAGGUAGCGGGGCGGGGGAUGGGGGAGGGGUCCCCCGCCCCAACCCCGCCAUCCCCCGCCCCGUUGCCAUCCCUAGUAAUAGACUGGCAAGCAUUGUGGUGGUCAUUGAGAACUUACUGGAGAAAUAGUCCUAUAAGCUGUUCAAUGAGCAAUCACAACUUGCUAAUUGGAUGACUAAUAUAGCUCUAGCUGUAAUGUUUUAAUUAAAUUACAUCACUAACGUUGGGAUGACUUUUUAACCAAAAAAAAAUGCCUUAGUUCAAGCUUUUCCCUUUAUUGUGCAUUUUUUAAAGCAUUUGAUAGGCACUGCAAAUCUGUCAUUUUGGACAUUUUAUUAUUGACUAACAAUGAAAGCCGUGACGUCUACCCAUAACCAACACAAGAUUAAAUUAAUAUUAGAAAAAAUAAUUGAGUAAUUGGAAAAAAAAAAAGAGACUCAUUUUCAUUGAAACCCACCGACAAACUAAACGUGUCCAUGGCUUUUGAAUAGUGCAUUCAACGUUUAAUUGUAUAGUCCAGUUCAUUGCAGAUUACAUGGAGUAAAGAUUGUGCUCUUUCCUUUUUCACCCCUUUUGGAAUCGAUACUGUGGAGAAUUGGGUUUUUCCCUUCUUUUUUUCUUUUCUUUCCUUCUGUGCUUUGCAAAACAUAGGUAAAAAUAUGAAAUCCGAAGCAUUCUUUAAUUGGGAUUAAGUAUUGUUGUUGAAAUUAAAAAGAAAAAAGAAAGAACAACAAAAUUCCCAAUCUGGGUUGAUUGUUGAGCUCUAGAUUGGUUGCAUCGUGCUUCCAUAGAAGCUCUCUUAGUGUGAUACACUGCUUUCAAUCAGUUUAACACGGGAAAAAAAAAAAAAGAGAUGAAAAGCAAAUUUGGUGGGGAUAAUUUCAGAAACCUCCCCUGAAGAUUUUGACUAUUCUACUGGUCUCCCUUCAGAUUUUAAAAAUUACACUAAUCUUCCUUGAAGUUAAUUAUCUUGUAACAUUUAAAUUCAAUCAAUAAUUUAAAAAAUGAUAUUAUGAGAGAGAAAAUAAUGAUUUUAUCAUUGCCCCCCAUCUUACUACAUUAUUUAAUUAAUUUAAUAGCAACCCACACAUUAAAGAAAAAUAUUAAAAUUUGUUGUUUAUCAUUAAAGAUCAAAUCGCUUAUAACAUCAAAUAAUAGUAUAUUAUUUAUAUUUUUCACUCAAUAUAAUAUCCAAAUUACUCUUUUCAAUUACAUACCCAUUGUUAGACAAUCAACAACAAAUAACCAAAAAAUUUGCAACCAAAAUAUUACAAAAAAAUAAACUUUAACAUAUAAAUAUUCUUAUCAACAUAUUAAAGUUAGUUACUGAAAUUUUUAUGCUGUUAAACUUCACUCUUUUUGGUUACAGAUUUUUUUGAUUAUUUGUUAUUAAUUAUGUUUGAUGAUGGAUUUAUAAUUGAAAAGAACAAUUUGAAACUUACAUUAAGUAAAAUAUAUAGAGUGAUAUACUAUUUUUUAUAACAUAUGUGAUUCAAUCCUUCUUGAUAGGAUUGGUAAUAGAGGUAGAGGGGGGAGCCGGCUGCAUCCGGUCUACUUUUCAUAGAUAGUACAAUAUUGCGAAAUCGAUCGCAUUCACGCAAUAUUAUUUCCAAGUCAUUGCAUGGCUAAGCUGCAAAAAAAGUACGAACACAUGUUAUUAUAUAGCUUACGAUUCAAAACUUUAGAGCAUAACCCUCCACCUAACACAAUUGAAUAAUGAACAUUCACGUUUGUCAAAUCUGUCAAAGCACAGUUUGAGGACAACCCAUUCCAACCUGCAAAAGAUUUUUUACUUUUCUAAAGUUGUUGAGAGCUGUAAAAAGACUUACCAUGCUUGCAUCCUCCGAGCCUUGGGAGUUAAAAAUGAAGGCACUGAGUGCUAUAAAAAGGGGAAUAGAGGCUGCCUAGAAGCAUAUCAGCCUAAAACAAGAAUUUGUAGUUAAGAUGGGAAGCAAAGCAAAAGCAAUGGGGUCUGGGCUGACUCCUCUUCUUGCCACUGUUUUAGUGGUGUUUGUUGCUCUUGGCUUGCCCUCACAAACUGCAGCUGAUGAUCACUACAAGUAUUCAUCUCCUCCUCCUCCUUACCACUAUCCCUCACCACCACCACCAGUGCAUAUACCUCCACCUCAUCCUGUUUACAAGUACAAAUCUCCACCACACCCCCAGUACAAGUAUAAGUCACCACCACCACCUCCUCAUCCGGUAUACAGUCUCCUCCGCCACCACACACCCAGUUUACAAGUACAAGUCACCACCACCACCUCCUCAUCCGGUACCACACCCAGUUUACAAGUAUAAGUCUCCUCCGCCACCAGUUUACAAAUACAAGUCUCCUCCACCACCACCUCCAGUGUACAAAUACAAGUCUCCACCACCACCAGUUUACCACUACAAGUCUCCACCACAGUUUACAAAUACAAGUCUCCACCACCACCCCCAGUUUACAAAUACAAGUCUCCACCACCACCAGUUUACCACUACAAGUCACCACCACCUCCUCCCCCAGUUUACAAAUACAAGUCUCCACCACCUCCUCACCACUACUAAGCAAUUGCUUCUGAGGUAAUAACACUUGUUCAAUAUACCCACUUCUGCAUGAUAAAGCAUAUCUCUAUCAACACAAACUGUCAUGUCUAUCAUGCUAAGUGCCUUCACUUCAUCCACCAAAAUGACUGCUAGAAAAUUUUUUUUAUGUUACCAAAGAAAGGCAUCAUUUUUUCCCUCUGUUAUCAAGAACUUGUACAGUAUAUAGAUUAAAGAGUAUUUUUUUAACUAGCUUAUCAACUGAGAAAUGCAUAUAGCUGAUAGCCAGCUGAAUAUUUGCAGGCAAAGGAGAAGGAAACCAGUGUUUGAGACCUUCUUGAAGAUGUAGAAGCAUAAGAAUUAAAGCCCAAUGUGAAGAUGAUGAUUUCAAGUUUUUCUACGUUACCAUUUCUUUAUCUAAAUUGGUUGUAGCGCCUUAGUUCCUUUGUUUAUGGGAUUUGUAUCGUUUUACGUACCAUGCAGUACAUGUCAUGUUUGUAAGGUUUUCUAUCCUGCCGGCAAACCGCAGGUUCCAUGUAAUAAAUCAAUACUAUUUAUAUUACGACACUUUUCUCUGUUUCUCUUAUAUUUUGUCGUCUUUAAUAUUCUUAAUCAUAUUUUUAACAAAAAUAUUCAAACACUUAGGCAAUCUGGUCUAAUGCUAAUUGUAUGUUUUACUUUUCUUUUUCACCUGCUCCCCUUUUCAACUCAAAAGGAUGCAAUAGUUUGUGAUCACUGUUUAAGACGGAAGCAUGAUACUAAUGAAUAUCUCAUUGAAACUCAAGGAAACUAACAUUGCGAAAAGUGUAAAUCUUGAUUUGAUGCAACUAUUUAUUCGUGGAAUCUAUAGUUACAAAACUCAAAUUCUGACUGCGCCAUUGAUAAAUUAUUAAUGACGCUAUCAUCAUUAUUUAUCCCUAACUAGUUUCGACUACAACUGAACCCAAUAUUUUCCCCAUGAUAAAAGUUUUUGACUAUUUUACUGGCCUCUCUUCAAAUUUUAAAAAUUACACUAAUCUUCAUUGAGAUUAAUUAUCUUGUAACAUUUAAGUCCAAUUAAUAAUUAAAAAAUGAUAUUAUGAGAGAGAAAAUAAUAUAAUUUUAUCAUUGCCCCCCAUCUUGCUAUAUUAUUUAAUUAAUUUAAUAGCAACCCACACAUUAAAGAAAAAUACUAAAAUUUGCUGCUUUUCAUUAAAGAUCAAAUUGCAUAUGCCAUAAAACAUAGUAUAUCAUUCUAUAUGUUUCACUUAAUGUAAGAUCCCAAUUGUUCUUUUCAAUUACAAACCCAUUGUCAAUAACAAAUAACCAAAAAAUUUGCAACCAAAAUAUUACAAAAAAAAACUUCAACAUCAUAAAUAUUCUUACCACCUCUAGUGCAUUCACCCUCAUAAAAUAAUUCAAGACCCUACUGUCAUAAAAUGACUGAUCAACUCCCGUAAACCUAAUUUGACAACAUUUAAAUGGAGAACUUUAGCUAAAAGAAUUAUGGUCAAGCUAAAGAAAAAACCAGUUAUUUUCCAACAUAUGCAAUCAUUGAUCAGGGAAAAAAAAAAGAGCAAAAAGACAUCUUCAAUCAUUUAAUAGCUUACAGGGCAAAUUAACCCCUAAGCGAAAACUGGUUGCUCUAGAAUCAAAAUUUUACUUUAGUUACCCAGGCAACUUUUUUGUUGCUUUUUUUUUUUUUUUCCUUUAGUUUUGCCCCCUCUGUCAAGCUUAUAAAAUUAUUAAGAUAAUAAAAGUGCCUUGAAUAGUAUUAAUAUAUCCAUUGACUUGAGCUGUCGUCAGUUUGCGAUUCCAUGAGGCCUUUUCAAAGUACUCAGAAAAUGGGGAGUCAUGAAAUCCAUUUGUUCUAUUCAUUGCUAAGAUGCUUUUCUCUAUAAAGAGACUUCCUAACGAAAAUACUUUGUAGAUUUCUUUACUCCAAGUGGUGCAUGGAAAAUUAAUAUUUUCAAUUAUCAAAUAAAAUUCCCUUUUUUCGGCGUAGAUUUCAUCCAUCCAGCUGUUAACACAUUCUAUAAAUCCGAAUUGACUAAUCUUUUCGUUUCCAUUUUCCAACUUGCGAAUACGGCAUAUAGUGUCUGCUAAACACUAUAUAUUCUCUGCCAAAUAUGAAUACAUAUCACUUUUCUGAGCAAGUGCAGAGUCAUUAUCAUUUUUAUUCCCACCUAACAAAUUAGGGAUAAAAAAGUUAAUAAUCUUUACAUGCUAUCAGGUCACAAGUUAAUAAUCUUUUAAAGAACAUGUUAAAUUAAUUUAUUGGUAUGAAUAGUAGUCAAAGAAGUAUGUUAAAGUUAGUAAUCUUUAAAAUAAUAUGUUAAAAUCAUUCGUACAAAUUAGUCAGAGAAGUAGCAUAAACACCGCGAUGCAAUUAAUACUUUCAAUCUCAAGGUCUCUAUUAUGGAAAUUUGCAUCGGUCAAUAUACACUUGGCAUAAUAUAAUCUCCCAACUCAUUUCUUUACAAAUGCACCUUUAAUCACCACCAAAAGGUGUGGACAUGAUCUUUACCCUAGAAAACUAUUCACCGACAGGCAAAUUGACGUCAGAAAUACUGAGGAAUUCUAGUUUCCUUCGGGUUCAUGCCAUGUUGUAUCCUUCAACUGUAACUCGAUUUCUAAGCUGUAAUUUGUGACAUAAUAGUCCUUAAACUAUGAAACCCUUCUUACUUAAUUACAAUGGUUAAUACAAUGCCCGUGACUAGACAAGUAUGAAGCAACCAUAACAGAAAAAAAAUCCAAAAUUAGAGAAAAGAAAGAAGUUUCGCGACCACCACCAGUUUACAAGUCACCUCCACCACCUCCUCCAGUUUACAAGUCACCUCCACCACCUUACCAUUAUUCCUCACCACCACCUCCAGUGCAUUCACCCCCACCACCACCAGUUUACAAGUCUCCGCCACCACCUUACCAUUAUUCCUCACCACCACCUCCUGUGCAUGCACCUCCACCACCAAUUUACAAGUCACCUCCUCCAGUUUACAAGUCUCCACCACCACCUUACGAUUAUUCCUCACCACCACCUCCAGUGCAUUCACCCCCACCACCACCAAUUUAUAAGUCUCCCCCACCGCCUCCCCCAGUAUAUAAGUCACCACCACCACCUCCUCCAGUAUACAAAUCACCUCCACCACCUCCUCCAGUUGACAAAUCUCCACCACCACCAAUUUAUAAAUACAAGUCUCCUCCACUACCUCCUCCAGUGUACAAGUCAUCACCACCACCUGCUUACAAGUCUCCACCUCCUCCAGUUUACAGUUCCCCACCACCACCAAUCUACAAGUCUCCACCUCCACCCUACCAUUACUACUACAAUUCUCCUCCUCCUCCUCGUCACUACUAAGCAAUUGUAUCCAAGUUUUUGAGGUAAUAACGCUUAACCAAUAAAUUAACUUUCGCAUGAUAAACCUUAUCUCUAUCAAGACAAACUGCCAUGUGUAUCAUGCCAAAUACGUACACCUAGAUCCAUGAAAAUGAAUGGUGAGGAGGGCCAUUUAGGCUCGGAGCGCCCUAGGCCUAGUUCCCCACCAUUUCCUGAAGUGCCGCCUCGGGUAUUAUCCUGGAAGGCGAUCGCGGCCCAUUUACCACCUCGGCUACAAUGUCAGGUCGUAACACCGAGGUGGACAUUGAAUGACAACUACGAAAAGGGGAGAUGUGAUCUCUGACACCUGAGCAAAGGCUGCUCUGACCCGCCGCCUGAAUCUGACAGAAUGUCCCAUCACGUCUCUUCAUGGAGACCGGUCAAGUCCACCUGAUCCACUGACUAUCUCAGAUCUUUUGGGACCCGUGCAAACAUCUCCUCUCUCCUAUCAGUCCCCUAUAAAUACACGAUACUUCUACUGAAAAAGGAGAUGACCAAUUUCUGGUAAAACACACUCCACUCAUUAUUUACUUCUCUAUAUCCGAACUGACUUAAGCUUCGGAGUUAUACCGGGGGAUCCAGCCCCUUUCUUAUCCAAGCAGGUGACUUCGUCCAAGAGAGUUGCCCAAGGUAAAGAUAUUCUUCCAAUUGAGGUGACUCACUCCUGCGGGUCGAAAAUCACCUCUUCAAUUGGCGCCGUCUGUGGGAACCGCAAAGAUAUUAGAAGAUGAAGCCUGCGCGUUCUAGAAGCAGAAAAGCUCUCACUAUCGAGGCUGGGCAAAGCAAUGCAGCUCAACAAGAAAAUAUUUCUGAAGGGCAGGAGUCCCCAAGGACUCAGCCCGCAAACGAAAAAGCCAUAACCCGUAUGGCCGAGUUUGUGACCGAGAACCCCAACAUCUUUGAAGAGUUGGGAAGAUACCUGAAGAGGCAAGGCAAACAAAAGGCCGAGUCCUCUAAAAGGAUGUCAGAUGGGUCUCUUGAGGACUCAUCUGAGGAGGAGUCGGAUGGAAGGCACUUAAGCCGAAGUGCCUCAAAGCGAGCAUUUUCUAAGGCCACUUCUAAGGUAGCCUCCCUGACCAAGGCGUUUUCCCGAGGGCUCUUGGGCCGACGACCCGAGGAAGAACCUCGGCCCUUGGGAAUACCCGGGGUGGACUGCAUGAGGGCUCCACCGUUCACGGAUGAUAUAAACGAGGAAAGGCUUCCUCCCAAUUUUAAGCUCCCCGCAGUACAAUCUUACGAUGGCCGAGGUGAUCCCGAGAAUCACAUCCAUACCUUCAUCUCGGCCUUCCAAAUAUACUGCAUCCCAGACCCUGUCAUAUGUCGGGCCUUUCCAGUAUUCCUCAGAGGAACUGCUCGAAAAUGGUUCUGAGCUCUAGAACCUAGGAGCAUUUCGACCCUGGGUGAAUUAGUGGAGAAGUUUCUCCACCGAUUUGUCUCCUCCCGACCUACGACUAGGACCUCGGCUUACCUGCUCACCGUGCAGCAGAACCCGGGAGAGUCACUCCGGUCGUACGUCCGGAGGUUCCAUGAGGAAAGCGUUCAGAUACCUGACCCCAAUGAGCAGGUAACCCUCGCUGCCUUUACCCAUGGACUCGUUGCCGGGGAGUUCAAUACGGGGAUCCAUAAAAAAUACCCCCGCACACUGCAUGAAUUGUGGUUGAAGGUUGAAAAGGGCAUACAGGCCGAAGACCUCCAUCGCAUGAAGAAAGAGGUCCAAGCCACCCGUCCAAGGGCUGAGCCCAGAAAGGGAAAAGACGCUGGCCGAACUGAAGUAGGGUCGGGAAGUGGCUUCCGAAGUCCUGGCCGAGACCGCCGCAGCGUGUUCGACAGGAUAUCCAAGGGGAAGUCACCUAUUCCCGAGUCCGAGUUGACUCCUUUAAAUACUACCCGAUCUCACGUGUUGUCCGUGAUGGAACAAAACAACCUCGGCAAGGGCCCGCCGAGGAUGUUUGGAAGCAGAGACAAGAGGAACUCGAACCUCUACUGCUUGUAUCAUCGUGACAUUGGUCACGAAACUGAGGAUUGCAACGAUCUCAAGAAGGAGAUCGAGAACCUCAUUAGACGGGGACACUUGAAACAGUUCAUCCGCAGAGGUGGAGGUCACCAACGUGACGAAAACCGGCAUGACAAAUGAGGUGACCAACGCCGAGAUGAGCGGCGGAGCUCCAGAAGCAGUUGCCGACCUCCUGAGGAUCCCAGGGAGACGAAAAGGCCUCCCCCAGACGGAUCUUCGGGACAUGGGCCAACCAUUGCCCGGGUCAUUAACACCAUUGCCGGAGGUCCGACGGGAGGGGACAGUCAGAACUCCCGGAAGAGAACCUAUAAGCAGGCUAACCCGGAUCAGGCCGAGUCGAGUUCUCGCCUGUCCGAGGUGAUCACCUACGGGCUCAGUGAUCCCAUCCCAGCUGCAUCCAGCAGUCAUGAAACCUUGGUGAUUGAAGUCCUCACCAAUAACUACAUUGUGAAAAGGUCUACAUAGACCCGGGAAGUUCAGUUGACGUCAUGUACCUCCGUACCUUUGAGAGCCUUAAAAUGGCUAAGGGGUGCAUGACCCCGCUGAGAACCCCUCUUGUAGGGUUCGGGGGACACGUGGUGCACCCCGAAGGGAUGGUGACUCUGACAGUGACCAUAGGGCAUCACUCUCGCUGUAGAACCGUCCCUGUCAAUUUUGUGGUGGUUAAGGCUGACUCCCCAUACAACCUACUUUUAGGUCGGCCUACGCUCAAUGCCUUGCGGGCGGUCUACUCCACCUACCACCUGAGCUUCAAGUUUCCUACCCCAGCAGGGGUGGCCGAGGUCAGCAGCGACGUCUGUGCUGUCCGGGAGUGCUACCUCGCCACCCUACAAGCAGCCUCCCCGUCUACCUCCGGUGCGAGGUCCGAGAAGAGGUCAAAUAUCCUCUCAAUAGAUAGCAUCGAUCCUCAGUGAGCUGAGAAGGUCCCGAGGCUGGAGACUGGGGAUGAGGUGGAAGAGAUUCCCCUGGACCCCACGAAACCUGAUCAGACAGUUCGCGUUGGUACCCGAUUGCCCGGUCCUAUCCGAAGAGGUAUGAUGGACCUCCUCAGGGAAUACCGGGACGUCUUUGCUUGGGCCGCCGAAGAGGUCCAAGGAGUCCCGCACCAUCUCAUGAUGCAUGACUGAACGUCGACCCCCAAGUCCGUCCGGUCAAACAGAAGAGAAGGCACAUCGGCCCUGAGCGCAGCCAAGCUGUUGGUGAGGAAGUGGACAAGCUUUUACCCGCUAAAAUAAUCCGAAAAGUCCAAUACCCGAUCUGGUUGUCUAACUCGGUCAUGGUCAAGAAGGAUACGGGGGCUUGGAGAAUGUGCGUCGAUUUUACCGACCUCAACAAAGCCUGCUCCAAGGAUUGCUACCCCUUGCCCAAAGUCGAUACUUUGGUAGACUCAGCAAUGGGCUACGAGAUCCUCUGUUUCUGGGAUGCAUUCAAAGGCUAUCACCAAAUUGGGAUGAGUCAAGAAAACCAGGAGAAAACGGCCUUCUACACCGACCGCGGCACGUACUGUUAUACUACCAUGCCAUUCGGGUUGAAGAAUGCCGGAGCCACUUAUCAACGCUUGGUCAACCAAGCAUUCAAGUCUCAAAUCGGCCGGAAUGUUGAGGCCUAUGUAGAUGACAUCCUCCUCAAAAGCCAGACGAACUCCACCUUCCUGGCCGACUUGAAGGAGGUCCUUGACAUCCUGCGGAAGGUGAAAAUGAUGCUGAACCCCAAGAAAUGUGUUUUUGGGGUCACCUCGGGGAAAUUUCUAGGUUACCUCGUCUCAAGGCGAGGUAUCGAAGCAAAUCCGGAUAAGGUGCGAGCCAUCCAGGAGAUGUCUCCACCCCGGUGCGUCCGCGAUGUCCAAAGGCUGACAGGGCGAUUAGCCGCCCUGAAUCGGUUCUUAUCGCAGUCGGCAGCUAAAGCACUGCCCUUUUUCAAAGUGUUGAAGAAAGCUGACCAUUUCUCCUGGACGGAAGAGUGUCAACAGGCGUUUGAGCAGUUGAAGGAUUACCUUCACUACCUUCCAACGCUCACCUCACCUCGUCCGGGGGACAAAUUAAUCUUAUACCUUUCUGCUGCGGCCGAAGCGGUGAGUGCCGUGCUGAUAAGGAAGGAAGGGGUCCAAAUGCCCGUCUACUACGUUAGCCGAGUCCUCCGAGGUCCAGAGACCAGGUACACACAAGCAGAGAAACUUGUGCUAGCCCUGAUCCACGCCGCCCGCAGACUCAAGCCCUACUUCCUAGCUCACCACGUCUGCUUGAGGACUGAUCAACCACUUCGGCAGAUUUUGACACGACCAGAGGUUUCGGGACGUCUUACCAAAUGGGCCAUUGAGCUGGGGGAGUACGACCUAACUUAUGAGCCUCGCACAGCGAUCAAGGCCCAGGCUCUCGCAGACUUCGUAGCCGAGCUCACCUUUGACGAGGUGCAAGGAUCCGUCCCGGCUGCCACAUCGGCCACAGUUGAUGUGGCCACCACUGGGCUCCAGCGGUGGAUCCUACACGUGGACGGUUCGUCAACAGUGAGGGUAGUGGAGCAGGCUUGCUCCUCGAAGACCCCCAAGGAGAAAUAUGCUAAUAUGCCUUAAGAUUUGACUUCGCUGCUUCAAACAAUGAAGCUGAAUACGAAGCCGUCAUUGCUGGACUGCAGCUAGCUCGCAAGCUCGGGGCCGCACACAUCUUGGUUUAUAGUGAUUCCCAACUCGUCGUGUGCCAGAUAUUAGGUGAGUACGAAGCCAGGGACGAGGUGAUGCAUCGUUACCUCUCCAAGGUCCUCCAGUUGGCGACUCACUUCGAGUCUUUUGAAAUUCAAAGAAUACCGCUAUCGAAAAACAGAAGGGCUGACGCCCUCUCCCGGCUUGCCUCAACCUCUUUCUCUGACCUGAACAAGACGGUUCUCGUUGAAGUUCUAGCCGAACCAGGAUAUGUAGCCGAGGUAGUAUACCCCGUCUACCCUGGGGACACCUGGAUGGGUCCCCUGACUCGAUUUUUCAGCCAGGGUGAGCUCCCCGAAGACCGAGCUGAGUCACGGAAGCUCCAACGAAAAGCAGCACGGUACAUUCUCCGACAAGGCCUUUUAUACAAAAGGUCUUACCUCGGCCCUUAGUUGCGAUGUAUCACGCCCGAGGAAGGCCAGAGAAUCCUCCAAGACAUACAUGAGGGGCUCUGUGGUGCUCACGUCGGCUACAGAAUGCUGGUAAAAAAGGCUUUGUUACUUGGGUAUUUUUGGCCCACUAUGAGGAUAGAUGCCCAGGUCAUGGUCCUUUGCUGCCCCUCCUGCCAGCAUCACGCUCCUGAGCACCACCAGCCGACCAAUUUAAUGAUCCCUAUCACCUCGUCAUGGCCAUUUGAGCAAUGGGGAACGGACAUAAUUGGCCCCUUUCCCAGAGCUCCAGGCAAUUAUACCUACGUGGUGGUAGCAGUGGACUACUUCACCAAAUGGGUCGAAGCUGAACCCCUAAAAAAUAUCACUGGUGCGGCAGUCCAGAAAUUCUUCUGGAAGAAUGUGGUUUGCCGCUUCGGCCUACCCCGGGUGAUCAUCUCGGAUAAUGGCCGACAGUUCGCCGAUAAUCCUUUCAAGGCCUGGUGUGAGAACCUCGGGGUCAAACAGCAUUUCACUUCGGUGGGACACCCCCAAGCCAACGGACAAGCCGAAAACUUCAAUCGCACGCUCCUCCAUGGCCUCAAGACCAGGCUCCACCAGGCUGGAUCGUUUUGGAUGGAAGAGCUCCCCAGUGUGCUGUGGUCCUACCGAACUACGCCGAGAUCAGCAACCCAGGAAACCCCGUUUUCCUUAACCUACGGGUCAGAAGCUGUUGUUCCAGCCGAAUUCAUCACCCCGAGUCCACGAAUGGCCGCAUAUGCUGCCGAAGUCAAUGAAGAAGAACGGCGAGUUGACCUCGACCUCGUCGAAGAGAAGCGUGAUAUGGCCGCGGCCAAAGUUGCUGUUUACAAAAAUAUCGUAGCUGGCUACUACAACGCUCGGGUUAAACAUUUGCGGUUCAGUCCGGGAGACCUGGUGCUCAGGAAGAACUCAGUCAGCCGGGCUGAACCUCAGGGUAAACUAACCCCCAAGUGGGAGGGACCAUACCGUGUUGUUGAGUCCAGCCAAAAUGGAUAUUGUAAAUUGGCAUACCGAGAUGGGUCUCUGAGUGCCCCGAACUUGGCAUGCUGAAAAUCUUAAGUUGUACUACCCUUGAGGGUAUGUGCUUUUAAUCUUGAGUUAUUUCACACUUAUUUUCAUUUCAUUAUAAGUGAAAAAUAAGGGGACAAAGUAGCAGUAAAGAGGAAAACCGAAUUUAAUUAAAAAGAAAGCAAGAAUAUGAACUCAAUUCCAUUGAAUUACAUAAAAGUAGAAAGCCGAGGUCACCUUUAAUUAGGAAGAAAGCAAGAAUAUAAACUCAAUUCCAUUGAAUUACAUAAAAGUAGAAAGCCGAGGUCACCUUUGACCUCGGCCUACAAUGACAAAAAAAAAAACAAGUGCCUCUAGGCACUCCCUACCCUGACAUCCUGGCCCCCCGUGGUCGCGCCACCCGUUUCGGCACCCUGUCCACCCUCAGCUCCUCCACCGGCCUGGUCGUCUUCAGUACCAUCUAGUUCAAACUCCUGGAGCCAUUUGUUGAAUUCGGCUCGGACUUCGGUUAGGUCUUUCUCAGUCCGGAUGCCCUCAGCCAUGCUGUCGCAUAGCUCCUUGGCAUCCUCGUUAUAGUGCGAAGUGCUCUGAAGGGACUCCAGUUGUUCAGAGGGAAGAAAGGAUGCCGCGUCAUUAAUAGCCGACGUGUACCCGAACAUGAAGCUUGGCCGGGUGAGCUCGCCGAGGUCACGGAUGAAGGACUCUGACGUCCGGAAGGCUUCCACAGCAGUGACCCCGGCCUUGUCCAUGGCCUCCCUGUUUGACUGUUCUUCUUGGGCCCUCCUUUUUUUCUCCUCAUCAAGAGCAGUCACCAGGGAAUUGUUCGCGACCUCGGCCCUUUUGUUAGCCGCCUUGGCCUUGUCACGCUCCAACUCGGUUGCCUUCAGUUUUUCUUCCAACUCGGCAAUUCUCUUCUGGAGCUCGGCAGGAGGCUCAUAGUUUUCCAUGAACUUUCCAUACCGUUGAAUCAUCUCGACAAAAAAAGCCGUGGUAGAGGCCCAUGACACCGAGGCGCUCUGCAUCAACUCCCCUGCGGAGAGCUUCCUAGCAUAAGUGCUAUCUCGUGGCAGCACUGAAUGCACCAAGAGCUCCUGAGCGACCAAAGGGUUCUUGCAGCGAUCGUUGAAAUUAAUCUCCCACUCUGGACACCAGUGUGAUCCGGGGUGUCUCUUGUCCUCCUCAGCUGCCUUGAAAGGCACAUGAUGGAGUUUGAACAAAGAUGACCCCGUGACGGGGUUCUCCGGAAAUAUGGUCACACCCUGACCCCGGGGGGGAGUGGCAAUCGUGACCCAGCGAGAAGGGAUUCCCACCGGAAUUGCCGAGGCUCGGGAACCUCCCGGAGUGGCCGAGGUGUGCGAGCCCUCGCCCACGAUCACCACGGCAGGCUCGCGGUCGCCCGACGCCGCGGUGGUUUUCUUAGCCGGCCUGGAAGAGGACCCUGCAGUGUCCUUGCGCUUUUUGGGAGCUCUUUUGACCACCUCGACAUCUCCCGAGGUUAUCAGGUCGAAAAUCUUCGUCACUGCAAAGUAGGAGACGAAGUCAGUUAGAAUUCAAGAGGGAUAAACUAAAAGGGAAGAAAUGGAAAAAUACAAAGUCUGUGAAGCCUAGUCGAGAGUAAGACAGGCUGGUCAGAGCUCGUCAAGGCUCAACUGAUCCCGCCUUCCACGAGCACCACUUCGGGAAAAUCCCAGCAGUUUAUCCUGAGGCCCGACCCCGUUAACUUCUGGAAGUUACGCUCUUCUAACUUCCCUGGAGAUAUCUCCUUGAUCGAGGUGGGAGGCCUCCACCAGAAUCCGCGAGGGAAGUCAUCGGCCGAGACGAAGAAGAAGUUUUGCUUCCACUCCUUUAUUGAGUUCGGAGCAUCAACCACCAACUUCGGAACUUUGUUUCCGAAGUAGAACCAUCCUUUUUCACUUCUGCUGUUCUUGAGUGAGUAACAGCGGCGAAAGAGGUUGACCUAAGGUUGUAUCUCCUGAUGUCGGCAAAGUAGCUGGAAGCCAACGAGAAUGCGAAUAGCGUUAGGGGUGAGUUGAGUGAUUCUCACCCCCCAGUACCUCAGGCAGUCCCGAAGAAACCUCGUCGUGGGCACUCUGAGUCCGGCCUCCAGCUGUUCCUGAUAGAUAGUCACCUUGCCCUUUGGUGGCAGUGCGGCUGACUGAUGCGGUUGGGGUAUGUAAAUACUAUAAUCCCUUCUCCAGGGAUACCUGCGGACCACCUCGGCUAUUGAGGCUUGUCCCAUACCACUACUGAAGAACGGCAUCUGGCCGUAGUCGAGAGUUGCCACGUUUGGAGGAGUGGAAGGUUCUUGUACUCCCUCGUCUCUAGGGAUCUCAAUCCCGAGGUCAUCGUUGUAUAGGACCUCGGGCUGGACCUCGAUCUCCUCGGGCUGCACCUCAACCGCCUCAGCUCGGCGUGAUGCCUCGGCACCUCCACCCUCAGCUUGGUGAGAUGCCUCAGCACCUCCGCCCUCGGACGCGGUCCUUUCCUGGGAGGGGUCAGGCCUCUCUGCCUCAGUGAGGUCAGGUCUCACUGUCUCUUUGUGCGUACGAGCUGUUCUAGCCAUUGUAUCAGAAGGGGAAGAAGUGAACUUACUUAGAAUCUGCGACUGGAAGAAGAUGCCGAAGUAGACGUGGUUUAGAAAGGUUGCCGAAGUGAAAAGAGAAAGAAACAGAGUUCUGGGGUGAUUCUUGAUUUUUGGUGAAGAGUAAAACGGUGAAAAAAGACCACUAUUUAUAGGCCACCAGGGUGAAACCCAAGAGACGGCACCCUCUCUCUUCAUUAAUGGGAGGACUGUUCGUCUGCCAACACAGCUGACAGCCGUCCCUUCAGUUAUCACUCAGUCCCAUCUAUGCGGUCAUGACGUGUCCGUGUUCCGUGUUUUAUACGCUUCUCAGCUUCGGGAAGUAACGACCACGGCGGAUGCCCAUCUCGCCCUUCUCAAAGCUUGGGGGGCUUAGUGAGGAGGGCCAUUUAGGCUCGGAGCGCCCGAGGCCUAGUUCCCCAUCAUUUCCUGAAGUGCCGCCUCGGGUAUUAUCCUGGAAGGCGAUCGCGGCCCAUUUACCACCUCGGCUACAAUGUCAAGUCGUAACACCGAGGUGGACAUUGAAUGACAACUACGAAAAGGGGAGAUGUGAUCUCUGACACCUGAGCAAAGGCUGCUCUGACCCGCCGCCUGAAUCUGACAGAAUGUCCCAUCACGUCUCUUCAUGGAGACCGGUCAAGUCCACCUGAUCCACUGACUAUCUCAGAUCUUUUGGGACCCGUGCAAACAUCUCCUCUCUCCUAUCGGUCCCCUAUAAAUACACAAUAUUUCUACUGAAAAAGGGGAUGACCAAUUUCUGGUAAAACACACUCCACUCAUUACUUACUUCUCUAUAUCCGAACUGACUUAAGUUUCGGAGUUAUACCGGGGGAUCCAGCCCCUUUUCUUAUUCAAGCAGGUGACUUCGUCCAAGAGAGUUGCCCAAGGUAAAGAUAUUCUUCGAAUUGAGGUGACUCACUCCUGCGGGUCGAAAAUCACCUCUUCAAAUGGUAGAAAGUUUUCUUAAGAACCAAGAACAGCAUUAGUAUUCCCUCUGCUUCCAAAAACUUGUGUAUUAAAUAGAUUAAUGAAUUGUUUAACAUGCUCAUCUACUUGAAAAUGCACAAUACCCAUAACCCACUGAAAUUUUUGCAGGAAAAGGGAAAGAGAAUCUGUGUUUGAGAGCUUCAUGAAGAUGUUGAAGAAUAAGAAUAAAAGCCCAAUGCGAGGAUGUUUUCAAGUUUUUCUAUGUCCACUUUAAUUUGUAAAUUGAAUUUUACAACUCAAUUAAUUCCUUGUUUGUGAGGUACGUAUUGUUUUACGUACCAUGCCGUACAUGUUUGUAAGGAUUUCUAUCCUAUUGGCAAAAGUCGGUUCCAUACAAUUAAUCAAUUCAUUUCACUUCUAUUGGCUCUACUAUUUAUGCAUGUUACGACACUCUUUCCCUUAUAUUUUGCCUUUAAUAUUAUGAGUCAAUAGUAAUAAUGGGCCUUUUUCUUAAAAUUAUACUAUUAUACAUAGGUAGUUUGGUCUAACGCUAAAUUCAUGUUUGUCUUUCUUUUAUUCCCUUUACAUCUCAAAGUAUACUAUAGUUUGUAAUCAUUGUGGUGAUGAUAUUACCAGCUGGUACUUAUAGUUUAAGGCAGAGACAUGAUAUUAACAACUAUCUCAUUGAAACAUAAGUCAAAAUCAUGACAAGUGUGAGUCUUGGUUAAUGCACAAUUUGUUAGUGGAAUUUAUAUUUAUAAAACUCAAAAAAAAUUUUUGACAAUGCUAUUACUAAUUAAUUAAGGACUUCAUUGCUAUAAUUUAUCGCUUACUAGUUUAAACUAUAAAUGAUCUCAAUACUUUUCUCCAUGAUGUCGAUUUCUUUAGACUACGAAAGGGAAAAAUUAGUGACAUAUCCCUUACUGAUUACAACAUCAGCAAAAAUUAGUUAUAAACUUUUCCGGUGGUUUUAAAUCCCUCGGGCACUAAGGUUUUUUGCACAUCGAGUGAAUUAAGGAACAUAGGCAAUUCGUUCUGCAUACCAAGUCCUUGUUUAAGAUGCACGUACUAAAAUGCAUCCACUUCAUUAAUUUGGAAAAUUGCCAUAGUUUUUUUUAAGCAUUUUGAUUUUUUACAUGAUUCAAAAUUUUCUUAUUGGAUACAAUCACUUUGUGUCAAGAACACAUUUUCAAUCAUCUUUUUUAUCUUCUCAAUAAGAAAAUAAAAAUUUAUUCAUGCUUUUCUAACAUAUCCAAUCAUUGAUCUGAAAAAUAAAGAAUUAAAAAAAAAAGACAUUUUCAAUCAUUGCUUACAGGGCAACUUCCCCAUGUGAACCUCUUCAAACAAAGCCAAUAAUAUGAAGGAACAUCUAAAUACACUUUUGCCCUAAAGGCUGGUUGCCUUGGGGUCAAAAUUUAACCUUCGGGAGUAUAAUUACCCGCCAAAUUUAUUAUUUUUUAUGGGUAUAUAGUUCCAAUUUUGCCUCCUGUUAAGCUUAUAAAUAUAUUACGACCCAGAAAAUAAAGGAAUCUUGAAUAGUAACAUGUCCAUUGACUUGAGUUGUCAUCAAUUUGGCUACUUCGAUUCCAUGAGGCCAAUCCAAUUCACACUAGCUAGAGAAAAUGGUGAUAAAGGCACUUAGAAAUUUAUAUGUAAUAUUGAUUGGUAGUAACUGAUAAGUAUAUAUUUUACGUGUUUUAAAUAUGUUUUAUUAGUUAGUUUUGGUGUGUUUUAACUACUUUUAUAACUAAUUAACUAGGAAUCUAGUGAAAAUAUGCAUUUUGUGGUUUGAAGUGUGAAAAUUGUAUUUCUAUGGAUUUUAAUGGUGAAAACUUCAUGUUUUUGUAGGUUUAAUGAUUCAAUCAUCAAAUGACAUGAUUUGAGAAGAUAAUUAGAUGAUUGAUGAUGUUUUGAAGUGAUAAAAAGAGAAUACAAAGUGCAAGAGAGGAAAUGCAAUCAAGAAUAAAAGAAGAAAAUUUUUGUAGCUUUGACAUAUUGUGGUAUUUUGGCAAUAUAUUGAGCUACAAUGAUUGGAUUAAGGUGAUUCUUAAACCAUUUGAAGCUAAGAUAUAGAUCUACAUUUGGUAUGAAGGCAUCGAAACCCAUGUCAGUCAUUUUCCUUGUCAAAAUGUUGAAAUACAGAAGUGCAACUCUGUUCUCGAAAGCUAAAACAGAGCUCUGGCUAGUCGAGGGUAUUUUCAUCAUUUCUUAGUCCACAGAGCUCCAAAUGAGAUGAUUCUUAAGGCAUUAGAACCCUAACUCAAAGAGCUACAACUUUCAUAUUUUGUACAAGAGUUAGUUCGGCCUCCAUCAUUCAGAAAAUAGUAGUUGAAGUGGUGCCAAAUGCAUAGAAGUGAAAACGCGAGCUAUCAAUACUCGACCUGAAGUCGCGUAUUCCUGAGGUCAUGCAUUCUCUUCUAUUUUCUGCAACUUGCCCUGCUUUCACAUAAUUUUUUCAUCUCAAUUCCAACUAUCAAUUUCGGCUAUAUCUGAUCAAGAAAAGUGUGGAAAGUUUGAAAGACAACUCAUAGGAGUUUCAAGAGUCAAAAAUUACAAUUAGAAACAACUCAUUUGGCUCUUGAAUCCUCUAUAAAUAGAGGCCUUUGAAGAACAUUUUCACAACUUUGGAAGGUUAGAGAAACUCCACAAAAACAUAGUCUUCACUAGAAUUUCCUUAGUUCAUUAGUUAGGGUAGUAUAGUAUAGUUAGUGUAGCUUUUCCUUCUUGUAUUUAUAGUUAGGUUUGAAUGAAGAUUCAGGAGCAAAGAUAGAGAGGUUGAUCUCAUGUGACAAGGGUGAUAUCUCUUCUACUACUUUCUCUUUUGUAUUUGAUUUCAUAUUUAACUAUACUACAAAUUUGGCUUUGUUUUUUUUUUUUAUCAUGUUUAGUUAAAGUUUAUGCCUAGAGUAUGGAUGACCUUUCUAUAUCUUGUUUGUGAUAUUUAACUGGUUAUUUGAUGAUGUUAUUUUUGAGCAAGUUAUUUAUCACUUUUGCUUUUCUAAUCGUGAUUAACUGGCCAUUAGUUGUGAUUAUCUAAAAGUGUUAAGUUUGUAAUGAGAAUUGGAGUUUAACACUAGUUCAAGGAAGUGAUAAAUUUAGGGAGUUCACUCAUGAGAGUAGAGGAACACCUUUGUGACCUAAGUGACUUGUUUCAUAUAAUUUCAUAGAAAAAAUGAACUUGUAAUUAAUUUCAUAACCACGAGAGUAAGUAUGGUUUAGCUAUAUGUAUAGUUGAUUCACUACGAGAGUAGGUUUCACAUACAUUAGAAAAUUACAUCAUAACUAGUCAAGAUAAUAUCAUUCAUUUAAUCAGUAAUCUCAUUUGCAUGAGUAGUAAGGCAUUCCAUAUCUCUAGGAGGUUUUUAGUAUUAUUUUCAUUACUUUUAUGUUUAUGGUAGUCUAGAUAAUAAUGGAGUUCAAAAACUACUAGUAAUUGAAAAUUUUCCCUGUGGGAUCGACCUUUAAUACCCUAUACUCGCUCUCGACUCGUAUACUUGCGAAAAAUCACGUGUGCGGUAUUUAGAAUUUAUAAAUGUAAAACUUGACUGUAGAUGAACUAAUUGAUAUAUGUAUACCCCGCACUCGUCAGUAACCAGCUUGUAUUGAUCCCAUUAUUGUGGAUAAUUGUGCUCUUAUGAAAAAAAAUUAUAAAAAAAUUAGCAAAAUUUAUGAUAACAAAUUAAAUUUAUUCAUACAAAUCAGUGAAAGAAGUAGAAUUUUAAAGACCAUGAUGAAAUUAAUACUUUCAAGGGCUCUAUUAGGAAGACUUCACUUGUUGGUGAAACUACACUAGCACAGUUAUAUGCACAUUUACUGUUUUGGUAUCUAAUUUCCUUGCCUUAAGUUGGGUGCAGAUGUUUAUAUUACAAAUAGAUGGUAUCAUAAAAUUGUUGUAUUCACGUUUGUUCUUUUUUUUUCUUCCUUAAGUUUUUUUCUUUAUUCUCGUGACUUCAAAAAUACGAACUCAAGAAAUUGGCUGCUUAAUCAAUAUGUCAUACAGGCUUCGCUAGUGAGGUAUAACUUCACAACUAGAGUCAAUAGAAAUUAUCAAAUGAUUUUUUAACAUCCAAAUUAAGCAAUAAAUUUUGUUUUCAUUUUAUGACAUAUAAUAGUACUACUUCAUGAGAGAUUUUAUAGUUUCUUUUAGGUAUCAUACCUACAAGUGAUAUUUGUCAUUGGAUAGUGACAGAAGUGUUAAUGAUUGUAAGAUUAAAUAUUGUUAAAUAUUGAAAUUUAAACUAUUUAUCUUUAUUGAAAGAUACAAGUUAAAGAAUCGUUCAAGGGGGCAAUUUUCCAUCUUGUCUUUUUGAAAAAACGCUAUCACAUUGUAUAGGCAUGAUAGGUUCAAAUUUGUCAUUAAAUUUAUGAUUGAUUUCCCUUUUAUUCAAGCCAAAUAUUGUUUUAAUUAUCAAAUUCUACUUAUAUUUGGUUAAUUGUACUAAUUGUAGGGCGGUAGAGCAAAAGUUGCUAAAAAUAGGUGAUUUUCUGCAAAUUGGUUGUCAAGGCUGAAGGAUUUGGGAUUCGCAUGUUCAAGGCCUGUUUCCAAGUUUGAUUCAAACUCUGGACAGUUUUAGAGGAAGAUUUGGAAGAUUUGAAAUUUCAUUAUUAGUUUUAUGGUUGAAUUAGGAAUCUUGGAAUAAUUUCUUUUGUGAUUUAUUUUUCUAUUUAGGAGACUAGUUGUUAUUUAGUAGUAGACUUCAAUUAGAAAACAAAGAGAAAAAGAAGGCCGGAAUCCCGCUUGAUUAAUACCUUGGCCAGGGAACAAUCUCGGUGGGGAGGACGGCCACUUAGCCUCUCAAUUCAUCUUGCUUUUCGUUAGUUUGAGAGGAAAACCAAUUGCAACUAGAUUCAAUGGAGUCUGGCAGAAUUUCUUCUAGGAUGCGUAGCUAAAUCCUCAAUUUUUAGUCGAAGGUCAAUUUGAAAAUUCGGUUCCAAAUAUCUGUGAAAUCGAAUUAUUUUACUUAUUUCUUUUAUUUAUUGGUAUUCGCACGUUUUCUGAUUUAACUUUUUAUGAUUGUUUUGUUAUUUGAAUGUCAAGGGUCCGAUAUUCGAAUUAACUUAAUAAUCUACUGCCAAAUUAACCGGUUAAAUCCGUAAUUGUUUGAUUGAUUAAUAUCAGUGGCGACUAGCGUGAUUGGUCCCAUGUUAGGAAAACGUCUGAUCUAAUUUAAACAAACCGUCGUAGCGUGUUUGUUGAUUAGGGUUGGACUUUUCUAAUUCUUAAUUCAAUUGAGAAAUUAAAUCUCCCGGUCGUACCUAAGAUUAUUUUUUUGUUAGCGAAAUAGUUAAUGGUCGUACCUUGACUAUCGAAAAAGUAAGGAAGAGUUGAUUGUUUAUCGCGUGUACGACAACUAUAAUCAAUCUAUUAAUGAGUAAUUGAAUUAUCUUUGCAUCAGUAAUCAGUUGAAUGGACCGUGUCUGAAAAGUUGUACCUUUGGCUAGAGUCUUAUCUGUUGUUGAUUCAUUCAUAUCUAUCUUCAUGCGUUGUUUUAAUUUAGUUAAUUAGUUAUUUUUAUAAAAACCCCUCAUCUCUGGACUCUAAAAGAAAUAAAUUAUUUCUAGUUCCUGUGGAUUCGAUCCUACUCACCGCUAUAUACAAAAUUUGUAUUUUUUUGAAUAAAUAAUUAUUAUUACACAGGCUUGACACCUGUCAAGGCAAAAUUUCCUUAACUUCAUCAUCUGUAGACGUAAACUUUCUACGGGUGAUAUAAUAUAAGGAAAUUUUGCCUAUACGAUGUGAUAGCAUUUUUUCAAAAAAGACAAGAUGGAAAAUUGCUCCCUUGAACGGAAAAAAUCAUGAUCUUUCCUCAAACUAGUCUACUAGUCAAUUCUUUACAAAAGAAUACUCGCUCCUAAACAUAGCCUGUUCAUCUACACUGUCCCGCAGAAUUCUAGAAAGUUAGGCAAAACUAGACAAGUUGACAGGUAUAAUCAUACCCAAGAUCAGGAACAAGCAGUUGCACAUUUCAAAAUUCGCUGCUGCAACAGCUAAUUUGAUGACUUACAACACUACACGGUCAAACUUUGAAUGGCAAUGGAUCUUUUGUUGUACGUCAUGAUGUAAUUUUCAUGUUACAUACAUUAAUAGGUUGAUAUCUAUAUUCUUUAAAUUAUCAUGAUAAUACCCUUAAUUAGAUUUAACUGAUAAAAAGAACACGUGUUAAUAUACAAAAGUGUGUAACGUGAAUGUUACAUUACUGUAUUGCAGAAGACCUAUAGUCUCUUCAUAUCUCUUCCUGCACGUAUCAAUUCGUUUCCUCUAGAUAAUAAUCUCCCAACUCGUUUCUUUACAAAUGCACCUUUUAUGUUUUAUUACCUCCAAAAGCCUUUACAGGGUCUUUACCCUAAAAAUCAAUUCACCGACUCGCAUUUGAUGUCAGAAAUUCUUAAGACGAAUUCUACUUUACUCAAAGAUUGACUGUUAAUAAUGAGACAGCGACCAUUUUGUAUUAUUAGACCGUCCUUCUUGAUAGGUAAAAGAAAUAGAGAGGAAAGUGGGUCCGUAUAUGGUCUUUUAUUCAUAGAUAAUACAACAUUACGCCAUCGAGCAUUCACACAAUAUUUCAAAGUCAUAGCAUGCCUAAGGCCCUGUUUGAUAGCUCAAUUUCGUAAUUAAAUUUAAUAGAUUCAAAUUUUAACACAUUUAAAUCAUUUGAUAACAAAAAAUUGAAUAUUUAAAUUAAUUAAGUAACACUGAACUUUCUAAACAAAACUUGCUUUCAAAAUUAAGUGAUAAGUUAUUCACUUAUCUUUGAAUGUGAUAUGCACUCAAAUAUAUUAAAUUUAAUAAUUUAAUGGAUUCAGAUUUCAGAUUUCAGUUUUAUUACACACCCUAAGUUGCAAAAUAAUACCAAAACUUGUUAUUAUAUAGCUUGAGAUUCAAAAAUUUAGAGCAUAAUUCUCAACCUAACACAAUCGAAUAAUGAAUAUUCACGAUUGUUUCAAAGUACAAUUUGAGGACAACCCAUUCCAACGCGUACACGAUUUUUAACUUUUCUAAAGUUGUUGAGAGCUGUUAAAAGAGAUUUACCAUGUUUACAUCUUCCAAGUCUUGGAAGUGAAAAAUGAAGCCACUGAGUGCUAUAAAAAGGGGGCUAGAGGCUGCCUAGAAGCAUAUCAGCCUAAAACAAGAAUUUGUAGUAACAAUGGGGAGCAAAGCAAAAGCAACGGGGUCUAGGCUGACUCCUCUUCUUACCACUGUUUUAGUGGUAUUUGUCGCCCUUGGCUUGCCCUUGGAAACUGCAGCUGAUUAUUACAAGUAUUCAUCUCCUCCUCCUCCUCCUUACCACUAUUCUUCACCACCACCUCCAGUGUAUUCACCUCCACCAACCCCUGCUUAUAAGUUACCCCCACCAUCUCCUCCAGUUUACAAGUCCUCACCACCACCUUACCACUACUCACCACCUCCGGUGUAUUUACCUCCACCAUCUCCAGUUUACAAGUCACCACCACUACCCCCUCCGGUAUACAACUCCCCGCCUCCACCAGUGUACAAAUACAAGUCCCCACCACCACCUCCUCCAGUUUACAAAUCUCCAUCGCCACCAGUUUACAAAUACAAGUCACUCCCACCACCUCCUCCGGUAUACAAGUCUCCUCCGCCACCUGUUUACGAGUACAAGUCUCCUCCACCACCUCCUCCAGUGUACAAGUCCCCACCACCUCCAGUUUACAAGUACAACUCACCUCCACCUCCUCCCCCAGUUUACCUGUCUCCACCUCCACCCUAUCAUCACUACUACGGUUCUCCUUCUCCUCACCACUACUAAGCAAGUGCAUAAGUUUUGAGGUAAUAAUACCUAUCCAAAACUUUAUCAACACAAACUGCCAUGUAUAUUAUCAUGCUAAGGACGUACACUUGAUCCAUGAAAAUGACUAGUAGAAGAUUUUUUUUAAGAACCAAAGAAAUACAUUAUUUUUUCGGUCUGUUUUCAAGAAUUUGAGCAGUAUACAGAUUAAAGAGUGUUUUUUUUUUUGUAAACUUGCUUGUCAACUUAAAAAUGCACAUAGCUGAAAGCCAACUGAAUAUUUGCAGGCAAAGGAGAAGGCAAUCGGUGUUUGAGACCUUCAAGAAGAUGUAGAAGAAUAAGAAUAAAAGCCCAAUGCGAGGAUGAUUCCAAGUUUCUACGUUACCAUUUCUACAUCUAAAUUGACUUUAGCUCCUGAGUUCCAUGUUUAUGGGGUUUGUACCGUUUUACGUACCAUGCAGUACAUGCUUGCAAGGUUUUCUGUCCUGUUGGCAAACUGCAGGUCCAUAUAAUAAAUGAAUACUAUUUACAUUACGACACUUUUCUCUUUUUCUCUUAUAUUUUGUCUUUAAUAUUGUUGAUCAUUUUUUUUUUAUCAAAAGCAUCAAAUGCUUAGGUAAUUUGGUCUAAUGCUAAUUGUUUUACUUUUAUUUUUCACCUACACCCCUUUUCAACUCAAAGGAUGCUAUAGUUUGUGAUAAUUGUUUAAGACCGAAGCAUGAUACUAAUAAAUAUCUCAUUGAAAGUCAAGGAAACUAACAUUAGGAAAAGUUUAAAUCUUGAUUUGAUGAAACUAUUUAUUCGUGGAAUUUAGAGAUACAAAACUCAAAUUGUGACGGUGUUGUUGCUAAAUUAUUAAGGACAUUAUCACCAUUAUUUUUCCCUGAUCACUAGUUUCAACUGCAAUGAUCUCAAUCUUUUUGUGACUAAUUCUUUCCUUAAUAAUUUAUAAAGACAAAACUCACAAAGAAUAUGUGACUAAUUCUUUCCUUUCGUCUUCUAAAGAAAAUGCCAACUGUUAGUUUAUCAAGGGGAAAAAGGAUCGACAUCAGUUAUUAUUGAAACUAGUAAGGAAUAAAUAAUGGUGAUAAUGUCCUUAAUAAUUUAACAACAGCACCAUCAGAAUUUGACUUUGAGCUUCGGUCUUAAACAAUGAUCACAAACUACAGCAUCCUUUGAGUUGAAAAAGGAAGUAGGUGAAAAGAAAAGUAAAAAAUACAAUUAGCAUUCCCUCAAAUUGUAGAAAGUUAGGUAGCAUUAUAGACAAGUUGAUAGCGGCAAUUUUACAUUUCAAACUUCACCUAUUCAAUAACUAAUUCGAUGGCUUGCUACAUGGUCAAUCUUUGGACCCCUUCCUGCCUCCAGAUAUCCCUUUCCUCAAUCAGGGGCUUCUACAAUUACCAGUUUCAAUUGUAUGGUAUAGUGUAAAUAUCAACAAAUUAGAUGUAGAUGCUAACAUAAUAAAUGUGAAUGCUAAGACAGCAACAUACAAUCGAACCUGCAAUUGUAUGAACCCCAAUCUCGCUUCCUAGUCCACCAUCUUUCUCUAGGUAAUAAUCUCCCUUCUAAUUUAUUCACAAAAUGCACCUUUCAUCACCUCCAAUAGCGUCGACAUGAUCUUUACCCUAGAAGACUAUUCACCGACUCUCAAUUGACGUCAGAAAAUCUAAGAGUAAUUCUACUUUACCCUAAGAUUGAUAUCAACAAGACAAGGACAAUUUAGAAUUAUUACACGCCUCUUCUUAAUAGGAAAAAGAAAUAGAGAAGAAAGUCAGGCCAGGUCUAAUUUCUUUUCAAAGGCAAUACAACAUUACGAAAUCAAGCAUUCAUUCAUACAAAUAUUUCAUAGUCACCGGUUUGCUGAGUAGAAAAAUUUAGACAAAAACUUAAUAUUAUAUUGUUUAAGAGUUAACAAUUUAGAGCUUAAUCUCCUUGUACUUUGGAGUUAACAAUUUAGAGCUUAAUCUCCUUGUACUUUGGACUAAACUUGAACGUGAAAGGAAAUCCCAAAACCAUAUUGGGCAUGAAUUCACACUUAAUAUACCCAAUAAAAGAUGGCGACUGGUGAAAGGCAGUGGAGACUGGUGGAGAGAUUUGAGGAAUAGAAGCAGACGGAAAAGCAACAAAUUUUUGCCGAAAAACGGUCACUUUCAUGGUUAAUUUUGCUACUCUCCAAUUGUACUUGACCAAUUACAACAAUUUCAUGGAGUUUGAUACGUGAAAAGAAUUUUUUAUAAAUUUUAUUUUGAUCCAUAAUGUUAUCUUUACAUAUAUAAAACAUUUUACAAUUUUGAUUUUGGCGCAGCUAACUUUUGGUUAACAAAAAUGCUCAUGUUUAAAAAACCAGAAAUAAAACAAAACAAGAAACAAAAGAAAUAAGAGGGUAGCAUAGACAUUUUGGAUUUUUCCGUUAAUUUGGAUGAUUUCCACCCACGUUCUAAUUUAAUCCAAAACACAAAGGAAUUACGUAGAGGUUUUAAAUAAUGAGGGAGCUUCAUGAUCGAACCCCAAACCACAAGGCGAUUUACUAUAUUUUACUCUUAAAUUUUGGUUUCAUCUCAUAGCAUACAAGAGUUCUAUUUCACUAUCUGUAGACAAAGACUUUCUAUGGUUGAUGUACCAUAGGAAAAAAUCUGCCUAUACAACGUGAUAGCAUUUUUUCAAAAACACAAGAUGGAAAAUUGCCCCUUAAACGGGGAAAUUCAUGAUCUUUCGUCGAACAAAGAAUACUCACGCCUAUUCAAGAUGGAAAAUUGCCCCCUUAAACGUCUAUUUGUCAAUUCUUGAAAAAAGAAUACUCACGCCUAAAACACGGCCUCUUCAUCUGCAGAAUUCUAAAAAGUUAGGUAAACUCUAUAAACAAGUUGAUAGGUACAAUCGUACCCAAGAUCAAGUACAGAUAGUUGUACAUUAACUGCUGCAAUAACUAAUCUGAUGACUUAUAAACAUAUCAUGGUCAAUCGUUGAAUGGUAAUGAGUCUUUUGUUAUGCAUUAGUAUUAGUGUGUACACUCUAAUAGAUUGAUACUUAUACUCUUUAAAUUAUCAUAAUAAUACCCUUAAUUAACUUUAACUCUUAAAAAGAAUACAUGUUAAUACACGAGUGUGUGUAACCUGAAUUGUUACUUAUAAAUUAGUGUGUAAUAGAUAGGGAUGGCAAUGGGGGCGGGUGCCCGCGGGGGGCUCUCGGGGCGGGGGUUGGGGCGGGGGGGAAUUUUUUCCCCCCGUUUAGAAAUGGGGCAGGGGACGGGGGAGUAUACCCCCGCCCCAUCCCCCGCAAAAAAAAAAUUAUAUAUAAUAUGUAAUUUAAUUAGUUAUAAACUUAUGAUAAUGAUAUUAUUAGUUAGAUGUAUUAUAUAAUGUAUAUUAGUGUAUGUAAUAUAAUUAAUAUUAUCAAUUAUAUGAAUAAUUAGACAUGUCUACUAAUAGAAUUUAUGAAUUAGUUAUACUAAAUUUACUAAUACAUUUAUACUAAAUUUCUAAUUACACUUAAUAGAAUAACACUUUUUUCUAAAACAAAAAAGCACAAACACAAUAAUGAAUUAGUGAUUGUAUGAUAGGGUGUAAUUUUACUAUUUAUUUUAUUAUUAAUUUCCCCUAUCACCUGACCUGAUGUGGAUUAAUUGCUGGAUUCUGCUCACUUUUAGUACUUUGUAUUUAUUUCAGGGAGUAGAACGGAAAUUUGAUAACAGGUGCUAAUUUGGCAGAAAAAGAGUCCAGAUGAUAGAGCUUGCCCCAAGGGCAUUUUUGGAAAGGAGAACUUGUGCCCAUCUUGGUAAUUUGGGAGAAAAGGGAAACAGACAAAAUGGGUCUAACAUGGAUUGGAAGCGGCCGCACAGUAGCAGGGAAGAGGGCAGACGUAAAAGCAAUUGCAGGGGGGAAAAGGAGUUUUUUUAGUUUUUAGCUUAGCAUCUGAUUUUCCCUGGGAGACUUUUGUUAAAGAUUUCCUUUUGGCUGAUAUUACGCAUGGCAGAUGGCUUUUAACUUAUUCCUCCAUCUUUGACUUUUCUUCUUUAGCUUGUGGCAGUGGAUUGCUACUUACGAAUGUCAGCACUUAGCCAUUCGUGGCUUUUGAUCUUUUCUUCCUUAGAAAUUCUGAGUAACCUCUUUUCCUUUGUGCGCCAGACGAAGUGAAAACUAUAAACUUUUGUAGUUUUUCUAUUCAUUCAAUAUAUUGAGACGAGUUGGAUUCUACCAAAUUUCAACGGACAUGGCCGCUGGUUUCUCUUCAAUUUUAUAUGGGCUUUGUUCAUCCAACAUGAACUAAUUUCACCACUCUAGUCAAGGAGCAACGAAGGCUCUGAUUUGCCUAAAAAUUGUGAGAUCGUUUUAAUUUAAUCUUUUCCUUUUAUUUAUUGGUAUCCGCACAUUUCUUGAUUGCUAUGCUUAUGGUUAUUUAAUUAAUUGAUUGUCUUGGAUCCAGAUAAUUAAUUGAUCUGAUAGCCUAUUGUCAAUUAGGGCAUUUAAAUCCGUAAUUGUUUAAUUGUCCUGAAAUAGUGACAACUGGCACGAUUAGAUUCGUGCCAGGGGGGAUAUGCGGGCUAAUCUAAAAUAACCCUGGUAGUGUGUUAUUUGGUUAGAAUAGGGCUCCUCUAAUACUAAGGCAAUUGGGGAAUUAAAUUCUACGGGCGUACCUAGGAUUAUUUCUUAAUUAGAGCAGUGAUUAACGGGCGUACCUUGAUCACCGACACAGUAAGGAGGGGUUGACCGUCAUCGCUUGUUUGGCAGUUAUAACCUAUUUAUCAGUAAAUAAUUGGGAUUGCCUUGCAUCAAUGAUCAAUUAGGUGAACCAUUGUUGAAGUUACUUCUUGGUUAGAUCUUUAGUUAAUAUUACCUUGAUUUUGGUGAAUUGCCAUUUGAUUUUUAGUUGCCUACUUUAUUUUAUUUUUAAUUGUUUCCUUGCUUUAAUUGAGUUAGGCCUUUAAUUAUUGUUAUUCUAAGUUUAGUGAAUUGUGGUUUAAUUCCUAAUUAGUUAUUUAUUUUUACUUUCUUAUUUGAAUUUAUUUGCUUGUUAUCAUUCCUACGAAAUCACCCCCCUGUGUUACUUUGGAUUUCUUAAGAAACAAAUAUACCCAAUCCCUGUGGAUACGACCCUACUUGCUCUGUUCACGAAUUCAUAAUUAUUUGUGAAAAGAAAUAACCAUUCCACUCGGGUAUAUCGGAUCAAGCAAAUUCUUCGGGAACAGGGUGAAUCAAGUAACCCAAUGCACACCUAGAGUCCCUGCUCCAGUACUUGGAAUUGGGUUUUGGUCAUUUUAACUGGCAAUUAGGUUUAAUUUUAUUAUUGCACAGGCUGACGACCCUGUCAAUUUUUGGCGCCGUUGCCGGGGACUGGCGUUAUUAUUUGUUUCUUUUUAAAUUCAUUCUUUGUCCUAAUUUUCUGGUUUUCUUCUAGUGUAUGCCUCGAUCUUCUCGUACAGGUAAUUUGAUUUUUGACCCUGAGGUAGAGAAGACCGCAUGUAGAACGAGAAAGGAAACCAGACAGCUCAGAGAAGAGCACUCCAGUGCUACAUCUCAGAGACCCGAGUCAGAAGUUGAACUAACAGAUUCGUUUGGUAACACUUCGAGUGACUCUGACCAGGAGGAAGACACCAUGGCUAAUGCACGAACAUUAAGGGAGUUGGCUGCUCCUGAUUUAACUCAGCAGCCUUUAUGCAUUACUUUCCCCACUUUAAAUGAUAACAUUCCAUUUGAACUAAAAUCUGGUCUGAUUCAGCUUUUACCCUCUUUUCAUGGUUUACCAGGUGAAGAGCCGUAUAAGCAUCUGCAGGAGUUUGAUGUCGUGUGUAAUAGUAUGAAACCCUCGGGAAUCACAGAAGAGCAGAUAAAAAUGAGGGCAUUCCUCUUCUCCUUGAAAGAUUCUGCGAAGGACUGGCUGUACUACCUGUCACCAGGUAGCAUCACCACGUGGGACCAAUUGAAGAAAAAAUUUUUGGAUAAAUAUUUUCCUGCGUCCAGGGCUGCAAGUCUAAGGAAAGAAAUUUGUGGGAUCAAGCAGCAUCCAGGGAAGUCACUUUAUGAGUAUUGGGAACGGUAUAAGAACUUGUUGCGCAGGUGCCCCCAACACCAAAUAAGUGAGCAAUUGAUCAUACAGUAUUUUUAUGAGGGGCUCCUUUUUAGAGACAGGAGCAUCAUUGAUGCCAGGGGGGAGGGUUGGGAUGGGUGGUACGGGGGGAGGGAGUGUAAGCAAGAGGUCUCGGGUUCGAGUCCUCCCGCUUACACACAAAAAAAAAGAUGCUGCAAGUGGAGGGGCACUGGUAAACAAAACCCCUCAGGAAGCACGGGAGUUAAUAGAGGGGAUGGCAGAGAAUUCACAACAAUUCAGUACAAGAGAGGAUGUCCCAAUACGUAAGGUGAAUGAGGUAGAGACACCCUCUAUGCAGCAGCAGCUAACUGAGUUGACCGCGUUUGUUAGGCAACUGGCUGUGAGAAAUGCAUCACAAGCCAGGGUGUGCGGGAUUUGCACUGGUAUGGGUCAUUCUGCAGACAUGUGCCCAAUGAUUCAGGAAGAAACUGCAGAACAGGUGAACAUGGCUGACCACGCGCCCGCGCCAAGGAAGCAGUACGACCCUUACUCAAGCACCUACAACCCCGGGUGGAGAGAUCAUCCCAACCUCAGUUAUGGAGAAAAUAGGCAGCCCAACAUUACACCGAACAGGCAGUCUAACUUUGUGCCAAAUAGGCCACCAGGGUACCAGCAGCAAUAUCAACCCCGACCACCUCCGUCCCCAAGCUCUGGCCCAUCUUUGGAGGAGAUGAUGAAACAAAUGAUGACAACUAUGGCUCAAAAUCAGCAAAUGACGGAGGCAACCAUUAUGCAAAAUCAGCAAAGGACGGACUCCGAAAUGAAGGAUAUAAGGAAUCAGAUAAGUCAAAUGGUCACAACAAUCAACCGUUUGGAUUCCCAGAACCAAGGUAAAUUGCCAUUUCAGCCCGAAUUAAAUUCGAAGAACGUGAGCGCAAUGACCCUAAGGAGCGGGAAAGAAAUUCAGGGGUCUGAACCUGUGAUCCCUAAGGAUAAGGAUGAGGAAAAGAUCGAAAAUGAGCUUGAAAGGGAGGACAGCAAUGGUGCAGAUCUAAAGGUACUUCCUGACCCAAUAAUUACAGCUAAAACUAACCCGCCUCCUUUUCCUAGCAGGUUGGAAAAAUCGAAAAAAGAGGAUAAGGAGAAGGAGAUCUUGGAGGUUUUUCGCAAGGUUGAGAUAAAUAUCCCCCUCUUAGACGCAAUCAGACAAGUACCAAAAUAUGCCAAGUUCCUAAGGGACUUGUGUGUCAACCGAAGGCAGUUGAGGGAAGAUGAACGGGUUAUUGUUGGGGAGAAUGUGUCAGCAGUCCUGCAGAGAAAGCUCCCACCAAAGUGCGGGGACCCAGGUAUGUUUACUAUUCCCUGUAGGAUAGGUAAUACUGUGAUAGAAGGGCCAUGUUGGAUCUGGGAGCAUCAAUUAAUCUCAUACCUAAAUCUAUCUAUGCUUCUCUAAAAUUAGGUCCAUUAAAAGAAACUGGAAUAAUCAUUCAAUUAGUUGACCGAACUAAUGCAUAUCCUGAUGGGUUGGUUGAAGAUGUGUUGGUAAAAGUUAAUGAUUUGAUGUUUCCAGCUGAUUUUUAUGUACUUGAUAUGGAUGAUGAUCACUCCCCUGAUCCCUCACCUCUGUUAUUGGGUAGACCCUUUAUGAGCACAGCACAGACGAAAAUUGAUGUUAAUAAGGGUAUCUUGUUCAUGGAGUUUGAUGGGAAAAUUGUGCAUUUCAAUAUCUUUGAUACUAUGAAAUAUCCCUCAAACUCCAACUUUAGCACAGUUUUCUCUGUGAGUGCUAUUGACCCUGUAGUGCAGGAAGUGUUUGAAACUGAUGGCAGGGAUGAGUUGGAGGUGGCUUUGACCAAGCACCUCGAGUUGGAGACAACUCCUGAGGUGGAAUGGAGCGAGGACCUAAAAUGCACAAUAGGUGCAUUACACUCAUUGCAGUCCACCACGAAAAGGUAUGAAGUCUUACCUAUUUUUACUCCCGAACCUCACCAGAGGGUGUUGCCAUCUGUGGUGCAGGCACCUGUACUAGAAUUUAAACCUCUAUCAGAGCACCUGAAAUAUGCAUAUCUGGGUGAUAAUGAGACACUCCCGGUGAUUAUCUCAUCGACACUGUCAAAAAUCCAGGAGGAGAAACUGAUCCGGGUCCUUAGAGAGCAUAAAGAGGCGAUAGGUUGGACAAUCGCAGAUAUUAAGGGGAUCAGCUCGGCCAUCUGUAUGCACCGGAUUAGACUAGAAGAGGAUGCCAAACCUGUUAGGCAGGCUCAAAGGAGGCUCAACCCCCUAAUGAUGGAAGUUGUAAAGAAAGAAAUUUUAAAAUUGCUAGAUGUGGGGAUUAUUUUUGCAAUAUCAGAUAGCCCUUGGGUAAGCCCGAUCCAGGUAGUCCCAAAGAAGGCAGGGGUGACGGUGGAGGCAAACCAAACGGGUGAGCUCGUGCCAGUGCGCAAACCCACUGGAUGGAGGCAGUGUAUAGACUACCGUAGGCUAAACGCCGUCACCAAAAAGGACCAUUUCCCUCUCCCUUUCAUUGACCAAAUGGUUGAACGUUUAGCUUGUAGAGCUUAUUAUUGCUUUUUGGAUGGAUUUUCAGGAUACUUUCAGAUAGCAAUUGCUCCAGAGGAUCAAGAGAAGACAACCUUCACGUGCCCGUUCGGGACCUUUGCUUAUAGACGAAUGCCAUUUGCGUUGUGCAAUGCACCUGCAACAUUCCAGAGGUGUAUGGUAAGUAUUUUUUCUGAAUAUGUGGAGAAAAUUAUUGAAGUUUUCAUGGACGAUUUCAGUGUGUAUGGUGAUAGUUUUGAUACGUGUUUAGAUAAUCUGAAAUUGAUCCUGAUAAGGUGUAUAGAGACUAAUCUUGUGCUUAAUUGGGAAAAAUGUCAUUUUAUGGUUGAGCACGGGAUAGUCCUGGGUCAUAUUGUAUCGUCUAAGGGCAUAGAAGUUGACAAGGCUAAAAUAGAUAUUAUUUUUGCAUUACCUUACCUCGCGAGUGUGCGGAAGGUGCGUUCUUUUCUUGGACAUGCAGGUUUUUAUCGAAUGUUCAUCAAGGAUUUUUCAAAAAUUGGAGCCCCGUUAUUCCAACUCCUACAAAAGGAUGUGACCUUCGAAUUCGAUGAUAAGUGUGAGGAAGCCUUCAACAAGUUGAAAGAAUUGUUGACCUCACCCCCAAUUAUCCAGCCCCCUGAUUGGAGUCUACCAUUUGAGAUCAUGUGCGAUGCCAGUGAUCAUGCCGUAGGGGCUGUAUUGGGGCAAAGAGUAGGGAAGGCAGCUCACGUCAUCUACUAUGCAUCCCGAGCAUUGAAUGGAGCCCAAUUGAAUUACUCCACUACUGAAAAGAAGCUUCUUGCAGUUAUUUUUGCUUUAGAAAAAUUCAGGUCAUAUUUGCUAGGUGCUAAAGUAAUUGUAUUUUCUGACCAUGCAGCAUUAAGGUACCUAAUGACCAAGAAAGAUGCCAAACUGAGGCUCAUUAGGUGGAUAUUGCUACUGCAGGAAUUUGACCUGGAGAUACGGGAUAAAAGGGGCUCAGAGAAUUUAGUAGCUGACCAUCUGAGUCGUAUACCCGUUGGAGAGGAUAAUGAACCAUUGAGGGAUGCGUUCCCUGAAGAGCACUUAUUUUCUUUAAAUUCUCAGUUGCCUUUGUAUGCCGAUCUGGUCAAUUAUUUGGUAACUGGUAAUUUUCCUGCAGGUUGACCAAAAUCGAAGAGGGAUAAAUUGAAGAGCGACGCCAAGUAUUUUAUUUGGGACGACCCGUACCUAUGGAAGAGGUGUGCAGAUCAAGUGAUGCGGAGAUGUGUAAGUGAAAUGGAAUUUCAAUCGAUUUUAGCUUUUUGUCAUACUUUUGCCUGUGGAGGUCAUUUGGACCCAAGAGAACUGCUCAUAAGGUUUUAGAAAGUGGAUUUUAUUGGCCUUCAUUGUUUAAGGAUGCCUAUGUGUUUUGUAAGUCAUGUGAUCGCUGUCAAAGGGUAGGUAAUAUACCCCGUAGAGAUCAAAUGCCCCAAGUCCCGUUGAUUUUUAUUGAAAUUUUUGAUGUCUGGGGUAUAGAUUUCAUGGGGUCUUUUCCUACUUCAUUUGGUUUUUUAUAUAUUUUGCUGGCAGUUGAUUAUGUGUCUAAAUGGGUGGAGGCUAAGGCCACUCGAACUAAUGACUCGAAAGUAGUUGCAAAUUUUGUCAGGUCUAAUAUUUUUGUGCGAUUUGGAAUGCCUAGUGCUAUUGUCAGUGAUAGGGGAACGCACUUUUGCAACAAAAUCAUAGCUGCGUUGUUUCGCAAGUAUGGUGUACUCCAAUGGGUCUCAACGUCGUACCACCCUCAGACCAAUGGUCAAGCGGAGGUGUCGAAUCGAGAGAUCAAGUCUAUCUUGGAGAAAAUGGUGCGCCCCGAUAGGAAAGACUCGAGUCAAAGGCUGGAGGACGCACUUUGGGCCUAUCGGACGGCGUACAAGACUCCUAUAGGGAUGUCACCGUACAGGUUGGUAUUUGGGAAGCCGUGUCACCUUCCAGUGGAGUUUGAGCACAAAGCUUUUUGGGCGAUAAAGUAAUGCAACAUGAAUUUAGAGGAAGCCGGUGCCCAACGAAAGUUGGAUUUGCAAGAAUUAGAAGAGAUCCGGAACGAGGCUUACGAAAAUGCACUAAUUUAUAAGGAGAGAAGCCGGAUAUUUCAUGAUCAACAAAUUUCAAGAAAAUCCUUUGAAGUUGGUCAGAAGGUCCUACUAUACCAAUCCAGGCUCAAGCUAUUCCCAGGUAAACUACGUUCCCGUUGGAUUGGACCUUUUCUUGUUACUCAUGUUUUUCCAUAUGGUGCAGUUGAAAUCCGGAGCGCUAAAACAGACAACAAAUUUGUGGUGAAUGGACACCGUCUCAAGCAUUACUACGAAGGAUUUUCAGGUGAAAAGGUGGAGACAAUAAGUCUAGACGCGCCACCGUGUCCUAAUCAGUGACAUUUUACUAUGUCUAGCCAAAGACAUUAAAGACAGGCGCUCAUUGGGAGGCAACCCAAUUGUCCCUUUUAAUUAUUUGUUUGAUUUCGUGUGAUAGUUUAAAUAUGUUUUCCUUGAAUUCGACUGAUUUUGGGUUUCAGUUUUCGUUUUUGCUGAAUUGUAGGUGACCUUCAGUCUUGACGCGCCCGCGUGAUGACAUGCAGGAAGCUCACGAUCAGAAUCGUCUGAAAGCUCUCUUGCCCUUUUGACGCACCCGCGUGAUGACGUGCAGGAAGCUCACGAUCAGAAUCGUCUGAAAGCUCUCUUGCCCUCUUGACGUGCCCGCGUCACGUUCGCAGGAAAGGUACGGGUUUCAAAAAUUUAAAGAAAAAAUAAUAAUAAUAAUAAUUUAAAAUUUUGAAAUUAACUUCCGUAAAAAAAAAAAAGAAGAAAAAAAAUUUCACCGUGGCUUAAAUAGAGCCUAAAGAAGAGAAAAAAGAAACAAUUUCUUUCUUUUUUUUUUCUUUUUCUUCUUUCUUCCUUCUUUCUUUCUUUCUUCUUUCUCUUUUCCCUCUCUCUUCUCCCCUGUUUCUUCUCCCCUGUCCGUCGCCCGUGCGCCCCAUCGCUGCUCCACCUCCACACGCACGCCGACGCUGCGAGCCACCUGCGACCCCAGCGCCAGAUCUGGACCAUCGCCGAAACCCGCAGCCUCCGCCACCUCCACCUGAGCUCUGCCUCGCGCGCAACCCAGCUGCUCUGCGCCCGAAGCUCCACCGCCGCCACAGCCUCCCCACGCAGCUCCCUGCUCACGCGGCCACAAGCCCAUUGGAAACGGGACAGAGACUGCCGCCGAGCCACUUGCCCGCGUGACCGCCGCUGUUUUCCACCACCUCCCUCACGCGAGCUCUUUCCCUCUCAGCAGCAAUCCACUUCACAGCGCACCCGCUGCGCGCCGUCGCAGCCCUCGCAGCUCCAGCCCGUCUGGUCUAGUCCGCCGCGCGCACCAACCACCCACGGACGCUACCCCCAUCGCUAACCCACGCGGCCUCCACUCCAGUCUGUCCGCCGCCGCUGCUCGUGUCUCCCUUGCGCACCUCACGCCACCCGCUACUGUCCCCUUCCGUUUGGUUAGCAUCCACGGUGGAGGUAAUUGGAGGUUAUUUUCUCAAUUGUGUGACUUCCGCCUGUGAUACUGGUUGCAUUAUUUUUGCUGGGAAUUGCUACUUCUUUUGGGUUGGGUUCAACUGUGCAAUUAAUUGGCCAACUGGAGCCAUUUGUUGGGAUUUUGGGUGAGCUGAAAUACUGCAUUUGUGUGUUACAUUGGGAGGUUUAUUGGGUACAUUCUAACCGCUGUUUUCCAUUGUUACUCUCGCUGGGGUGUCUAUUAAAUUGCGAUUGAAGUAUUUUGGAUAUUGCAUGUUGAGAUUGAGGUUUCAUUGAAUUUGGCCUACGUUCUGCCCCCAGUGGUACUGGUGGGAAUAUUUUCAAUUGAAUUUGUUACCUCUAGUUGGUUGGCUACAUUAUUAUGGUCGAAUUCCUAAGUUGUCGUCAUUGCAUUUGUUGAUCUUGAUUUGGGGCAUUAACCGGCCAACUGGAGCCAUCUGUGCGUUUUUAGGCGCUAUUAUUGGUUUCUUCUCCCUUAACUUUGUCAACUAUAUUUGGUUGGGUAUUUGGUUGACUGCCACGGACUUGUAACUGUGUUUUGCUUCUAAUUGACCAGUUGCACAGCAGUUUUUUUUUAAUUGAUAGGGUGGUUAUACCUCUGGAUAUUUGUAUCCACUGGUUUGAGGACAUGGUGAGACCAAAAUCCUCCUCUAGGUCUAGGACCCCUAGAACCUCGCAAUCCCAACCCCAAGCCUCUACUCUAGUCAAUACCCCUAUAAAUCAACCUACUGCUCCCGGUGUCCGAACCUGGUUAGGUAGGGGUAGAGGUGCCCACGUGGCUUCCGCCACUCACUUGGGAGGGCAUUUGGAAUUCACUAGAGCCGCCGAUCAGCGACGCUAUGCUCAAGCUUGUGAGCGGCGUAUCAUUCCGUGCAAAUGCGCGGACCACAUUACUAUGGUUUUUCUGGGGAUCCAAGGGGAGGUUGAGCGCAUGUACACCGCCAUUGGAUGGCGCCCCUAUCUGGAUAUUUUCCAGCCAGCCUUUGUCGAGUUGACUAGAGAGUUUUACACCACUUUUAAGUUUGAAUUACCGACUAGGUAUACUGUUGCGACUCCCGAUAUCAUUCACUUCCGUCUCAUGGGCCAGGAAUUCAAUUUCUCUAUCACCCAGUUCAAUCUGGCUUUCGGUUUCAUCACUCGGGAGUAUGCAGAGACUAGGGAAUACGGUGAGAGUGCCUGCGAUUUUGUGGAACCUUUCCUUACCGCCUACCGUGAGGUGUGGGAGGACAUGUCUGUGGACAUGCAGCGUUACGAUCCCUCUCGGUCUCGGAGCUCCUUUCUAGAGGACCCGAGUGCUCGGUAUGUUCAGCGGCUUUUAGCAUAUAGCUACUCGGGCAGAAAGAACAGCUUCGGUAUUAUCUCUCGGCCGGAGCUCUUCUUCCUUUGGUGUAUGAAGAAUGGGUUCAAGGUCAAUUUGGGUUGUUGGUUGGCGGCACAGUUCAAGACCGUCAUGGCAAAGAAGAACAAGCCGUUGAUUCUUGGGUCGUAUAUCACGUACUUGGCGGUCCAGCUAGGCGUUCUGAAUCUACAGGAUCACGAUUUGCACUUGGCCUGCGACAUGGAGUAUCUCACUGCUGACCGGCUAGAGAAGAUGGGGGUUCUGGAGCUUGUCGAUGGCCACUACCGAUUUGUGCCCCCGGGACCGCCCCGCGCCCCGCCUCGCUCUUCCUCCACCCAUUCGGCCCCAGUUGGCGGUGAUCCUGGCCCGUCGACAUCCGCUCAGCUCCCUCCACCAGCAGGGGCUGAAGAUUGGCACCAAAUCAGGACGCAGAUUCAGAAUUUGGACGCCCGGAUGAUUAGCAUCGAGAGCAACGUGGCGGCUAUAUCACAGAAUCUGGCGGCAUUCCUGCAGCACUCGGGUUUCCCGCCCCCAAUCCCACCUCACCCUCCACUAUGACCCGGUUUCAGGGAAGUUUGGUUACUUUCUCCCUCACUUUUGUUGUUUUUUGACACAUUGAGGACAAUGUGUCCUAUAGGUGUGGGGGGGUCUAUAGUCUUUCUAGUUUUUAGUAGUUGUUAGUUUUUAGUUUUUUAGUAGUUUUAGUUUUAUUUCUAGUUGCGUAUUUUCUUUCUUUUCUUAGUGCUUAUUCCCCAUGUGAAAAGAAAAAGAAAACAAAAAAAAAGAGAAAAAAAUGUUGGUUUAUUGACUCUAACUCUACUUUUGCCAAGUUUUUUUUAAAUAAAAAUGUAUCGGGUUAAUGUGGUUGGAUCCAGAAUAUCUCCCUGGUGAAUAUCGGAUUGCUUGGCUCUUUUGAUUUCUGUGUUAAUUUCUCUAGGCAUAGGGAAUGACUGUUGGCAUUUUAAUGUGAACUGGUCCAAUAUUGACUCCAGUUCUCUAUGUUUGGCAAUAAUGAGGCGAGCUGUUCCUAUUUUUGGUUCUUAGUGUUGUUAUUAUGUGUUUUUGGCUUUGUUUGGCUGUGAAUAAUCUGGACUGUACUCCGCUAUGAGUUACUACUGAGUAACCGAGGAUCGGCACCUAAAAGUGUCGAUUCUCGCGUCAAAAGGUGGUACUUUAUAUGAGUACGUGGUCGUAUAGCAGUAGGAGCUGAGUAACCGGGCUCCUUCAUCUAAAAAUGUUGGAGUUCGCGUCAAAAGGCCCCGACGGCUAACGACUAAGUCUUUUUGUGUUAAUUAUUAUUGCUUUGAAAAACAAAAAAAAAAAAGAACGAAAAAAGAGAGAAUAAAUAAUAGGAAGGCUUGCCGGUUUAUGGACUUAAUAUGGAGACUUGUGUGAAUAUUUGGACCAUUAGCUAAUAAAUGUUGUGCGCCAUUCCCUUUUCUUAGAGUAGUUAACCUGGAAAUUGAAGGAAUUUGCAGUUUAGGGGCUAACCGGGGGGGAGGCUUCUUGGAUUUUAAUCACCAAUGCUCGAUAUAUGUUUUUCUCUUGAAGAUCUUGGCAAUAUAGGAGAUUGGACAAUGGCCAUCAUCGAAUUUUGGUGUUCGUUUACUAUUCUUAUGCUUGAGGACAAGCAUGGUUUAGGUGUAGGGGGAAUUGAUAGGGUGUAAUUUUACUAUUUAUUUUAUUAUUAAUUUCUCCUAUCACCUGACCUGAUGUGGAUUAAUUGCUGGAUUCUGCUCACUUUUAGUACUUUGUAUUUAUUUCAGGGAGUAGAACGGAAAUUUGAUAACAGGUGCUAAUUUGGCAGAAAAAAGUCCAGAUGAUAGAGCUUGCCCCAAGGGCAUUUUUGGAAAGGAGAACUUGUGCCCAUCUUGGUAAUUUGGGAGAAAAGGGAAACAGACAAAAUGGGUCUAACAUGGAUUGGAAGCGGCCGCACAGUAGCAGGGAAGAGGGCAGACGUAAAAGCAAUUGCAGGGGGGAAAAGGAGUUUUUUUAGUUUUUAGCUUAGCAUCUGAUUUUCCCUGGGAGACUUUUGUUAAAGAUUUCCUUUUGGCUGAUAUUACGCAUGGCAGAUGGCUUUUAACUUAUUCCUCCAUCUUUGACUUUUCUUCUUUAGCUUGUAGUAGUGGAUUGCUACUUACGAAUGUCAGCACUUAGCCAUUCGUGGCUUUUGAUCUUUUCUUCCUUAGAAAUUCUGAGUAGCCUCUUUUCCUUUGUGCGCCAGACGAAGUGAAAACUAUAAACUUUUGUAGUGUUUCUAUUCAUUCAAUAUAUUGAGACGAGUUGGAUUCUACCAAAUUUCAAUGGACAUGGCCGCUGGUUUCUCUUCAAUUUUAUAUGGGCUUUGUUCAUCGAACAUGAACUAAUUUCACCACUCUAGUCAAGGAACAACGAAGACUCUGGUUCGCCUAAAAAUUGUGAGAUCGUUUUAAUUUAAUCUUUUCCUUUUAUUUAUUGGUAUCCGCACAUUUCUUGAUUGCUAUGCUUAUGGUUAUUUAAUUAAUUGAUUGUCUUGGAUCCAGAUAAUUAAUUGAUCUGAUAGCCUAUUGUCAAUUAGGGCAUUUAAAUCCGUAAUUGUUUAAUUGUCCUGAAAUAGUGACAACUGGCACGAUUAGAUUCGUGCCAGGGGGGAUAUGCGGGCUAAUCUAAAAUAACCCUGGUAGUGUGUUAUUUGGUUAGAAUAGGGCUCCUCUAAUAUGUAAGGCAAUUGGGGAAUUAAAUUCUACGGGCGUACCUAGAAUUAUUUCUUAAUUAGAGUAGUGAUUAACGGGCGUACCUUGAUCACCGACACAGUAAGGAGGGGUUGACUGCCAUCGCUUGUUUGGCAGUUAUAACAUAUUUAUCAGUAAAUAAUUGGGAUUGCCUUGCAUCAAUGAUCAAUUAGAUGAACUAUUGCUGAAGUUACUUCUUGGCUAGAUCUUUAGUUAAUAUUACCUUGAUUUUGGUGAAUUGCCAUUUGAUUUUUAGUUGCCUACUUUAUUUUAUUUUUAAUUGUUUCCUUGCUUUAAUUGAGUUAGGCCUUUAAUUAUUGUUAUUCUAAGUUUAGUGAAUUGUGGUUUAAUUCCUAAUUAGUUAUUUAUUUUUACUUUCUUAUUUGAAUUUAUUUGCUUGUUAUCAUUCCUACGAAAUCACCCCCCUGUGUUACUUUGGAUUUCUUAAGAAACAAAUAUACCCAGUCCCUGUGGAUACGACCCUACUUGCCCUGUCCACGAAUUCAUAAUUAUUUGUGAAAAGAAAUAACCAUUCCACUCGGGUAUAUCGGAUCAAGCAAACUCUUCGGGAACAGGGUGAAUCAAGUAACCCAUUGCACACCUAAAAUCCCUGCUCCAGUACUUGGAAUUGGGUUUUGGUCAUUUUAACUGGCAAUUAAGUUUAAUUUUAUUAUUGCACAGGCUGACGACCCUGUCAUUGUAUUUGUACCAAAAGUGAAAACUUAACUAUUUUAGUUGUAUUUAUUUCAUCAUGUUGGAUUGUAUUCAAAUAAUUUUUGUUUGAUUGUUUUUAUAAGUUUCAAUUGUAAAAUUAAAAUGAAUAAUAACUUGAUGAUGUGUUGAUAUUUUAGUACUUGAUUAUUUAUUAAAAUUUAAUUAUAAUAAAAUUUUAUUAACUCAACGAGAAAAAUUUUAUUAAUCCCGUGGGGGCACCCGCGGGGAAAGCGGGGCGGGGCGAGGGGAGUGGGAGGCGGAGGACGGGGCGGGGGCGGGGGAUGGGGGAGGGGUCCCCCGCCCCAACCCCGCCAUCCCCCGUCCCGUUGUCAUCCCUAGUAAUAGACUGGCAAGCAUUGUGGUGGUCAUUGAGCAACUUAUAGGAGAAAUAGUCCUAUAAGCUGUUCAAUGACCAAUCACAACUUGCUAAUUGGAUGACUAAUAUAGCUCUAGCUGUAAUGUUUUAAUUAAAUUACAUCACUAACGUUGGGAUGACUUUUUAACCAAAAAAAAAAAGCCUUAGUUCAAGCUUUUCCCUUUAUUGUGCAUUUUUUAAAGCAUUUGAAAGGCACUGCAAAUCUGUCAUUUUGGACAUUUUAUUAUUGACUAACAAUGAAAGCCGUGGACGUCUACCCAUAACCAACACAAGAUUAAAUUAAUAUUAGAAAAAAUAAUUGAGUAAUUGGAAAAAAAAAAAAAAGAAGAGUCUAAUUUUCAUUGAAACCCACCGACAAACUAUACGUGUCCAUGGCUUUUGAAUAGUGCAUUCAACGUUUAAUUGUAUGGUCCAGUUCAUUGCAGAUUACAUGGAGUAAAGAUUGCGCUCUUUCCUUUUCACCCCUUUUGGAAUCGAUACUGUGGAGAAUUGGGUUUUUCCCUCCUUUUUUUCUUUUCUUUCCUUCUGUGGUUUGCAAAACAUACGUAAAAAUAUGAAAUCCGAAGCAUUCUUUAAUUGGUAUUAAGUAUUGUUGUUGAAAUUAAAAAGAAAAAAGAAAGAACAACAAAAUUCCCAAUCUGGGUUGAUUGUUGAGCUCUAGAUUGGUUGCAUCGUGCUUCCAUAGAAGCAAGAUUUGUAAAAUCGGAAUCCUACAUAGGAUCGAUUUUAGUUUCACAGGAUCGGAUUGUAAAAUCGUAAGAUCCUACCAAAAGCUCUCAAUUGCAAUUAAAGGUUGCAAUUCUUUAAUAAAUUACAAAUAUACCACAAAUAUUUUCAUUUACUUGCAAAAUGGAGCUUCGUAUUUCACAAAUUUACAAAAAAAUUGUAGGAUCGUACGAUCCUACCGAUCCUACGAUCCUACACGAUCCUACCGAUCCUGCUACGAUUCUAUGCGAUCCUACAAAGAUUAAUAUGAUUUGCGACUCUGCAUACGAUCCGGAUCGAUUUUGGUUAUCCGGAUCGUAGGAUCGUAUGAUCCUACGAUCCGGAUCGCGAUUUUGACAACUAUGCAUAGAAGCUCUCUUAGUGUGAUACACUGCUUUCAAUCAGUUUAACACGGGAAAAAAAAAAAGAGAUGAAAAGCAAAUUUGGUGGAGAUAAUUUCAGAAACCUCCCCUGAAGAUUUUGACUAUUCUACUGGUUUCCCUUCAGAUUUUAAAAAUUACACUAAUCUUCCUUGAAGUUAAUUAUCUUGUAACAUUUAAAUUCAAUCAAUAAUUUAAAAAAUGAUAUUAUGAGAGAGAAAAUAAUAUGAUUUUAUCAUUGCCCCCCAUCUUACUACAUUAUUUAAUUAAUUUAAUAGCAACCCACACAUUAAAGAAAAAUAUUAAAAUUUGUUGUUUAUCAUUAAAGAUCAAAUCGCUUAUAACAUCAAAUAAUAGUAUAUUAUUUAUAUUUUUCACUUAAUAUAAUAUCCAAAUUACUCUUUUCAAUUACAUACCCAUUGUUAGAGAAUCAACAACAAAUAACCAAAAAAUUUGCAACCAAAAUAUUACAAAAAAAAUAAACUUUAACAUCAUAAAUAUUCUUAUCAACAUAUUAAAGUUAGUUACUGAAAUUUUUAUGCUGUUAAACUUCACUCUUUUUGAAUACAGAUUUUUUUGAUUAUUUGUUAUUAAUUAUGUUUGAUGAUGGGUUUAUAAUUGAAAAGAACAAUUUGAAACUUACAUUAAGUAAAAUAUAUAGAGUGAUAUACUAUUUUUUAUAACAUAUGUGAUUCAAUCCUUCUUGAUAGGAUUGGUAAUAGAGGUAGAGGGGGGAGUCGGCUGCAUCCGGUCUUCUUUUCAUAGAUAGUACAAUAUUGCGAAAUCAAUCGCAUUCACACAAUAAUAUUUCGAAGUCAAUGCAUGGCUAAGUUGCAUAAAAGUACGAACACUUGUUAUUAUAUAGCUUAAGAUUCAAAACUUUCGAGCAUAACCCUCCACCCAACACAAUUGAAUAAUGAAUAUUCACGAUUGUCAAAUCUGUCAAAGCACAGUUUGAGGACAACCCAUUCCAACCUGCAAAAGAUUUUUUACUUUUCUAAAGUUGUUGAGAGCUGUAAAAAGACUUACCAUGCUUGCAUCCUCCGAGCCUUGGGAGUUAAAAAUGAAGGCACUGAGUGCUAUAAAAAGGGGAAUAGAGGCUGCCUAGAAGCAUAUCAGCCUAAAACAAGAAUUUGUAGUUAAGAUGGGAAGCAAAGCAAAAGCAAUGGGGUCUGGGCUGACUCCUCUUCUUGCCACUGUUUUAGUGGUGUUUGUUGCUCUUGGCUUGCCCUCACAAACUGCAGCUGAUGAUCACUACAAGUAUUCAUCUCCUCCUCCUCCUUACCACUAUCCCUCACCACCACCACCAGUGCAUAUACCUCCACCUCAUCCUGUUUACAAGUACAAAUCUCCACCACCCCCACCACCACACCCAGUUUACAAGUAUAAGUCACCACCACCACCUCCUCAUCCGGUAUACAAGUAUAAGUCUCCUCCGCCACCACCACACCCAGUUUACAAGUACAAGUCACCACCACCACCUCCUCAUCCGGUACCACACCCAGUUUACAAGUAUAAGUCACCUCCACCACCUCCUCAUCCGGUACCCACAGUUUACAAGUAUAAGUCACCACCACCACCUCCUCAUCCGGUAUACAAGUAUAAGUCUCCUCCGCCACCACCACACCCAGUUUACAAGUAUAAGUCACCACCACCACCUCCUCAUCCGGUGCCACACCCAGUUUACCACUACAAGUCACCACCACCACCUCCUCAUCCGGUACCACACCCAGUUUACCACUACAAGUCACCACCACCUCCUCACCCAGUUUACAAAUACGAGUCUCCACCACCACCAGUUUAUAAGUACAAGUCACCACCACCUCCUCCACCAGUUUACAAGUAUAAAUCUCCUCCACCACCACCACCAGUUUACCACUACAAGUCUCCACCACCUCCUCCCCCAGUUUACAAAUACAAGUCUCCACCACCUCCUCACCACUACUAAGCAAUUGCUUCUGAGGUAAUAACACUUGUUCAAUAUACCCACUUCUGCAUGAUAAAGCAUAUCUCUAUCAACACAAACUGUCAUGUCUAUCAUGCUAAGUGCCUUCACUUCAUCCACCAAAAUGACUGCUAGAAAAUUUUUUUUAUGUUACCAAAGAAAGGCAUCAUUUUUUCCCUCUGUUAUCAAGAACUUGUACAGUAUAUAGAUUAAAGAGUAUUUUUUUAACUAGCUUAUCAACUGAGAAAUGCAUAUAGCUGAUAGCCAGCUGAAUAUUUGCAGGCAAAGGAGAAGGAAACCAUGUUUGAGACCUUCUUGAAGAUGUAGAAGCAUAAGAAUAAAAGCCCAAUGUGAAGAUGAUGAUUUCAAGUUUUUCUACGUUACCAUUUCUUUAUCUAAAUUGGUUGUAGCGCCCAAGUUCCUUUGUUUAUGGGAUUUGUAUCGUUUUACGUACCAUGCAGUACAUGUCAUGUUUGUAAGGUUUUCUAUCCUGCCGGCAAACCGCAGGUUCCAUGUGAUAAAUGAAUACUAUUUAUGUUACGACACUUUUCUCUGUUUCUCUUAUAUUUUGUCUUUAAUAUUCUUAAUCAUAUUUUUAACAAAAAUAUUCAAACACUUAGGCAAUCUGGUCUAAUGCUAAUUGUAUGUUUUACUUUUCUUUUUCACCUGCUCCCCUUUUCAACUCAAAAGGAUGCAAUAGUUUGUGAUCACUGUUUAAGACGGAAGCAUGAUACUAAUGAAUAUCUCAUUGAAACUCAAGGAAACUAACAUUGCGAAAAGUGUAAAUCUUGAUUUGAUGCAACUAUUUAUUCGUGGAAUCUAUAGUUACAAAACUCAAAUUCUGACUGCGCCAUUGAUAAAUUAUUAAUGACGCUAUCAUCAUUAUUUAUCCCUAACUAGUUUCGACUACAACUGAACCCAAUAUUUUCCCCAUGAUAAAAGUUUUUGACUAUUUUACUGGCCUCUCUUCAAAUUUUAAAAAUUACACUAAUCUUCAUUGAGAUUAAUUAUCUUGUAACAUUUAAGUCCAAUUAAUAAUUAAAAAAUGAUAUUAUGAGAGAGAAAAUAAUAUAAUUUUAUCAUUGCCCCCCAUCUUGCUAUAUUAUUUAAUUAAUUUAAUAGCAACCCACACAUUAAAGAAAAAUACUAAAAUUUGCUGCUUUUCAUUAAAGAUCAAAUUGCAUAUGCCAUAAAACAUAGUAUAUCAUUCUAUAUGUUUCACUUAAUGUAAGAUCCCAAUUGUUCUUUUCAAUUACAAACCCAUUGUCAAACAUGAUCAAUAACAAAUAAUCAAAAAAUUUGCAACCAAAAUAUUACAAAAAAAAACUUUAACAUCAUAAAUAUUCUUACCACCUCUAGUGCAUUCACCCUCAUAAAAUAAUUCAAGACCCUACUGUCAUAAAAUGACUGAUCAACUCCUGUAAACCUAAUUUGACAACAUUUAAAUGGAGAACUUUAGCUAAAAGAAUUAUGGUCAAGCUAAAGAAAAAACCAGUUAUUUUCCAACAUAUGCAACCAUUGAUCAGGGGAAAAAAAAAAGCAAAAAGACAUCUUCAAUCAUUUAAUAGCUUACAGGGCAAAUUAACCCUUGAGUGAAAACUGGUUGCUCUAGAAUUAAAAUUUUACCUUAGUUACCCAGGCAACUUUUUUGUUGCCUUUUCUUUUUCUUUUUUGGGUAUAUAGCUCCAGUUUUGCCCCCUCUGUCAAGCUUAUAUAAUUAUUAAGAUAAUAAAAGUGCCUUUAAUAGUAUUAAUAUAUCCAUUGACUUGAGCUGUCAUCGAUCGGUUUGGGCUACUUCGAUUCCAUGAGAACAAAUGGUAAUAAAAGUACUCAGAAAAUGGGGAGUCAUGAAACCCUUUUGUUCUAUUCAUUGCUAAGAUGCUUUUCUCUAUAAAGAGACUUCCUAACGAAAAUACUUUGUAGAUUUCUUUACUCCAAGUGGUGCAUGGAAAAUUAAUAUUUUCAAUUAUCAAAUAAAAUUCCCUUUUUUCGGCGUAGAUUUCAUCCAUCCAGCUGUUAACACAUUCUAUAAAUCCGAAUUGACUAAUCUUUUCGUUUCCAUUUUCCAACUUGCGAAUACGGCAUAUAGUGUCUGCUAAACACUAUAUAUUCUCUGCCAAAUAUGAAUACAUAUCACUUUUCUGAGCAAGUGCAGAGUCAUUAUCAUUUUUAUUCCCACCUAACAAAUUAGGGAUAAAAAAGUUAAUAAUCUUUACAUGCUAUCAGGUCACAAGUUAAUAAUCUUUUAAAGAACAUGUUAAAUUAAUUUAUUGGUAUGAAUAGUAGUCAAAGAAGUAUGUUAAAGUUAGUAAUCUUUAAAAUAAUAUGUUAAAAUCAUUCGUACAAAUUAGUCAGAGAAGUAGCAUAAACACCGCGAUGCAAUUAAUACUUUCAAUCUCAAGGUCUCUAUUAUGGAAAUUUGCAUCGGUCAAUAUACACUUGGCAUAAUAUAAUCUCCCAACUCAUUUCUUUACAAAUGCACCUUUAAUCACCACCAAAAGGUGUGGACAUGAUCUUUACCCUAGAAAACUAUUCACCGACAGGCAAAUUGACGUCAGAAAUACUGAGGAAUUCUAGUUUCCUUCGGGUUCAUGCCAUGUUGUAUCCUUCAACUGUAACUCGAUUUCUAAGCUGUAAUUUGUGACAUAAUAGUCCUUAAACUAUGAAACCCUUCUUACUUAAUUACAAUGGUUAAUACAAUGCCCGUGACUAGACAAGUAUGAAGCAACCAUAACAGAAAAAAAAUCCAAAAUUAGAGAAAAGAAAGAAGUUUCGCGACCACCACCAGUUUACAAGUCACCUCCACCACCUCCUCCAGUUUACAAGUCACCUCCACCACCUUACCAUUAUUCCUCACCACCACCUCCAGUGCAUUCACCCCCACCACCACCAGUUUACAAGUCUCCGCCACCACCUUACCAUUAUUCCUCACCACCACCUCCUGUGCAUGCACCUCCACCACCAAUUUACAAGUCACCUCCUCCAGUUUACAAGUCUCCACCACCACCUUACGAUUAUUCCUCACCACCACCUCCAGUGCAUUCACCCCCACCACCACCAAUUUAUAAGUCUCCCCCACCGCCUCCCCCAGUAUAUAAGUCACCACCACCACCUCCUCCAGUAUACAAAUCACCUCCACCACCUCCUCCAGUUGACAAAUCUCCACCACCACCAAUUUAUAAAUACAAGUCUCCUCCACUACCUCCUCCAGUGUACAAGUCAUCACCACCACCUGCUUACAAGUCUCCACCUCCUCCAGUUUACAGUUCCCCACCACCACCAAUCUACAAGUCUCCACCUCCACCCUACCAUUACUACUACAAUUCUCCUCCUCCUCCUCGUCACUACUAAGCAAUUGUAUCCAAGUUUUUGAGGUAAUAACGCUUAACCAAUAAAUUAACUUUCGCAUGAUAAACCUUAUCUCUAUCAAGACAAACUGCCAUGUGUAUCAUGCCAAAUACGUACACCUAGAUCCAUGAAAAUGAAUGGUAGAAAGUUUUCUUAAGAACCAAGAACAGCAUUAGUAUUCCCUCUGCUUCCAAAAACUUGUGUAUUAAAUAGAUUAAUGAAUUGUUUAACAUGCUCAUCUACUUGAAAAUGCACAAUACCCAUAACCCACUGAAAUUUUUGCAGGAAAAGGGAAAGAGAAUCUGUGUUUGAGAGCUUCAUGAAGAUGUUGAAGAAUAAGAAUAAAAGCCCAAUGCAAGGAUGUUUUCAAGUUUUUCUAUGUUUCCACUUUAAUUUGUAAAUUGAAUUUUGCGACUCAAUUAAUUCCCUGUUUGUGAGGUACGUAUUGUUUUACGUACCAUGCCGUACAUUUUUUUUUUCCAACAAACGGUAUCAUGUUAUAGAUAUUAACACUUGACCUUACAAGGAUUAGUUACAAAAAGGGGAUACUACCCUCAACUCUGUCCUAGCUAAAUCAGUCAGCCAUAUUGGGAAAUUAGUUUCCCAUUCAAUAUCAUGUACAAGCUUCACAGCAUAUUGUGCUAAUUGAUGGCUGAUGUGAUUUUCAGUUCUAGGUAUAAACACAAAAGAACAUUUUUCAAAAGCUAGACUAAGUUCCUGCACAUCUUCUAAGAUAGUUGCAGUCGUGUAGUCAUACUCCUUGCGUUUAGUAAUCUGCUCUACCACUGAUUUGCAGUCUGUAUGGACUAUAAUUUGUGUCCAACCUGCUUGGGUAGCCAUCAGCAGAGCAUUUCUCACAGCCCGAGCUUCCACUUCACUUGCCGAUCCCUUUCCCUGUGUGACAAUUCCUUUUGCUUUCAAAAGCUGUCCUUUCCAAUUUCUUGCUAUAAUCCCUUGUCCGGUCCUGACUCGUUUAGCUGAUAUCGCUGCAUCGGUAUACAGCCUUAUCUCUUCCUUCCUUGGCCGCACUCUCCUGGUAGGUAAGGCAUCAUUCAGCUUCCCUGCGAUCUCCUUCUGGUCUGUACUCCCUACCUGUUCAAACUCAAGCCAUUCCUCCUGUGCUUUCCUUACUAUUUUUACUGGAUCCUGGUUGGCUUGUUCAAAAAAUUUUUUGUUCCUGGCUUUCCAAAUUUGCCAAAGGAUAUUGAUAGUAAGACUAACUCUCUCCUGACCUUGGUUCAGUGCCAGCGAUUGUGUGACUUGUUCCCACCAUAACCAAAAGUUAUAUUGCAUACCCAGUAAUCCAUCCCACCUGACCGGUGCUAGCUUCCACGUUUCCACAGCCUUUUCACAGAAGAAAAACAAAUGCUCAAUAGUUUCCAUAUCUUCACCACAGCAACCACAUCUGCCUUCCCCUCUAUGUAGCCUUUUCGACAUCUGUUCAUUGACUGGCAGACAAUUUUGUAAGCACUUCCACAUGAAGUGUUUUAGUUUGGCCUUCACCUUCAAAUGCCAUAGCUGCUUCCACACAUUUCGUUUUCGUAUCUCCCAACUUGUUUCUGCCUCUUGGCCUGUCCUUGUACCUGCUUUUCCUUCCCGUUGCCUUGCUAAAGCAUAACCAGAUUUCACGCUAUAAAUUCCAGCUUUGGAAUGCCCCCAUACCAACCUAUCCUUUCUUCUUCCUAUACUUGUUGGAAUUCCCUUUAUGUGCUCUGCAUCUUUUGCACAAAACCACUUGAGAAGCAAAUCAUUUUUCCAUUUCCCUUCCUCUAUCAGCUCACUUACCCAUUCCAACUUGCAUCCCACAGGUUGUGUGGUUGAUGCAAAGCCGGUAUCUGAACCAACUAUCCAUCUGUCCCGCCACAUGUUGACUGACUUGCCAUCUCCAAUUCUUUUCCAAAGACCAUCAUACAGAAAGGAGGCUGCACUAUGAAUACUCUUCCAACACCAUGAGGCUGAAGAGACUGGCUUCUUGUCCAUCCAUUUUUCAUCACUCAUAUACUUCGCCUUCAUUACCUUACUUACUAACAAAUUUGGAGCCAUUAAGAAUCUCCAAAUUUGUUUUGCCAGUAAUGCUGUGUUGAAGGCCUCCAAAUCUCUAAAGCCUAAACCUCCUCUUCCCUUAACUUCUAAGAGCUUCUUCCAGCUUGCCCAAUGUACACAGGUACCCUUUUCUCCCUUCCCCCACCAGAAACUCGCUAUUUUACCUGUGAUUUGUCUACACAAACCCCUUGGAAGUCUAAAGCAAGCCAUCACAUAUGUUGGCAUAGCCAUAAUCACUGAUUUGACCAGAAUUUCUUUCCCUCCUUGGCUCAACAGUUUUUGUUUCCAACCUUGCAACUUGUUACUAAUUUUGUUCUGGACAAAUGCAAAGACCUGUGUCUUUGAUCUUCCAAUUGCCAUUGGGAGUCCUAGGUAGGUUCCAUUCCUUGCCUCUUUAAUGUUAUCUAAUACCUCCCUCACUCCAUUCUUCCUUUGAUCAGUGGUAUUUUUGCUAUAGAAGAUAGCUGACUUUUCAAAAUUCACCACCUGUCCGGAUGCUUGACCAUAUCUUUCCAAUAUGCUUUUGACCUUCCUCGCCUCCUGCUUGGUUGCUUGGCAGCAUAGUAGAGAAUCAUCUGCAAAAAAUAGGUGAGAAACCAUCGGACUGUCCUUGCAUAUUUUGAUCCCUGUAAUUUCCUUGUUCAUCAUAGCUUUAUGGAUCAAACAUGAAAGACCUUCAGCGCAUAUAAUAAACAAGUACGGGGAUAGGGGGUCUCCUUGUCUAAGCCCUCUACUCGGUUGAACACAGCCUACCUUUUGCCCAUUUAAGUUGAAGGAGUAAGUCACAGUAGAUAGGCAAGACAUGAUCCAUUUAACAAAAAUUGGACAAAACCCCAUUUUCAUCAUAACUCUCCCCACAUAUUUCCAUUCGACUCUAUCGUAAGCUUUGGACAUGUCCAGUUUAAGAGCCAUAAAUCCUACCCUUCCCUUUCUCCUAUUUUUCAAAAAAUGCAGGAUUUCAUGUGCAACUACUACAUUAUCAAGAAUUUGACGGCCUGGGAUAAAAGCGGAUUGAGAGGGACUAAUACAAUGAUGCAAGACACCUUUCAAUCUAUUAGCUAUGAUUUUAGAAAUGAUUUUAUACAGGACAUUGCACAAGCUAAUAGGUCUAAAAUGCACCACAGAUUCAGGAGUAUCAACUUUAGGAAUCAACGAAAUAAUAGUAUCAUUCACAGCUUUGAGCAAAUGCCCAGUAUGAAAGAAACUCUUAAUAGCUGCUACCACAUCAUCCUUGAUAAUAUCCCAAUAGUGUUGAAAAAAUAGAGGAGACAUACCAUCCGUUCCUGGUGCUUUAUUAGGGUGCAUCGAGAACAAAGCUUUCCUGAUCUCACUUUCCUCCACUUGUCGUAUCAGUUGUCCAUUCAUAUGACUCGAAAUAGUGCUUGGAAUUUCAGCUAGAAUGUCCUCAAAGCAGUCCGGGUUAGUAGUGGUAAAAAGGUCUUUAUAGUACUCACAAAGUUCCUCCUCAAUCUCAUGUUCCUCCUUGCACCAUGUCCCAUCUUUUUUCUGCAAUAUAGUGAUCUUAUUUCUCCUCCUCUUUGCCAUGACCGAAGAAUGGAAAAAAGCUGUAUUCUUGUCCCCUUCUUUGAGCCACUUGUUCCUGGAUUUUUGACUCCAAAACAUCUCUUCCUCUGCAUAAGCUUUAUUCAAUUGUGCUUUUAGUUCAGCCACUUGUACUCUUUUCCCUUCAUCCUUUCUUGCUUUCACUUCAGCCAAUUUCUCCUUUAACACUUUAAUUCUAACCUUUGAGUUUCCCUGCACCUUUUUCCUCCAAUCCAGAAUAGCCAUGCGACAUUCCUUUAUUUUUGUAGCCACUCUAAACAUCCUGGACCCUGACUUCACCUUUGUCCAUGCUCCUUGAAUCACCCUUUUUGCUUCUGGAUUUAGCGUCCAUCGUUGAUCAAAGUAAAAUCUCCGUUUUCUCCUUGUGUUUUCCGGGUUUGUAUCCACAAGAAGCAUUAGAUGAUCAGAGGCUUCAGUAUCUAAAUGAGUACACUGUGCCUUUUCAAAUCUUUGCAGCCAUUCGGUGCUGCAUAAACAUCUAUCCAACCUCUCUUUCACUUCCCCAUCCCCCUCCCAACUAUUGCACCAAAUCCACGGGACCCCUUGAUAACCUAAGUCAACCAGGUUAUUGUCUUUGAUAAACCUGUUGAACUCCCUAAAACAUCUUUCAGCUCUAUCCCUUCCUCCCCACUUCUCCUCACUAGACCUCAAAUCAUUAAAAUCUCCUACAAUGAUCCAGCCAUCCCCCCAGUCCCUCAUCCUGUCCUCUAAAUAUUUCCAUUGUGCUUUUCUAAUGUUACUAUCUGUGCUUGCAUAAACACACACUAGCCCCCAGUAUCCUUUAGUAUCCUUGUCCUCAACUCUAGCACUAAUACACCAAUCAGUACUUACAAUCUGGUCUAAAAUCACCUCAUUGUUCCAGAAUAAUGCUAGACCGCCUGCUUUACCUAUUGAAUUCACAAAAAAGCUAUUGUCAUACUGAAUCUUCCUUUGAACCUUGCCCAUAAACCCUUCCUGAUUCUUAGUUUCACAAAGGAACACCACCUUAGGAGAGUGGAAGUUAGUCACUUCCUUUAGUUGGGGACUUGUCAAGGGGCCUCCUACACCUCGACAAUUCCACACCACAACCUUCAUUUACACUUUGGAGGCUUUCCGGGGCUAGCCUCCAUUUCCCCUAUUGUACUAACAUUUAUUAGAUCCAGUUUCAUAACCUUUACCUUCGGUACAUUAUCAUCAUCCUCCUCUAUCGGUUGUGUUCCCUGAAACAUACCAUCAGCCUUCCUUUUAGCACACGAAACCUGCGUUACUUGUCCAUUUGUAUCUGCCUUUAAGGAUGUUUUAGCCGGCCUCCCUCUUCUUUUAAAACUGCUUCUUUUUUCAGCUUUGUUAUCUUCUUCCCCUGGAGUAGCCUCCUUUCUUGGCAUUCUUGCAUUUGUCUCCUCCUGCUUUAUUGACCCUACCCGCAAACUUUCACAUUCCUGUUUUGAGCUGUCCGUUUCCAUAUCCUCAUAAUCUACUGGUGGGAUUACGCUGCUCCCUCCUUUACUCCCUUCCUGUACCCUACCCUCCUUUUCACCAUUUCCCUCCAUUAAGACCACAGCCAAACUUUCCACCCGUUGGUUUGCCUUUCCAUACUGCCUGCUGUCUUUUAGAAUCUCAUCCCACCUCUCUUCAUAUUGUCUCGUCAUCAUUUUCUCCUUAUCCCCCCUUUCCUUUCCCCCCAAGACUCUACCAUUUUUUCCCCCAAGAGUUAAUGUAUCUCCAGCCAUUUGUACUCCAGUUUGAACUUCACUACUAGGAGACCCUGCCCCCACCCUCCUUGCAUCAAUUUCACUUACUCCUUCCAGCCGUCCCUUUAAGGGAGAUACCAUUAUAUUUCCAGCUCUCAUCCAGGCACCAUAUUGUUCCUCUCGCUUCUCCCCCCCACCCUUCCUACCACAGUACAAGUCCUAUCACUAUGCCCAAUGAUACCACACCUAUAACAGAAAUCAGGGCAGCGUUCAUACCUGAACUCAACCCACACUGCCUGGUUCUUACAGUUGAUCUUUGUCCCUCUAACCAGUGGUUUCGUUAUAUCUACCUCAGCCAUAAUCUUCAUGUGGCGACCCUCUUUCCCACCACUUCCUGGGAGAAUCACUCCCCUCACUGAUUUAAAGAUCCCUCCUAUUUUCAAACCCACUGCUCUGCUCAACCAGUGCACCGGUAGGUUCCAUAGUUGAAUCCAAAGAAAGGAAUGCUGGAAAAAGCUGCUGUUUGUAUCAUACCCCUCUACCCACUCCUUCACUAUCAGCAACUGGUUGUCCAUGACCCAAGGCCCUCCAGAUAAGAUCUUUUUCUUUUCCCCUUCAUCUCCCAGAUGGAAAUGGAAUAAGUUAGGACCUAACUCAGUCACUUUCAUCUUUGAGGGGUAUCCCCAUGCAUGAUUUGUAAAGUUCUUUAACCCCGUAAAGUUGGCAAUUUUUUCACCAAUCAGCUUUCCUACCAGGCUUCCUUGACACUCAGAGACGCCUUCUUCCAGGUCCUCACCACUCAGAUCGACACCUCCUAACUCUGUUUCAGACAAGUCAAAAUUUUGAAAGGCUCUUUCUAAAGCAUCCGCCAUUGCUGUGACGAGAGCUCCUUGAGAAACCAAGCACUAUUUCUGAGCUAUGAGUGACCCACUGACAGACCUGUGAAGAAUUGCAAAGACAGACAAAGCUGUGUUAUCCGUACACACUAAAAACCAACCAGAAAAACAGAGAGGAACUCGACAGAAAAAGCACAGGCACAAGAAGAAACGAAAGAAAAAAGAAAAACCAACAAACCACUAUCCCACUCCCGACCACAUAACAGCAUUAAAGAAAGGGACACAAAUACGACACUCCAACUUCCGAUCACAUGCUCUGACUCAAUGGAUCAUAUCUUGCCCAAAGCGUUUACUCCUCCAACCGAUUCCAAACCACUACAGACAUUGUCUCCCAUUUUGAAGCCGGAAGAAAGGUGGCUUCUGGACAGGGAACAUGAAAGCAAAGGUUGAACUAAAGAUUUGAUUUUAGAUCUGAAAAUUACGCUGUAGGAAAAAGUGCUAUGUGUUUGUACCUCACCCACUCUCCCACACCGAGGAGGGGAACCUCUAAAGUUAGAGAGAGAAGCUCUCAAGUUAGAGAGAAGCUUUGGAAGUUAAUUACCAACGUACCAUGCCGUACAUGUUUGUAAGGAUUUCUAUCCUAUUGGCAAAAGUCGGUUCCAUACAAUUAAUCAAUUCAUUUCACUUCUAUUGGCUCUACUAUUUAUGCAUGUUACGACACUCUUUCCCUUAUAUUUUGCCUUUAAUAUUAUGAGUCAAUAGUAAUAAUGGGCCUUUUUCUUAAAAUUAUACUAUUAUACAUAGGUAGUUUGGUCUAACGCUAAAUUCAUGUUUGUCUUUCUUUUAUUCCCUUUACAUCUCAAAGUAUACUAUAGUUUGUAAUCAUUGUGGUGAUGAUAUUACCAGCUGGUACUUAUAGUUUAAGGCAGAGACAUGAUAUUAACAACUAUCUCAUUGAAACAUAAGUCAAAAUCAUGACAAGUGUGAGUCUUGGUUAAUGCACAAUUUGUUAGUGGAAUUUAUAUUUAUAAAACUCAAAAAAAAUUUUUGACAAUGCUAUUACUAAUUAAUUAAGGACUUCAUUGCUAUAAUUUAUCGCUUACUAAUUUAAACUAUAAAUGAUCUCAAUACUUUUCUCCAUGAUGUCGAUUUCUUUAGACUACGAAAGGGAAAAAUUAGUGACAUAUCCCUUACUGAUUACAACAUCAGCAAAAAUUAGUUAUAAACUUUUCCGGUGGUUUUAAAUCCCUCGGGCACUAAGGUUUUUUGCACAUCGAGUGAAUUAAGGAACAUAGGCAAUUCGUUCUGCAUACCAAGUCCUUGUUUAAGAUGCACGUACUAAAAUGCAUCCACUUCAUUAAUUUGGAAAAUUGCCAUAGUUUUUUUUAAGCAUUUUGAUUUUUUACAUGAUUCAAAAUUUUCUUAUUGGAUACAAUCACUUUGUGUCAAGAACACAUUUUCAAUCAUCUUUUUUAUCUUCUCAAUAAGAAAAUAAAAAUUUAUUCAUGCUUUUCUAACAUAUCCAAUCAUUGAUCUGAAAAAUAAAGAAUUAAAAAAAAAAGACAUUUUCAAUCAUUGCUUACGGGGCAACUUCCCCAUGUGAACCUCAUCAAACAAAGCCAAUAAUAUGAAGGAACAUCUAAAUACACUUUUGCCCUAAAGGCUGGUUGCCUUGGGGUCAAAAUUUAACCUUCGGGAGUAUAAUUACCCGCCAAAUUUAUUAUUUUUUUUAUGGGUAUAUAGUUCCAAUUUUGCCUCCUGUUAAGCUUAUAAAUAUAUUACGACCCAGAAAAUAAAGGAAUCUUGAAUAGUAACAUGUCCAUUGACUUGAGUUGUUAUCAAUUUGGCUACUUCGAUUCCAUGAGGCCAAUCCAAUUCACACUAGCUAGAGAAAAUGGUGAUAAAGGCACUUAGAAAUUUAUAUGUAAUAUUGAUUGGUAGUAACUGAUAAGUAUAUAUUUUACGUGUUUUAAAUAUGUUUUAUUAGUUAGUUUUGGUGUGUUUUAACUACUUUUAUAACUAAUUAACUAGGAAUCUAGUGAAAAUAUGCAUUUUGUGGUUUGAAGUGUAAAAAUUGUAUUUCUAUGGAUUUUAAUGGUGAAAACUUCAUGUUUUUGUAGGUUUAAUGAUUCAAUCAUCAAAUGACAUGAUUUGAGAAGAUAAUUAGAUGAUUGAUGAUGUUUUGAAGUGAUAAAAAGAGAAUACAAAGUGCAAGAGAGGAAAUGCAAUCAAGAAUAAAAGAAGAAAAUUUUUGUAGCUUUGACAUAUUGUCGUAUUUCGGCAAUAUAUUGAGCUACAAUGAUCGGAUUAAGGUGAUUCUUAAACCAUUUGAAGCUAAAAUAUAGAUCUACAUUUGGCAUGAAGGCAUCGAAACCCAUGUCAGUCAUUUUCCUUGUCAAAAUGUUGAAAUACAGAAGUGCAACUCUGUUCUCGAAAGCUAAAACAGAGCUCUGGCUAGUCGAGGGUAUUUUCAUCAUUUCUUAGUCCACAGAGCUCCAAAUGAGAUGAUUCUUAAGGCAUUAGAACCCUAACUCAAAGAGCUACAACUUUCAUAUUUUGUACAAGAGUUAGUUCGGCCUCUAUCAUUAAGAAAAUAGUAGUUGAAGUGGUGCCAAAUGCAUAGAAGUGAAAACGCGAGCUAUCAAUACUCGACCUGAAGUCGCGUAUUCCUGAGGUCAUGCAUUCUCUUCUAUUUUCUGCAACUUGCCCUGCUUUCACAUAACUUUUUCAUCUCAAUUCCAACUAUCAAUUUCGGCUAUAUCUGAUCAAGAAAAGUGUGGAAAGUUUGAAAGACAACUCAUAGGAGUUUCAAGAGUCAAAAAUUACAAUUAGAAACAACUCAUUUGGCUCUUGAAUCCUCUAUAAAUAGAGGCCUUUGAAGAACAUUUUCACAACUUUGGAAGGUUAGAGAAACUCCACAAAAACAUAGUCUUCACUAGAAUUUCCUUAGUUCAUUAGUUAGGGUAGUAUAGUAUAGUUAGUGUAGCUUUUCCUUCUUGUAUUUAUAGUUAGGUUUGAAUGAAGAUUCAGGAGCAAAGAUAGAGAGGUUGAUCUCAUGUGACAAGGGUGAUAUCUCUUCUACUACUUUCUCUUUUGUAUUUGAUUUCAUAUUUAACUAUACUACAAAUUUGGCUUUGUUUUUUUUUUUUUAUCAUGUUUAGUUAAAGUUUAUGCCUAGAGUAUGGAUGACCUUUUUAUAUCUUGUUUGUGAUAUUUAACUGGUUAUUUGAUGAUGUUAUUUUUGAGCAAGUUAUUUAUCACUUUUGCUUUUCUAAUCAUGAUUAACUGGCCAUUAGUUGUGAUUAUCUAAAAGUGUUAAGUUUGUAAUGAGAAUUGGAGUUUAACACUAGUUCAAGGAAGUGAUAAAUUUAGGGAGUUCACUCAUGAGAGUAGAGGAACACCUUUGUGACCUAAGUGACUUGUUUCAUAUAAUUUCAUAGAAAAAAUGAACUUGUAAUUAAUUUCAUAACCACGAGAGUAAGUAUGGUUUAGCUAUAUGUAUAGUUGAUUCACUACGAGAGUAGGUUUCACAUACAUUAGAAAAUUACAUCAUAACUAGUCAAGAUAAUAUCAUUCAUUUAAUCAGUAAUCUCAUUUGCAUGAGUAGUAAGGCAUUCCAUAUCUCUAGGAGGUUUUUAGUAUUAUUUUCAUUACUUUUAUGUUUAUGGUAGUCUAGAUAAUAAUGGAGUUCGAAAACUACUAGUAAUUGAAAAUUUUCCCUGUGGGAUCGACCUUUAAUACCCUAUACUCGCUCUCGACUCGUAUACUUGAGAAAAAUCACGUGUGCGGUAUUUAGAAUUUAUAAAUGUAAAACUUGACUGUAGAUGAACUAAUUGAUAUAUGUAUACCCCGCACUCGUCAGUAACCAGCUUGUAUUGAUCCCACUAUUGUGGAUAAUUGUGCUCUUAUGAAAAAAAAUUAUAAAAAAAUUAGCAAAAUUUAUGAUAACAAAUUAAAUUUAUUCAUACAAAUCAGUGAAAGAAGUAGAAUUUUAAAGUCCAUGAUGAAAUUAAUACUUUCAAGGGCUCUAUUAGGAAGACUUCACUUGUUGGUGAAACUACACUAGCACAGUUAUAUGCACAUUUACUGUUUUGGUAUCUAAUUUCCUUGCCUUAAGUUGGGUGCAGAUGUUUAUAUUACAAAUAGAUGGUAUCAUAAAAUUGUUGUAUUCACGUUUGUUCUUUUUUUUCUUCCUUAAGUUUUUUUCUUUAUUCUCGUGACUUCAAAAAUACGAACUCAAGAAAUUGGCUGCUUAAUCAAUAUGUCAUACAGGCUUCGCUAGUGAGGUAUAACUUCACAACUAGAGUCAAUAGAAAUUAUCAAAUGAUUUUUUAACAUCCAAAUUAAGCAAUAAAUUUUGUUUUCAUUUUAUGACAUAUAAUAGUACUACUUCAUGAGAGAUUUUAUAGUUUCUUUUAGGUAUCAUACCUACAAGUGAUAUUUGUCAUUGGAUAGUGACAGAAGUGUUAAUGAUUGUAAGAUUAAAUAUUGUUAAAUAUUGAAAUUUAAACUAUUUAUCUUUAUUGAAAGAUACAAGUUAAAGAAUCGUUCAAGGGGGCAAUUUUCCAUCUUGUCUUUUUGAAAAAACGCUAUCACAUUGUAUAGGCAUGAUAGGUUCAAAUUUGUCAUUAAAUUUAUGAUUGAUUUUCCUUUUAUUCAAGCCAAAUAUUGUUUUAAUUAUCAAAUUCUACUUAUAUUUGGUUAAUUGUACUAAUUGUAGGGCGGUAGAGCAAAAGUUGCUAAAAAUAGGCGAUUUUCUGCAAAUUGGUUGUCAAGGCUGAAGGAUUUGGGAUUCGCAUGUUCAAGGCCUGUUUCCAAGUUUGAUUCAAACUCUGGACAGUUUUAGAGGAAGAUUUGGAAGAUUUGAAAUUUCAUUAUUAGUUUUAUGGUUGAAUUAGGAAUCUUGGAAUAAUUUCUUUUGUGAUUUAUUUUUCUAUUUAGGAGACUAGUUGUUAUUUAGUAGUAGACUUCAAUUAGAAAACAAAGAGAAAAAGAAGGCCGGAAUCCCGCUUGAUUAAUACCUUGGCCAGGGAACAAUCUCGGUGGGGAGGACGGCCACUUAGCCUCUCAAUUCAUCUUGCUUUUCGUUAGUUUGAGAGGAAAACCAAUUGCAACUAGAUUCAAUGGAGUCUGGCAGAAUUUCUUCUAGGAUGCGUAGCUAAAUCCUCAAUUUUUAGUCGAAGGUCAAUUUGAAAAUUCGGUUCCAAAUAUCUGUGAAAUCGAAUUAUUUUACUUAUUUCUUUUAUUUAUUGGUAUUCGCACGUUUUCUGAUUUAACUUUUUAUGAUUGUUUUGUUAUUUGAAUGUCAAGGGUCCGAUAUUCGAAUUAACUUAAUAAUCUACUGCCAAAUUAACCGGUUAAAUCCGUAAUUGUUUGAUUGAUUAAUAUCAGUGGCGACUAGCGUGAUUGGUCCCAUGUUAGGAAAACGUCUGAUCUAAUUUAAACAAACCGUCGUAGCGUGUUUGUUGAUUAGGGUUGGGCUUUUCUAAUUCUUAAUUCAAUUGAGAAAUUAAAUCCCCCGGUCGUACCUAGGAUUAUUUUUUUGUUAGCGAAAUAGUUAAUGGUCGUACCUUGACUAUCGAAAAAGUAAGGAAGAGUUGAUUGUUUAUCGCGUGUACGACAACUAUAAUCAAUCUAUUAAUGAGUAAUUGAAUUAUCUUUGCAUCAGUAAUCAGUUGAAUGGACCGUGUCUGAAAAGUUGUACCUUUGGCUAGAGUCUUAUCUGUUGUUGAUUCAUUCAUAUCUAUCUUCAUGCGUUGUUUUAAUUUAGUUAAUUAGUUAUUUUUAUAAAAACCCCUCAUCUCUGGACUCUAAAAGAAAUAAAUUAUUUCUAGUUCCUGUGGAUUCGAUCCUACUCACCAUACAAUCCAACCUGCAAUUGUAUGAACCCCAAUCUCGCUUCCUAGUCCACCAUUUUUCUCUAGGUAAUAAUCUCCCUUCUAAUUUCUUCACAAAAUGCACCUUUCAUCACCUCCAAUAGCGUCGACAUGAUCUUUACCCCAGAAGACUAUUCACCGACUCUCAAUUGACGUUAGAAAAUCUAAGAGUAAUUCUACUUUACCCUAAGAUUGAUAUCAACAAGACAAGGACAAUUUAGAAUUAUUACACGCCUCUUCUUAAUAGGAAAAAGAAAUAGAGAAGAAAGUCAGGCCAGGUCUAAUUUCUUUUCAAAGGCAAUACAACAUUACGAAAUCAAGCAUUCAUUCAUACAAAUAUUUCAUAGUCACCGGUUUGCUGAGUAGAAAAAUUUAGACAAAAACUUAAUAUUAUAUUGUUUAAGAGUUAACAAUUUAGAGCUUAAUCUCCUUGUACUUUGGAGUUAACAAUUUAGAGCUUAAUCUCCUUGUACUUUGGACUAAACUUGAACGUGAAAGGAAAUCCCAAAACCAUAUUGGGCAUGAAUUCACACUUAAUAUACCCAAUAAAAGAUGGCGACUGGUGAAAGGCAGUGGAGACUGGUGGAGAGAUUUGAGGAAUAGAAGCAGACGGAAAAGCAACAAAUUUUUGCCGAAAAACGGUCACUUUCAUGGUUAAUUUUGCUACUCUCCAAUUGUACUUGACCAAUUACAACAAUUUCAUGGAGUUUGAUACGUGAAAAGAAUUUUUUAUAAAUUUUAUUUUGAUCCAUAAUGUUAUCUUUACAUAUAUAAAACAUUUUACAAUUUUGAUUUUGGCGCAGUUAACUUUUGGUAAACAAAAAUGCUCAUGUUUAAAAAACCGGAAAUAAAACAAAACAAGAAACAAAAGAAAUAAGAGGGUAGCAUAGACAUUUUGGAUUUUUCCGUUAAUUUGGAUGAUUUCCACCCACGUUCUAAUUUAAUCCAAAACACAAAGGAAUUACGUAGAGGUUUUAAAUAAUGAGGGAGCUUCAUGAUCGAACCCCAAACCACAAGGCGAUUUACUAUAUUUUACUCUUAAAUUUUGGUUUCAUCUCAUAGCAUACAAGAGUUCUAUUUCACUAUCUGUAGACAAAGACUUUCUAUGGUUGAUGUACCAUAGGAAAAAAUCUGCCUAUACAACGUGAUAGCAUUUUUUCAAAAACACAAGAUGGAAAAUUGCCCCCUUAAACGGGGAAAUUCAUGAUCUUUCCUCGAACAAAGAAUACUCACGCCUAUUCAAGAUGGAAAAUUGCCCCCUUAAACGUCUAUUUGUCAAUUCUUGAAAAAAGAAUACUCACGCCUAAAACACGGCCUCUUCAUCUGCAGAAUUCUAAAAAGUUAGGUAAACUCUAUAAACAAGUUGAUAGGUACAAUCGUACCCAAGAUCAAGUACAGAUAGUUGUACAUUCACUGCUGCAAUAACUAAUCUGAUGACUUACAAACAUAUCAUGGUCAAUCGUUGAAUGGUAAUGAGUCUUUUGUUAUGCAUUAGUAUUAGUGUGUACACUCUAAUAGAUUGAUACUUAUACUCUUUAAAUUAUCAUAAUAAUACCCUUAAUUAACUUUAACUCUUAAAAAGAAUACGUGUUAAUACACGAGAGUGUGUAACCUGAAUUGUUACUUAUACAUUAGUGUGUAAUAGAUAGGGAUGGCAAUGGGGGCGGGUGCCCGCAGGCAACCGCCCCGCGGGGGGCUCUCGGGGCGGGGAGGGGGGAAUUUUUUCCCCCCGUUUAGAAACGGGGCAGGGGACGGGGGAGUAUACCCCCGCCCCAUCCCCCGCAAAAAAAAUUAUAUAUAUAUAAUUAUAUAUAAUAUGUAAUUUAAUUAGUUAUAAACUUAUGAUAAUGAUAUUAUUAGUUAGAUGUAUUAUAUAAUGUAUAUUAGUGUAUGUAAUAUAAUUAAUAUUAUCAAUUAUACGAAUAAUUAGACAUGUCUACUAAUAGAAUUUAUUAAUUAGUUAUACUAAAUUUACUAAUACAUUUAUACUAAAUUUCUAAUUACAUUUAAUAGAAUAACACUUUUUUCUAAAAAAAAAAGCACAAACACAAUAAUGAAUUAGUGAUUGUAUUUUUACCAAAAAUGAAAACUUAACUAUUUUAGUUGCAUUUAUUUCAUCAUGUUGGAUUGUAUUCAAAUAAUUUUUGUUUGAUUGUUUUUAUGAGUUUCAAUUGUAAAAUUAAAAUGAAUAAUAACUUGAUGAAUAAUAAUGUCAAUCGUUGAAUGGUGUGUACACUCUAAUAUUAUGCAUUAGUAUUAGUGUGUACACUCUAAUAGAUUGAUACUUAUACUCUUUAAAUUAUCAUAAUAAUACCCUUAAUUAACUUUAACUCUUAAAAAGAAUACGUGUUAAUAACUCUUAACCUGAAUUGUUACUUAUACAUUAGUGUGAAAUAGAACGGCAAGCAUUGAGCAACUUAUAGGAGAAAUAGUCCUAUAAGCUGUUGGAUGACUAAUAUAGCUCUAGCUGUAAUGUUUUAAUUAAAUUACAUCACUAACGUUGGGAUGACUAAUGGUUUAAAAAUAAUUGAGUAAUUGGAAAAAAAAAAAGAGACUAAUUUUCAUUGAAACCCACCGACAAACUAAACGUGUCCAUGGCUUUUGAAUAGUGCAUUCAACGUUUAAUUGUAUAGUCCAGUUCAUUGCAGAUUACAUGGAGUAAAGAUUGUGCUCUUUCCUUUUUCACCCCUUUUGGAAUCGAUACUGUGGAGAAUUGGGUUUUUCCCUUCUUUUUUUCUUUUCUUUCUUUCUGUGCUUUGCAAAACAUAGGUAAAAUUAUGAAAUCCGAAGCAUUCUUUAAUUGGGAUUAAGUAUUGUUCUUGAAAUUAAAAAGAAGAAAGAAAGAACAACAAAAUUCCCUGAUUGGUUGCAUCGUGCUUCCAUAGAAGCUCUCUUAGUGUGAUACACUGCUUUCAAUCAGUUUAACAUGGAAAAAAGAAAGAGAUGAAAAGCAAAUUUGGUGGGGAUAAUUUCAGAAACCUCCCCUGAAGAUUUUGACUAUUCUACUGGUCUCCCUUCAGAUUUUAAAAAUUACACUAAUCUUCCUUGAAGUUAUAACAUUUAAAUUCAAUCAAUAAUUUAAAAAAUGAUAUUAUGAAAGAGAAAAUAAUAUGAUUUUAUCAUUGCCCCCCAUCUUACUACAUUAUUUAAUUAAUUUAAUAGCAACCCACACAUUAAAGAAAAAUAUAAAAUUUGUUAUUUAUCAUUAAAGAUCAAAUCGCUUAUAACAUCAAAUAAUAGUAUAUUAUUUAUAUUUUUCACUUAACAUAAUAUCCAAAUUACUCUUUUCAAUUACAUACUCAUUGUUAGACAAUCAACAACAAAUAACCAAAAAAUUUGCAACCAAAAUAUUACAAAAAAAAAUAAACUUUAACAUCAUAAAUAUUCUUAUCAACAUAUUAAAGUUAGUUACUGAAAUUUUUAUGGUGUUAAACUUCACUCUUUGUAAUAUUUUGGUUACAGAUUUUUUUUGAUUAUUUUUUAUUAAUUAUGUUUGAUGAUGGGUUUGUAAUUGAAAAGAAUAAUUUAAAACUUACAUUAAGUGAAAUAUAUAGAGUGAUAUACUAUUUUUUAUAACAUAUGUGAUUCAAUCCUUCUUGAUAGGAUUGGUAAUAGAGGUAGAGGGGGGAGUCGGCUGCAUCCGGUCUUCUUUUCAUAGAUAGUACAAUAUUGCGAAAUCAAUCGCAUUCACACAAUAAUAUUUCGAAGUCAAUGCAUGGCUAAGUUGCAUAAAAGUACGAACACUUGUUAUUAUAUAGCUUAAGAUUCAAAACUUUAGAGCAUAACCCUCCACCUAACACAAUUGAAUAAUGAAUAUUCACGUUUGUCAAAUCUGUCAAAGCACAGUUUGAGGACAACCCAUUCCAACCUGCAAAAGAUUUUUUACUUUUCUAAAGUUGUUGAGAGCUGUAAAAAGACCUACCAUGCUUACAUCCUCCGAGCCUUGGGAGUUAAAAAUGAAGGCACUGAGUGCUAUAAAAAGGGGGCUAGAGGCUGCCUAGAAGCAUAUCAGCCUAAAACAAGAAUUUGUUGUUAUGAUGGGAAGCAAAGCAAAAGCAAUGGGGUCUGGGCUGACUCCUCUUCUUGCCACUGUUUUAGUGGUAUUUGUUGCUCUUGGCUUGCCCUCAGAAACAGCAGCUGAUGAUCACUACAAGUAUUCAUCUCCUCCUCCUCCUUACCACUAUCCCUCACCACCGCCUCCAGUGCAUUUACCUCCACCAGUGUACAAAUACAAGUCCCCACCACCACCUCAUCAUGUUUACAAGUACAAAUCUCCACCACCCCCACCACCACACCCAGUUUACAAGUAUAAGUCACCACCACCACCUCCUCAUCCGGUACCACACCCAGUUUACAAGUAUAAGUCACCACCACCACCUCCUCAUCCGGUAUACAAGUAUAAGUCUCCUCCGCCACCACCACACCCAGUUUACAAGUAUAAGUCACCACCACCACCUCCUCAUCCGGUACCACACCCAGUUUACAAGUAUAAGUCUCCUCCGCCACCAGUUUACAAAUAUAAGUCUCCUCCACCACCACCUCCAGUGUACAAGUACAAGUCUCCACCACCACCAGUUUACAAGUACAAAUCACCACCACCUCCUCCCCCAGUUUACAAAUACAAGUCUCCACCACCACCAGUUUACCACUACAAGUCACCACCACCUCCUCACCCAGUUUACAAGUACAAAUCUCCUCCACCACCAAUUUACCACUACAAGUCACCACCACCUCCUCCCCCAGUUUACAAAUACAAGUCUCCACCUCCUCCUCACCACUACUAAGCAAUUGCUUCUGAGGUAAUAACACUUGUUCAAUAACACUUGAUAGCCAGCUGAAUAUUUGCAGGCAAAGGAGAAGGAAACCAGUGUUUGAGACCUUCUUGAAGAUGUAGAAGCAUAAGAAUUAAAGCCCAAUGUGAAGAUGAUGAUUUCAAGUUUUUCUACGUUACCAUUUCAAUAUCUAAAUUGGUUGUAGCGCCUUAGUUCCUUUGUUUAUGGGAUUUGUAUCGUUUUACGUACCAUGCAGUACAUGUCAUGUUUGUAAGGUUUUCUAUCCUGCCGGCAAACCGCAGGUUCCAUGUAAUAAAUCAAUACUAUUUAUAUUACGACACUUUUCUCUGUUUCUCUUAUAUUUUGUCUUUAAUAUUCUUAAUCAUAUUUUUAACAAAAAUAUUCAAACACUUCAGCAAUGGUUCACCUAGUUGAUCAUCGAAGCAGAGGCAAUUCCAAUUAUUUAUCAAUAAAUAGGAUAUAACUACCAAACAAGCGAUGGCAGUUAACCCCUCCUUACUGUGUCGGUGAUCAAGGUACGCCCGUUAAUCACUGCUCUAAUUGAGAAAUAAUCCUAAGUACGCCCGUAGAAUUUAAUUCCCCAAUUGCCUUACAUAUUAGAGGAGCCCUAUUCUAACCAAAUAACGCACUAUCAGGGUUAUUUUAGAUUAGCCCGCGUAUUCCCCUGACAUAAAUCUAAUCAUGCCAGUUGUCAUUAUUUUGAGGUAAUUAAACAAUUACGGAUUUAACACCUCAAUUGACAAUAGAUUAUUAAAUUAAUUAAUUAUUCGGAUCCAAGACAAUCAAUUAAUUAAACAACCAUAAGCACUACAAUCAGAGAAUAUGCAAAUACCAAUAAAUAAAUAAAAAAUAAAAUUAAAUCGAUCUCACAAUUUUUAGGCGAAUCAGAGCAUCCGUUGUCCCUUGACUAGAGCAAGGAAAUUAGUUCAUAUUUGAUGAACUAAACCCAUACAAAAGGGAAGCGAGAAAUGCAGCCAUUAUCCUUUGAAAUCUGGAAAAUUCAACUUGUCCGAAUAUCGAAUAGAUAGUAAUACUACAAAAGGUAAUUCAUAGCUUCCCUUUCGUCUGACACACAAGAAGAAAAAAAAGGGCUGCUAAUAACUAAAGGAGGAAAAGUCAAAGUCCUAAGCUAUGCUACAAGACGAAAAACUAAAGAAGACAAAAAGGCAGUGCUCAUUCCCUGCAAUCUCAAUUCCUAUUCUAUCUAAGUGCUCUCCAAUGUGCGGCGGCUCCCCUUCCGGAGAGGACGAAGUGGCACCCUUUUUUCCUGCGCAAUUUUCCUAUAUAAAGUAGUGCUCCUUGCAGCGGCUCCUGUGCGAAAAAAUGAAGACUUCGGCCCAAUUUGCCUAACAAGGGCUCACGUUUUGUUGUUCUAAAAAUGUCCCUAGGACAAACUCUAUCAUCUGAACUCUUUUCUUGCCAAAUUAGUACCUGUUAUUAUAUUUUCGUUCUACUCCCUGAAAUAAAUGCAAAAUAUCAAAAGUGAGUAGAAUCUAGCAAUUAAUCCACAUUAGGUCAGGUAAUAGGGAAAAUUAAUAAUAAAAUAAAUGAUAAAAUUGCAAUCUAUCACGGGACCACUGUGGUAAGGUGUGUUUCGCCUAUUAUAAGGAGUUCGGAGAGUUAGACGUGUUGGAGGCGGAGGCGCGGUCACUCCUGCACGCCCUCCAGCUGUGUGCAGAUCGCGAGGUACGGGCGUUGACUGUAGAAUCUGAUUCAAAGGUGCUUGUUCAACUAGUUUGCUCGGAUAUGAGGUCGAAGUGGCCGGUGUGUAUCGUAUUGCGGGAAAUAAGACAUUUGAUCCGGCGGAUGGGUGCAUCCCUUCAUCAUAUAUUCCGUGAGGCCAAUUCGGUGGCGGACGCAUUGGCUUCUCUGCAAUUGGGAGGGCAGCAGUACUACACCUCAGGCGUGGCGCUGCCUUUCAGGCCCAGAGGAGAGGCUCUGCUGGAUCGUCAAGGAGUACCUCGCAUCCGUGAGGCGCUCACUAAGGUUUGAUAGGCUAUGUCCUCCUUUCAAAAAACUUAUUUCAUCUACUCCUUGUAAUCAUUUUUCUUAUCAAUAAAUUGAGGCUUUUUAUUUAAAAAAAAACAUAUAAUUUAAGGCAAAAAUAUGAUCCUAGCGAGUAUCGCACUGAGACAUUAGGAAACAUCAUUAAAAGAGUAUUUCUUGAGUUAGUGCAACUAUUUCUUAGGGGAAUUUAUAGUUACAAAAUUCAAAAAUUUGAGAUUCUAUUACUGAUUAAUUAAGGGCGUUAUCACUAUUUUUCUUAUUAUCACCAUUAUUUACCCCACAUACUAUAAGUUUUUUUAGGGCACAGGAAAAGAGGUGGGCCGAUGUUUAGUUAUGUACAAAAGUUCAAAAUUUGUAGAUAACUUAUCAUGUGCCCUUAGAGCGUAGAAUACAGAAAAAAUAUCUUAAACUAUAACUAAUCCUAAUAUUUUUCUCUAUGAUAAACUAGCUCUUAUCCAUUUCUUUAGAUGAUGAAAGGAAAUAGUUAGUCACCUGUCCUCUAGUGAUUACAACAGCAUCAAAACAAAUUAGCACUCUUUUCCCGUAGUUUAAAAAUCCCUCAGCCACUAAGAUUUUGCAUGUCGAACGAAUUAAGGAACAUAGAAGGUUCGUGCUGCACCACAGUGUCCUUGUUGACGAUGCAAAGACAGAAAUGCAUCCGCGUAUACUUCCUUAAGCAUUUUGAUUACUUUAUGAUUCGAACUUUUCUUGUCUGACAGCUGGACUUAAUUGAAAAACACAAGUAACAAUAUUUCAAAGUUGAUUCGUCAAAGUUUACCCAAUUGGUGAAACUUUCUUCAUAGAGCUGACUUUGUAUUAGGUGACAAUGAUAUGGAAUUGAUGUCCUUCCCUUUUUCCUUUUUUUGUGUUGAAGACGCACAACGUUUUCAAUGGCAAAUUUAUAUGGGCUUUUCACGACAAAAUGUGUUCUGAAAAGUUCAUUCCAGAGGUUAAAAUUUUGUGUGUUAAAAAUUUGCUUCUCAGGACUUUGAUGGGAAAGUCUUGGUGUUUCCAAAAAGUUUAAGCAGGAUGCUUCUGGCUUUCUCUCCAUGUAUUUGUGAGUUAGAUCUAAAAUUAUCAGGGCUCCAGAGAUCUCUUGAAAUCGCAGCAUAUAUUGAAGUCUUUCCAGAAGGAGUCUUUUUUUUUUUUUUUAUGAAUUAUGAUAGAUAAUUAAUCUGACGGUGCAUAUAUAUAUAUAUGUGAUUUGCAGUAGGGUGUUUGACGAAAUGGUUAGGCUUCCUAAGUAAUGAUAGGAAUGCCAUUUGCAAAGAAGGACAGGGGGCUGGUGCUGUCAUAUUUUAUGCGAUUUGAUCCGUUGUUGUAUAAGUUUAAACUUUUGACGUGCAAUUGUGCUAUAAUAUUAUACUAAAUAUAUGUGUGAAAUAUUUUGUCUAUAUACAUCACUUUUAUCAUGAAUACAACAGCUGAGUAUAAUAAUAUAGUAUAAUGUAAUUGUACACCAAAUAAUGUAGCAAAUAUAACAAUUGAUCCGAAUUACACGGAACCAUAACAACAAGAUCACCGCCUCCCAAAUUUUACAAAAUUAGGUUUUUUUUUUUUCUCUUAGAUUAUUGAAAAUUUUCAAAAAUAAUCUACAUAAUUUAAGCUUUUGUCCUACAAAAAUUUGAAGAGAUUUUACAUUACAAGCUUAAGCUUAGAUAUAUUAAACUUUGCCCCCAAGAUUAAUUUUCCGUUUUUAUCUAUGAACCGAUCCAUAUAGCUAGUUAGACUGUAGUCCUCACAUUUGUGGGAUUUAACACCCAAGAUUCUCCUUCUUGGAAUGUAAAAUGUAGAUCUUCUAUGUUAAUAAUUCAAGACCCUACUGUCAUAAACGAAAUGACUGAUCAACUCCUGUAAACCUAAUUUGACAACAUUUAAAUGGAGAACUUUAGCUAAAAGAAUUAUGGUCAAGCUAAAGAAAAAGCCAGUUAUUUUCCAACAUAUGCAAUCAUUGAUCAGGAAAAAAAAAAAAAAGCAAAAAGACAUCUUCAAUCAUUUAAUAGCUCACAGUGCAAAUUAACCCCUAAGCGAAAACUGGUUGCUCUAGAAUCAAAAUUUUACCUUAGUUACCCAGGCAACUUUUUUGUUGCUUUUUUUUUUUUCUUUUCCUUUUUGGGUAUAUAUAUAGCUCCAGUUUUGCCCCCUCUGUCAAGCUUAUAUAAUUAUUAAGAUAAUAAAAGUGCCUUGAAUAGUAUUAAUAUAUCCAUUGACUUGAGCUGUCAUCGAUCGGUUUGGGCUACUUCGAUUCCAUGAGAACAAAUGGUAAUAAAAGUACUCAGAAAAUAGGGAGCCAUGAAACCCUUUUGUUCUAUUCAUUGCUAAGAUGCUUUUCUCUAUAAAGAGACUUCCUAACGAAAGUACUUUGUAGAUUUCUUUACUCCAAGUGGUGCAUGGAAAAUUAAAAUAUUCAAUUAUCAAAUAAAAUUCCCUUUUUUCGGUGUAGAUUUCAUCCAUCCAGCUGUUAACACAUUUUAUGUAUCCGAAUUAUAUAUUCUCUACCAAAUAUUGUAACUUUUCUGAGCAUCUUUACAUUUUUAUUCCCACCUAACAAAUUAGUUGUUGAGCAUCUUUACAUGCUAUCGGAUCACAAGUUAAUAAUCUUUUAAAGAACAUGUUAAAUUAAUUUAUUGGUAUGAAUAGUCAAAGAAGUAUAUUAAAGUUAGUAAUCUUUAAACACCACGAUGCAAUUAAUACUUUCAAGCUCAAGGUCUUUUUUUUUUUUUUUUUUGGUACUGUACUUCCUUGCUUUAUAGUAUGCACGUUUAUUUCUGUGGAUUGCUUAAGCUUAUAUUGUUAAUAAUUGGGCAUUUAACCAUAAAUUAUAAUGAUUAUGAAGUCAUAUAUAUAUAUAUAUAUAUAAGAAAAUUACCACAAUUAUUCAAUUUUUUUUGCAAAUUCAAAUUUUAUUAAUAAGAAAUAGGCAGUAAGCUUUUACAAACGGAAAAAAAAAAUCCUACAACAACUCUAGGACCUUUGAAAGAAAGAAAAAAAAAAGAAAAGAAAAGCUUAAGGACUCUACCUCAUAGAAGCUAAACAAUCCUACAAAUAAACUGCAAAAUAAAUCACAAUAACGCAAAAUUUUUGUCUUUCUUCCGUAUGAAAUGAAACUACGAAGUCAAGAAUUGACUCCUUUAACCGCUAUUGCCAGCGGGCUCCGUCAGCAAGAUACAACUUUGCAAUUUGAUUCAAUAGAAAUCCUCAAAUAGCUAUUUUGACAGGCAAAUUAAGCAUUAAUUUUGGUAUCCCUUCAUAAAAUACAAGAGUACUUUUGAUUAUAUCUAUAGAUCAACUUUCUAGGCUAUUUUGAUGUAUUAUAAGAAAAUCUGCCUCAACAAUUUUGAUAGCAUUUUUCCAAAAGCAGAAGAUGGAAAAUUGCCCAUUUGUACUGGGGAGUUCGUGAUCUUUUCCUCCUUCUAGUCUACUUACAAUUCUUGGAAAAAGGAAUACUCACAUCUCAAACAACUGCCUGUUCAUCUGCAAUGUCCUGCCGAAUUCUAGAAAGUUAGGUGGCAAUGCUAAUUACAUUUCAAAAUUGACUGCUGCGAUGACUAAUUCGAUGGCUUACUACAUGGUCAACGUUUGGAUCCCUUCCUGUCCUUUUUGGAUGCACAUUUUUUUUCUCUAGGCAAUAUAUAAUCUCCCAACUCAUUUCUUUACAAAUGCACCUUUAAUCACCACCAAAAGGUGUGGACAUGAUCUUUACCCUAGAAAACUAAUCACCGACAGGCAAAUUGACGUCAGAAAUACUAAGAGGAAUUCUAGUUUCCUUCGGGUUAAUGCCAUUUUGUACCCUUCAACUGUAACUCGAUUUCUAAACUAUAAUUUGUGACAUUAUAGUCCUUAAACUAUGAAACCCCUCUUACUUAAGUACAAUGGUUAAUACAAUACCCGUGACUAGACAAGCAACCAUAACAAAAAAAAAUCCAAAAUUAGAGAAAAGAAAGAAGUUUCGCGACCAAAGUAUGUAUCAAGGCAUAGUAUAGAAAUAAAAGUGUCCAAAUUAAGAGUUUAGGGAUAAAAGAGAUCAAGAUAUAGUUUAGGGAUUGAUUUGUCUCAAUUAGAGUUUUGAUGUCAACUAAGAAGAGAGAUAUAGUUGAAGGGUAGAAUAUAGAUAUAACAGUUCAAUGAUUGAUAUCAACGAGACAAUGACAACUUUGGAUUAUUACCAACCUCUUCUUGAUGGGAAAAGGAAAUAGAGAAGAAAGUCGGGCCUGGUCUAAGCCUGCUUCGGAGGCAAAACAACAUUAUGAAAUCACCGGCAUUCACACAAAUAUGUCAAAGUCACCGGCAUGCUAAGUUGCAUAAUUUAUACAAACACUGAAUAAUAUAUUGUUCUUAAAAUUUUUGUUUAAGAUUUAACAAUUAGAGCACGGUACACGAAUUAGCAAUAUUAAAUAAUGAAUGUUCACGAUUGAUAAAGUUAUCAAAGUACAGUUUGAGGACAACCCAUUCCAACGUGUACAAGAUGUUUAGCCUUUGAAAAGUUAAUUAGAGAAGGUGACGAGAUUUUACUAGGCUUAAAUCUUCUAGGCCUCGGAAGUAAAAAAUGAAGGCCUUUGAGUGCUAUAAAAAGGGGGCUAGAUGUUGCCUAGAAGCAUAUCAGCCUCAGACCACAUUUUGUAGCAAUGGGGAGCAAAGCAAAAGCAAUGGGGUCUAGGCUGACUCCUCUUCUUACCACCGUUUUAGUGGUAUUUGUUGCUCUUGGCUUGCCUUCAGAAACUGUGGCUGAUUACUACAAGUAUUCAUCUCCUCCUCCUCCUUACCAUUAUUCCUCACCACCACCUCCUGUGCAUUCACCUCCACCACCGCCAAUUUAUAAGUCACCCCCACCACCUUACCACUACUCCUCACCGCCACCUCCAGUGUAUUCAUCUCCACCACCACCUUCGCCAGUUUACAAGUCUCCGCCACCACCUUACCAUUAUUCGUCACCACCGCCUCCGGUGCAUUCACCUCCACCACCACCUGUUUACAAGUCACCUCCACCACCUUCGCCAGUUUACAAGUCUCCGCCACCACCUUACUAUUAUUCGUCACCACCGCCUCCGGUGCAUUCACCUCCACCACCACCGAUUUACGAGUCACCUCCACCACCUCCUCCAGUUUACAAGUCUCCGCCACCACCUUACCAUUAUUCCUCACCACCACCUCCAACGCAUUCACUCCCACCACCAGUUUACAAAUCACCGCCACCACCUCCUCCUAUGUAUAAGUCCCCUCCACCACCUUAUCAUUAUUCCUCACCACCACCUCCAGUGCAUUCACCCCCACUGCCACCAAUUUACAAGUCUCCGCCACCUCCAAUCUACAAGUAUAAGUCACCACCACCUCCUCCCCCAAUUUACAAGUCACCACCACCACCUCCUCCAGUAUAUAAGUCCCUACCCCCACCAGUGUAUAAGUACAAGUCUCCACCACCACCUCCUCCAGUAUACAAAUCACCUCCACCACCUCCUCCAGUUUACAAAUCUCUACCACCACCAAUUUAUAAAUACAAGUCUCCUCCACCACCUCCUCCGGUUUACAAUUCCCCACCACCACCAAUCUACAAGUCUCCACCUCCACCCUCCCAUUACUACUACAAUUCUCCUCCUCCUCCUCCUCAUCACUACUAAGCAAUUGUAUCCAAGUUUUUGAGGUAAUAAUGCUAAACCAAUAUAUUAACUUUCGCAUGAUAAACUUUAUCUCUAUCAAGACAAACUGCCAUGUGCAUCAAGCCAAAUACGUACACUUCGAUCCAUGAAAAUGACAAGUAGAAGGUUUUCUUAAGAACCAAGGAACAGCAUUAGUAUUCCCUCUGUUUCCAAAACUUGUGUAUUAAAUAGAUUAAUGAAUUGUUUAACAUGCUUAUCUACUUGAAAAUGCACAAUACCCAUAACCCACUGAAAUUUUUGCAGGUAAAGGGGAAGAGAAUCUGUGUUUGAGAGCUUCAUGAAGAUGUUGAAGAAUAAGAAUAAAAGCCCAAUGCGAGGAUGUUUUCAAGUUUUUCUAUGUUUCCACUUUAAUUUGUAAAUUGAAUUUUUCGACUUAAUUAAUUCCCUGUUUGUGGGGUACGUAUUGUUUUACGUACCAUGCCGUACAUGUUUGUAAGGAUUUCUAUCCUAUUGGCAAAAGUCGGUUCCAUACAAUUAAUCAAUUCAUUUCACUUCUAUUGGCUCUACUAUUUAUGCACGUUACGACAUUUUUUCUCUCUUUCCCUUAUAUUUUGUCUUUAAUAUUAUUGAGUCAAUAGUAAUACUGGGCCAUUUUUUUUAAAACUUAUACUAGUAUACAUAGGUAGUUUGGUCUAACGCCAAAUUCAUGUUUGUCUUUCUUUUAUUCCCUUUACAUUUCAAAGUAUACUAUAGUUUGUGAUCAUUGUGGUGAUGAUAUUACCAGCUGGUACUUAUAGUUUAAGGCAGAGACAUGAUAUUAACAACUAUCUCAUUGAAACAUAAGGAAAAAUCAUGACAAGUGUGAGUCUUGGUUAAUGCACAAUUUGUUAGUGGAAUUUAUAUUUAUAAAACUCAAAAAAAAAAUUUUGACAAUGCUAUUACUAAUUAAUUAAGGACUUUAUUGCUAUAAUUUAUCGCUUGCUAGUUUAAACUAUAAAUGAUCUCAAUACUUUUCUCCAUGAUGUCGAUUUCUUUAGAUACGAAAGGGAAAAAUUAGUGACAUAUCCCUUACUGAUUACAACAUCAGCAAAAAUUAGUUAUAAACUUUUCCGGUGGUUUUAAAUCCCCGGGCCCUAAGAUUUUUUGCUCAUCGAGUGAAUUAAGGAACAUAGGCAAUUCAUUUUGCAUACCAAGUCCUUGUUUAAGAUGCAAGUACUAAAAUGCAUCCACUUCAUUAAUUUGGGAAAUUGCCAUAGUUUUUUUAAGCAUUUUGAUUUUUUACAUGAUUUAAAAUUUUCUUAUUGGAUACAAUCACUUUGUAUCAAGAACACAUUUUCAAUCACCUUUUUUUAUCUUCUCAAUGAGAAAAUAAAAAUUUAUUCAUGCUUUUCUAACAUAUUCAAUCAUUGAUCUGAAAAUUAAAACAUUAAGAAAAGGACAUUUUCAAACAUUAAGAAGUAGUAUUUUAAAGACCAUGAUGAAAUUAAUACUUUCAAGGUCUCUAUUAGGAAGACUUCCUUUAUUAAUACUCUACUAGGCAGAGUUAUAUGCACGUUUACUGUUUUGGCCUUAAGUUGGGUGCAGAUGCUUAUAUUACAAAUAGAUGGUAUCAAAAAAUUGUUGUAUUCACGUCUGUUCUUUUUUUCUUCCUUAAGUUUUUUUCUUUAUUCUCGUGACUUCGCUAGUGAGGUAUAACUUCACAACUAGAGUCAAUAGAAAUCGUCAAAUGAUUUUUUGACAUCCAAAUUAAGCAAUAAAUUUUGUUUUCAUUUCAUAACAUAUAAUAGUACUACUUCAUGGGAGAUUUUAUAGUUUCUUUAGGGUAUCAUACCUACAAUUGAUAUUUAUCAUUGGAUAGUGAAAGAAGUGUUAAUGUCUCUAAGAUUAAAUAUUGUUAAAUAUUGAAAAUUUGAACUAUUUAUCUCUAUUGAGAGAUACAACUUAAAGAAUCCUACCCAAAAGAGACUAGAAUUUUCUCUGUUUUUCAUCAUCUGUAGACAUAAACUUUCCACGGUUGAUAGCAUUUUUCAUCAUCUAUAAGGAAAUUUUGCCUAUACAAUGUGAUAGCAUUUUUCAAAAAGACAAGAUGGAAAAUUGCCCCCCUUGAACGGAAAAUUGCCCCCUUGUCAAUUCUUUAAAAAAGAAUACCGUCCCGCAGAAUUCUAGAAAGUUAGGCAAAACUAGACAAGUUGACAGGUAUAAUCAGACCCAAGAUCAGGAACAAGCAGUUGCACAUUUCAAAAUUCGCUGCUGCAACAACUAAUUUGAUGACUUACAACACUAAAUGGUCAAACUUUGAAUGGCAAUGAAUCUUUUGUUGUACAUCAUGAUGUAAUUUUCAUGUUACAUAAUAGAUUGAUAUCUAUGUUCUUUAAAUUAUCAUAAUAAUUAAAUUUAACUGAAAAAAAGAACACAUAUCAAUACACAAAAGUGUGCAACGUGAAUGUUAUUUUAGUGUAUUGCAGAAGACCUAUAGUCUCUUCAUAUCUCUUCCUGCACGUAUCAAUUCGUUUCCUCUAGAUAAUAAUCUCCCAACUCAUUUAUUUACAAAUGCACCUUUUAUGUUUUAUUACCUCCAAAAGCCUAAAAAUCAAUUCACCGACUCGCAUUUGGUAUCAGAAAUUCUUAUUACGAAUUCUACUUUACUCAAAGAUUGACUGUUAAUAAUGAGACAACGACCAUUUUGUAUUAUUACACCGUCCUUCUUGAUAGGCAAAAGAAAUAGAGAGGAAAGCGGGUCCGUAUAUGGUCUUUUAUUCAUAGAUAAUACAACAUUACGCCAUCGAGCAUUCACACAAUAUUUCAAAGUCAUUGCAUGCCUAAGGCCUGCUUGAUAAUCUAAUUCCGUACUUAAAUUUAAUAAAUUCAAAUCUUAACACAUUCAAAUCGUUUGAUAACAAAAAAUUGAACAUCUAAAUUAAUUAAGUAACACUGAAUUUUCUAGGCAAAACUUGCUCCCAAAAUUAAGUGAUAAGUUAUUCACUUAUCACUGAAUAUGAUAUGUAUUCAAAUGUAUUAGAUUUAAUACUUAAUAAUUUAAUGAAUUCAAAUUUCAUAUUUCAUAUUUCAGUUUUAUCAAACACACCUUAAGUUGCAAAAUAAUACCAAAACUUGUUAUUACAUAGCUUGAGAUUCAAAAAUUUAGAGCAUAAUUCUCAACCAAACACAAUUGAAUAAUGAAUAUUCACGAGUGUCAAAUCUAUCAAAGUACAAUUUGAGGACAACCCAUUCAAACGCGUACACGAUUUUUAACUUUUCUAAAGUUGUUGAGAGCUGUUGAAAGAGAUUUACCAUGUUUACAUCUUCCAAGUCUUGGGAGUAAAAAAUGAAGCCACUGAGUGCUAUAAAAAGGGGGGUAGAGGCCACUUGAGAUCCUCGGUGACAUGUUUUCUAUGCCAAUCCAAUGCCACCAAUAGUGUUGCGCCAAGUGUCAUGUUAUUAUUUACACUUGUGUUAAACUAAGCCAAGUUGAAUUAUUAGAAAAUUAAAGUGUAAAUAAUAACAUGACACUUGGCGCAAUACUAUUGGUGACAUUGGGUUGGCAUAGAAAAUAUGUCACCGAGGAUCCCAAGUGGAUAGAUGCUGCCUAGAAGCAUAUCAGCCUAAAACAAGAAUUUGUAGUAACAAUGGGGAGCAAAGCAAAAGCAACGGGGUCUAGGCUGACUCCUCUUCUUACCACUGUUUUAGUGGUAUUUGUUGCCCUUGGCUUGCCCUUGGAAACUGCAGCUGAUUAUUACAAGUAUUCAUCUCCUCCUCCUCCUCCUUACCAGUAUUCCUCACCACCACCUCCAGUGUAUUCACCUCCACCAACCCCUGUUUAUAAGUUACCCCCACCAUCUCCUCUAGUUUACAAGUCCUCACCACCACCUUACCACUACUCACCACCUCCUGUGUAUUCACCUCCACCAUCACCAAUUUACAAGUCACUGCCACCACCCCCUCCAGUAUACAACUCCCCGCCUCCACCAGUGUACAAAUACAAGUCCCCACCACCACCUUCUCCAAUUUACAAAUCUCCACCGCCACCAGUUUACAAGUACAAGUCACCCCCACCACCUCCUCCGGUAUACAAGUCUCCUCCGCCACCUGUUUACGAGUACAAGUCUCCUCCACCACCUCCUCCAGUGUACAAGUCCCCACCACCUCCAGUUUACAAGUACAAGUCACCACCACCUCCUCCCCCGGUUUACCAAUCUCCUCCACCACCAGUUUACAAAUACAAGUCACCACCACCUCCUCCCCCAGUUUACCAGUCUCCACCUCCACCCUAUCAUCACUACUACGGUUCUCCUCCUCCUCACCACUACUAAGCAAGUGCAUCUAAGUUUUGAGGUAAUAAUACCGAUCCAAAACUUUAUCAACGCAAACUGCCAUGUAUAUCAUGCUAAGGACGUACACUUGAUCCAUGAAAAUGGCUAGUAGAAGAUUUUUUUUAAGAACCAGAGAAAUACAUUAUUUUUUCGCUCUGUUUUCAAGAAUUUGAGCAGUAUACAGAUUAAAGAGUGUUUUUUUUAAACUUGCUUAUCAACUUAGAAAUGCACAUAGCUGAAAGCCAACUGAAUAUUUGCAGGCAAAGGAGAAGGCAAUCGGUGUUUGAGACCUUCAUGAAGAUGUAGAAGAAUAAGAAUAAAAGCCCAAUGCGAGGAUGAUUUCAAGUUUCUACGUUACCAUUUCUACAUCUAAAUUGACUUUAGCUCCUGAGUUCCAUGUCUAUGGGGUUUGUACUGUUUUACGUACCAUGCAGUACAUGCUUGUAAGGUUUUCUGUCCUGUUGGCAAGCCGCAGGUCCAUAUAAUAAAUGAAUACUAUUUAUAUUACGACACUUUUCUCUCUUUCUCUUAUAUUUUGUCUUUAAUAUUGUUGAUCAUUUUUUUUUUUUAUCAAAAGUAUCAAAUGCUUAGGCAAUUUGGUCUAAUGCUAAUUGUUUUACAUUUAUUUUUCACCUACAUCCCUUUUCAACUCAAAGGAUGCUACAGUUUGUGAUCAUUGUUUAAGACCGAAGCAUGGUACUAAUAAAUAUCUCAUUGAAAGUCAAGGAAACUAACAUUAUGAAAAGUGUAAAUCUUGAUUUGUGAAACUAUUUAUUCGUGGAAUUUAGAGAUACAAAACUCAAAUUGUGACGGUGUUGUUGCUAAAUUAUUUUUUUUUUAUAAUAAAACACAGUUCAUUCAAGGAUUACUGGAAAUCGUCCAGCACAAUUGAGAUACAUUGUUGCCCAGGUGGCAGAUAAAUAUGCACUAAAAUUAUAGAUAUGCAAUUUAACAAAUACAUAAGAUUUGAGAAAUUAAGGACAAAUCUAAAAAGGACCAUAAAUUUGAAAAACAUUUCAUCCUAGAAUAAGUCGCUGCAACUCUCUUUGUGCAUGCUGUAAUCGUCAGAUCUACUAAUCAACAGUUGUAAGGUCCAGUAAAGAUGGUGAGAUCUGCCGAGAUUGAUCCAAAUCUGAAAUAUUCCCUCAGAUCUGCUAUCCAAUUGGUUCAAACUCAAUACUGAAAGUGAAAUCUGAUGAGAAGACUGAAAAAAUUGUAGAUCUAACAUAUAGAUCUAAAAAAACUCCAAGAUUUGAAAAAGUAAAGAAACAAAACUAAAUAAAACUCUCAUUAAGAUAGUUUAGGAGAGACUAAAACUCUCAAUAGGACACCCUAGGAGAGAAGAAAACUCUCACUAGGAUAACCUAUGAGAGACUUUAUUGAAUGAAAGGAAAAGCAAAGGACAAAGGAAGAAGAAGGGAGACCUUGGCUUAAGGCCAAGGUCUCCCUCCUAUGGAGGAGGAAGGGUAGAGGAGGAAGCCUAGAGAGAAGGAAGAGAAUCCCUCCGCUAGAGGGAAGGAAGAGCCUCUGAGAGGGUACCCGUGUUGUUGCUAAAUUAUUAAGGACAUUAUCACCAUUACUUUUCCCUUACUAGUUUCAACUGCAAUGAUCUCAAUCUUUUUGUGACUAAUUCUUUUCUUAAUAAUUUAUAAAUACAAAACUCACAAAGAAUAUGUGACUUAUUCUUUCCUUUCGUCUUCUAAAGAAAAUGCCAACUGUUAGUUUAUCAAGGGAAAAAGGAUCGACAUCAGUUGUUAUUGAAACUAGUAAGGAAUAAAUAAUGGUGAUAAUGUCCUUAAUAAUUUAACAACAGCACCAUCAGAAUUUGAGCUUUGUAUCUAUAAAUUCCACGAAUAAAUAGUUUCAUCAAAUCAAGAUUUACACUUUUCAUAAUGUUAAGUUUCCUUGACUUUCAAUGAGAUAUUUAUUAGUAUCAUGCUUCGGUCGUAAACAACGAUCACAAACGAUAGCAUCCUUUGAGUUGAAAAGGGUAGUGAAAAAGAGAAGUAAAAAAUACAAUUAGCAUUCCCUCAAAUUGUAGAAAGUUAGGUAGCAUUAUAGACAAGUUGAUAGCCGUAAUUAUACUAAAAAUCAGGCAAAAGCCAGCAAUUUUACAUUUCAAAAUUCACCUAUUCAAUAACUAAUUCGAUGGCUUGCUACAUGGUCAAAAUUCACCACAUAUCCCUUUCCUCAAUCAGGGGCUUCUACAAUUACCAGUUCCAAUUGUAUGGUAUAGUGUAAAUAUCAACAAAUUAGAUGUAGACACUAAUAUAAUAAAUAUGGAUGCUAAGGCAACAACAUACAAAAACAUAAUAAAUUUUGGCAUUCCUUAAAAAAUUACGUCCCCAAAUCAAUCUCAUACACCCAAUUUCUAAUUUAUUUAACUCAUUCCGUCUAUUAACUGCACCAUACAAUCCAACCUGCAAUUGCAUGAACCCCAAUCUCGCUUCCUAGUCCACCAUUUUUCUCUAGGUAAUAAUCUCCCUUCUAAUUUCUUCACAAAAUGCACCUUUCAUCACCUCCAAUAGCGUCGACAUGAUCUUUACCCUAGAAGACUAUUCACCGACUCCCAAUUGACGUCAGAAAAUCUAAGAGUAAUUCUACUUUACCCUAAGAUUGAUAUCAACUAGACAAUGACAAUUUAGAAUUAUUACACGCCUCUUCUUAAUAGGAAAAAGAAAUAGAGAAGAAAGUCAGGCCAGGUCUAAUUUCUUUUCGAAGGCAAUACAACAUUACGAAAUCAAGCAUUCAUUCAUACAAAUAUUUCAUAGUCACCGGUUUGCUGAGUAGAAAAGUUUAUACAAAAACUUAAUAUUAUAUUGUUUAAGAGUUAACAAUUUAGAGCUUAAUCUCCUUGUACUUUGGACUAAACUCGAACGUGAAAGGAAAUCCCAAAACCAUAUUGGGCAUGAAUUCACACUUAAAUAGACCCAAAAAAAGAUGGCGACUGGUGAAAGGCAGUGGAGACUGGUGGUGAGAUUUGAGGAAUAGAAGCAGACGGAAAAGCCACAAAUUUUUGCCGAAAGAGGGUCACUUUCAUGGUUAAUUUUGCUACUCUCUACUUGUACUUGACCAAUGACAGGUUGUCAGUCUGUGCAAUAAUAAAAACCUGUUCAAACUAAAAGUAAUUUCUGUAGAUAGUGGUAAGCAGGGUCGAAUCCACAGGGAUUAGGUGUAACUGUUUCUUUUCAAAUUCACAAUAACAAAGGGGGUGUUUUUAUGCAGAAUGUGACAAUCAAAGAAAUUCAAUUAAAAGUAAAAUAAUAAAAAUAAAAUAGCCAACUAGAAAUUAAAUAACAAUUUACUAAAAUCAAAUGAGUGAUAAUUAAGGAUCUAGCCAAGGAAUAACUUCAGCAGUGGUUCACCUAAUUGAUCAUUGGAACAAAGGCAAUUCCAAUUAUUUACUAAUAAAUAGGUUAUAACUGCCAAACAAGCGAUGACAGUCAAUCACUCCUUACUGUGUCGGUGAUUAAGGUACGCCCGUUAAUCACUGCCCUAAUUGAGAAAUAAUCUUAGGUACGCCCGUAAGAUUUAAUUUUCCAAUUGCCUUACAUAUUAGAGGAGUGUCAGGAACAAGGAAAUAGAAUGGGACGUCGUUUAAUGCAAAGGGUUGUGCGUUUAAGGCCUUAGAAGCAAUACUACGUCGUUCUAAUAACAUAGGCGGUGCUGGUGUGAUAGGCCAAGUUAGUUGAGGGUCAAUUACAUAAAUAGCCUUCUGUAACAGAUUUUUGGUUAUGUUUUUGAAUGAAAAGUAUCUCGCUGCUUUCUCUCUCUUGUCUGUUAUUUCCCUCCCUUUUCUUCUUUCUCUCUUCCCUCUUCUUAAUCUUGUUUCUUUCUUCUGAUUCUUCCCCCAAAUUCAAUACAAUUCCAGAAAUUAACCUGCAAGUCUGACAUUUGGUAUCAGAGCGGUCGAUUCUUGGCCGCGAAGGUAUCAGAAAUGGCUGAGAGCACGCGAUUCAGGACACUGGAGGAGCAACUCAAGAAGCAGGAGAAUCGGUUGCAAGAACUGGCGGAAUCCAUGGCUGCACUGCAGAGUACGAGUUCCGAGGAGUUGCGGCAUAAGCUACAGGCGGAAAUGGAGCAGAACAAUGCAAAAUUGGACGCGGUGGUGGGAAGUCUGGACCAGAAGUUCAAUAAAAUGGAACAGAGACUCAGUACAGUGUUGAAGCUGCUGAUGAAGGAGAAAGGUCUCCCUGAUGUCGAAGGAGGAAUUUCUGAUCCAAUCUUGCCGACUCCUCCAUCUCAUCUGAGGUUAGCAUCCUCAGUCGAAGGGAUUGGGCACCAACAAGAGUACAGAGGUAGGCAAUUCACUCCUAAUGUACCUCGAUUAGAACUGCCAAUGUUUAACUCUGGAAACCCUAGGGAAUGGACCAGGAAAUGCCAGAAAUAUUUUUUGAACUAUCAGAUAGCAGAGAGUCAAAAGGUAGAGGUAGCAGAGAUGUUUUUGGAAGGUAGAGCUGACAAUUGGUUUCAAGGAGUGAAAUUGGUGAGGCCAGGGUUGUCUUGGGGGGAAUUUAGUGAACUUUUGUGUGAAAGAUUUUCUGGAAGUAGUUCUCGUGACAUUGUGGAGGAAUUUAACAAGUUACAGCAGAAAGGAACUGUUGAGGAAUAUGAGGAGAAAUUUGAAGAACUAAAAGCUCUAAUGCUGAUGAAAACCCCCAGGUUGGAUGAACUUUACUUUGUUUCCAGUUUUAUUAGUGGCCUCAGGGAAGAAAUUAGACCUAUGGUGAAGAUGUUUAAGCCUCAAACACUGAUGAAGGCCUUUGAAGUUGCGGAGUUGCAGGAGUGUUCCCUGGAAAUCCAAUCGAAACAAAACAGAACUUCAAGGAGGACAGCAAUGGAACCCAAGUUUGGAAUGUAUAAGGGCACUACGAGUGAUUAGGGUCGCCAAAAUUCAUAUAAGUUGCCUGGAGUCACUCCUGUCUCCAGGAGGACUAAUGCAGUACACAAGGAAUUUAGUAAGAUAUCAGCGGAGGAAAUGCAGUAUAAGCGUAAGCACAGCCUGUGCUAUAGGUGUGGAGAGAAGUUUGGAAUAGGUCAUCAGUGUAAGAAAGGAAGUCUGAACUGUGUGAGCACUGAGGAAGAGGAGGACACUGAAUUUGAGGAUGCGGAAGGGGAACAGGAUGAGUUAACAGGAAGGGUCGGGGAACUUGCAGAAGUCUCUUUGAAUGCUUUAUCUGGUGCCAUAAGGAGGAAAUCCAUCCUGUUGAUAGGGAACUUAGGGGGGCUUCCAGUCAAAAUUUUGGUGGACACAGGCAGUUCUAACAGCUUCAUUCACCACAGGAUUGUCAACCUACUGCAUCUACCAUAUCAGGCAGUCAGUCCAUUUACUGUGACUCUAGCAGAUGGAACUGACAUUACCAGUGGAGCCAUCAGUCCCAGCGUGUCUUGGUUAAUUCAGGACUAUCAAUUCCAAUUUGACUUAAAAGUAAUGGAAUUAGGGGGAUGGGAUAUAAUUCUGGGGGUGGACUGGAUGUGCCAGUAUAGUCCCAUUACAUUUGAUUUCCACUCUCUUAGCAUUGCCCUUAGUGAUAGGGGUUCUUUACUACACCUCCAAGGACUUGUGAAGCAACCUACUAUGGAACUGGUGAGGGGCAGGGAUCUCAGCUCGUUUAUACAGGAGAAGCAAAGAAACUGUGCAGCCAUGCAUGCUGAUAGGGCCAGGGAAACAGGAGAGCAGCUUCCAAAAGCUAUAGAAAGGAUCCUGGAACAGCACUCUCAGGUUUUCUCCACCCCAACAGGAUUACCCCCAGAGAGGGAAUUGGACCAUCAGAUCAACCUCAAACCAGGAGCUGAACCCUUCAAGCUCAAACCUUACAGGUACCCCCACUCACAUAAAGCAGAAAUUGAAAAAAAAGUUGCUGAGAUGCUCACUAAUGGAAUUGUUAUACAUAGCACAAGCCCCUAUGCCUCCCCUGUAUUGUUAGUAAAGAAAAAGGAUAACUCCUGGAGAUUAUGCAUAGAUUACAGGAAGCUGAACGAGCUGACUAUAAAGGAUAAGUUCCCUAUUCCCAACAUAGAUGAACUAUUGGAUGAAUUACAUGGAACCAGAUACAUGUCCAAACUGGAUCUCAGAGCUGGUUACCAUCAGUUGAGGGUGAAAGCUGUUGAUACCCCUAAGACUGCCUUCCAGACACACCAUGGCCACUUUGAAUUCUUAGUGAUGCCUUUUGGACUCACAAACGCGCCAGCUACAUUUCAGUCCUUGAUGAACAGAAUAUUUCAGCCAUAUCUCAGAAAGUUUGUCCUAGUCUUCUUUGACUACAUAUUAGUGUACAGCCCCACACUAGAGAUGCAUGCACAGCAUCUACAGAUUGUGCUCAAUAUUUUAGAAGAAAAUCAGCUGUAUUACAAGAGGUCAAAGUGCUCUUUUGCCCAGUCCUCAAUUGAAUACUUGGGGCACGUGAUCUCAGAGGCAGGAGUGAGUAUGGAUGUGGCUAAGGUGGAGUGUAUCAAGUCCUGGUCUGUUCCUAGUACAGUCAAGGAGCUGAGAGGGUUUUUGGGAUUAAUUGGUUACUACAGGAGAUUCAUUAAAGGCUAUGGAGUGAUUAGCAAACCCUUGACUGUAUUGUUGAAAAAGGAAGGUUUUGCAUGGAACCAUGAAGCUCAAAUGGCCUUUGAAGAUUUGAAAAAGGUUAUGACCACAGCCCCAGUGCUGAGCAUGCCUAAUUUCGAACUUCCUUUUGUCAUAGAGACUGAUGCCUGUGGAAUAGGUAUUGGAGCAGUGUUGAUGCAGCAAGGACAUCCUAUUGCUUUCCUUAGCAAGGCAUUAUCAGUUCAGAAUUUGGGGUUAUCAGUCUAUGAAAAAGAGCUUUUUGCCUUAGUGCUAGCUGUAACUAAGUGGAGGCAUUACCUGGUGGGUCAUCACUUCAUUAUCAGGACAGAUCACCAAGCUCUCAAACAUUUGAUAGAGCAAAGGCUUACUCAUCCACUCCAGCACAAGUGGCUAACUAAGCUACUUGGUUUGGACUAUGAAAUACAGUAUAAAAAGGGUGCAGACAAUGGGGUGGCAGACGCCCUCUCCAGGAGAAGGAUUGAGGGAAACACUGUUGACUGUGGAGAGACUGGGCAUCAGACCUGCGCCAUAACCUCAGCUCAGCCUAGUUGGAUGCAGGAAAUGCUAGAAAGCUACAUUGGAGAUGCAGAGGCUCAACAGAAGUUAUCUGAGCUAUUGCUGGAUCCCAAUGCAGAUCCAGAUUAUCAGUUAAAGAAUGGGAUGCUCAAGUUUAAAGGGCGGCUGUACAUAGGAUCUGCUAACAACAUUAGGACCAAGGUGGUCAGAGCAUUGCAUGACUCAGCCCUUGGGGGGCACUCAGGUCCUGGAAUCCGUAAGGAUGUCCUUCAAUAUGUGAGAUCUUGUGAUGUGUGUCAAAGGAACAAACAUGAAAAUGUUCCUUAUCCUGGGUUGCUGCAACCAAUUCCUGUACCUCAGCAGGCUUGGUCACACCUCACCAUGGAUUUUAUUGAGCAACUACCCCCAUCCCAUGGAUUUGAUACCAUUUUGGUGGUGGUGGAUAGGUUAACCAAGUUCAGCCACUUCAUUCGACUCACUCACCCUUUUUCUGCACAGCAGGUAGCACAGCUUUUCCUUGACAACAUAUACAAGCUGCAUGGACUUCCUGAGACCAUUAUAACUGACAGGGACAUAAUCUUUCUUAGUAAGUUUUGGCAAGAGUUAUUUGGUAUGGUAGGGGUAAAGCUGCACUACAGUUCAUCGUAUCACCCUCAAUCAGAUGGUCAAAGUGAAAGGGUCAAUCAGUGUUUGGAAAACUAUCUCAGGUGUAUGUGCAGUGAGCAUCCUUCUCACUGGAGCAGUUGGCUUCCUACAGCUGAGUUAUGGUACAACACUAACUUCCAUACUAGCUUGCAGGUGACACCAUUCGAAGCACUAUACGGGUAUAAACCAAAUCACCUUCCCUUAGGACCUUUUCAUGAUAGCCUGGUACCUGCUGCUGGUAACAUGGUGCAGACUAGGCUCCAAAUUCUAUCCCUCAUCAAAGAGAAUCUAGCCACCGCCCAGAAUCGAAUGAAAAUGUUUACUGAUAAGCACAGGACUGAACGUGUCUUCCAAGUGGGGGAUUGGGUAUUUCUCAAGCUGCAACCUUACAGGCAACAAUCAGUGGCCUUACGGAAGAAUUUGAAGUUGGCUGCCAAAUACUUUGGACCUUUCCAGAUCCUUGCGAGAGUAGGGGAAGUCGCCUACAGACUUAAGUUGCCAGAGGGAGCUCGAGUUCAUUCCGUGUUCCAUGUGUCCUUACUUAAAAGGAAAGUGGGAGUUACACAGCAGGUAAAGCCCAGCUUGCCAGAAGUAGACGCAUCAGACCAAUGUUUGCUGAAGCCAGAGAAGAUUCUCCAGAGGCGUGUUAUCAUACGAGCUGCCAAACCAAUCAUCCAGUACCUGGUGAAGUGGAACAACUUACCAGAAUCCGAAGCAUCAUGGGAGGAUAAAAGCUUCAUUGACAGACAAUUUCCGGAAUUUCAAGCUUGAGGACAAGCUUUGCUUAAGGGGAAGAGAUUGUCAGGAACAAGGAAAUAGAAUGGGACGUCGUUUAAUGCAAAGGGUUGUGCGUUUAAGGCCUUAGAAGCAAUACUACGUCAUUCUAAUAACAUAGGCGGUGCUGGUGUGAUAGGCCAAGUUAGUUGAGGGUCAAUUACAUAAAUAGCCUUCUGUAACAGAUUUUUGGUUAUGUUUUUGAAUGAAAAGUAUCUCGCUGCUUUCUCUCUCUUGUCUGUUAUUUCCCUCCCUUUUCUUCUUUCUCUCUUCCCUCUUCUUAAUCUUGUUUCUUUCUUCUGAUUCUUCCCCCAAAUUCAAUACAAUUCCAGAAAUUAACCUGCAGAUCUGACAAGGAGCCCUAUUCUAACCAAAUAACACACUACCAGGGUUAUUUUAGGUUAGCCCGCGUAUUCCCCUGACAUGAAUCCAAUCAUGCCAGUUAUCACUAUUUUGAAACAAUUAAACAAUUACGGAUUUAACGUCCCAAUUGACAAUAGAUUAUCAAAUUAACUAAUUAUCCGGAUCCAAAACAAUCAAUUAAUUAAAUAAUCAUAAGCACUGUAAUCAGGGAAUAUUUGAAUACCAAUAAAUAAAAAGAAAGGACAAAAUUAAAUCGAUUUCACAAUUUUUAAACGAACCACAACCUCAGUUGUUCCUCGGCUAGAUUGAGAAAAUUAGCUCAUGUUCGAUGCGAAAAAUCCACAAGAAAUUGUUAAGAGAGCCGCGGCCAUUGUCCCUUGAAAUUGGGGAAAUUCAAUUCGGUUGAACUACGAAAGAAAAGUAAGCUACAGAGAGUUGCCGAUUGGGUUUUGCUUGUCCCUAACAUGCGAGGGAGCAAAGCCACGAAAGGACGACAAAGGUCAAAAAGAAAGGCUACAGAGCAUGUUCCAGGUCUUUUUGUGCUCUCCACAUCCGAGCCAACGAAAAGAAAUAAAAAACUACCAGGAGCUAAAGGAAAACCGCAAGAAAAGUCAAAGGCUAAAAAAACUUCCUAGUGCUUGUUCUCUGCUUAUCUCUUUAUCUAAUUCUAAGUCCCCGAUUUUUUGCUCCGUGCGGCGGCUCCCCCGGAGAGAAAGGAUUGCAUCCGCUGCCCUCUUCCACCAAUUACCAAAAUGGGCACACCGCUUCUUUUUCAAAAAUGCUCCUGGAUAAACUCUAUCAUCUGGACUUUUUUUCUGUCAAAUUGACAUUUAUUAUUAUAUUUUCGUUCUACUCCCUGAAAUAAAUGUAAAAUAUUAAAAAUGAGUAGAAUCCGACAAUUAAUUCACAUCAGGUCAGAUAAUAAAGAAAAUUAAUAAUAAAAUAAAUAAAUAAAUUGCAACCUAUCAACCAAAUACAACAAUUUCAUGGAGUUUGAUACACAAGCCCAAAUACACGAGAGUGUGUAACCUGAAUUGUUACUUAUACAUUAGUGUGUAAUAGAACGGCAAGCAUUAUGGUGGUCAUUGAGCAACUUGUAGGAGAAAUAGUCCUAUAAGCUGUUCAAUGACCAAUCACAACUUGCUAAUUGGAUGACUAAUAUAGCUCUAGCUGUAAUGUUUUAAUUAAAUUCCAUCACUAACGUUGGGAUGACUUUUUAAUCAAAAAAAAAAAAGCCUUAGUUCAAGCUUUUCCCCUUAUUGUGCAUUUUUUAAAACAUUUGAUAGGCACUGCAAAUCUGUCAUUUUGGACAUUUUAUUAUUAACUAACAAUGAAAGCCGUGGACAUCAACCCAUAUCCAACAAAAUAUUAAAUUAAUAUUAGAAAAAAUUAUUAAGUAAUUGGAAAAAAAAAGAAGAGGCUAAUUUUCAUUGAAACCCACCGACAAACUAUACGCUGCUUUCAAUCAGUUUUAACACGGGAAAAAGAAAAGGCAUGAAAAGCAAAAUUUGUGGGGAUAAUUUCGGAAACCUCCCAUGAAGUUUUUGACUAUUUUACUGGCCUCCCUUCAGAUUUUAAAAAUUGGACUAAUCUUCCUUAAAGUUAAUUAUCUUGUAACAUUUAGAUCCGAUCAAUAAUUUAAAAAAUAAUAUUAUGAGAGAGAAAAUAAUAUGAUUUUAUUAUUGCCCCCAUCUCACCACAUUAUUUAAUUAAUUUAAUAGCAACCCACACAUUAAAGAAAAUGACAGGUCGUCAACCUGUGCAAUAAUAAAAUUAAACCUAAUUGCCAGUUAAAAUGACCAAAACCCAAUUCCAAGUACUGGAGCAGGGACUCUAGGUGUGCAAUGGGUUACUUGAUUCACCCUGUUCCCGAAGAGUUUGCUUGAUCCGAUAUACCCGAAUGGAAUGGUUAUUCCUUUUCACAAAUGAUUAGGAAUUUGUAGACAGGGCAAGUAGGGUCGUAUCCACAGAGACUGGGUAUAUUUGUUUCUUAAGAAAUCCAAAGUAACACAGGGGGUGAUUUUGUAGGAACGACGAUAAUUAAAUAAAUUCAAAUGAGAAAGUAAAAAUAAAUAAUUAACUAGAAAUUAAACCACAAUUUACUGAACUCAGGAUAACAAUAGUUAAAGGCCUCAAUUAAUUAAAAUAAGGAAACAAUCAAAAAUAAAAUAAAGUAGGUAAUUAAAAGUCAAAUGGCAAUCCACUACAAUCAAGGAAAUAUUAACUAAAGAUCUAGCCAAGAAAUAACUUCAGCAAUGGUUCACCUAAUCGAUCAUUGAUGCAAAGCAAUCCCAAUUAUUUACUAAUAAAUAGGUUAUAACUACCAAACAAGCGAUGGCAGUCAACCCCUCCUUACUGUGUCGGUGAUCAAGGUACGCCCGUUAAUCACUGCUCUAAUUGAGAAAUAAUCCUAGGUACGCCCGUAGAAUUUAAUUCCCCAACUGCCUUACGUAUUAGAGGAGCCCUAUUCUACCCAAAUAACACACUACCAGGGUUAUUUUAGAUUAGCCCGCGUAUCCCCCUGACACGAAUCUAAUCGUGCCAGUUGUCACUAAUUUGAGGUAAUUAAACAAUUACGGAUUCAAUACCCCAAUUGACAAUAGAUUAUCAAACCAAUGAAUUAUCCGGAUCCAAGACAAUCAACUAAUUAAAUAAUCAUAAGCACUGCAACCAAGGAAUAUGCGAAUACCAAUAAAUAAAGGAAAAGAUAAAAUUAAAUCGAUCUCACAAUUUACAGGUGACCCAAAGCAUCAGUCGUUUCUUGACUAGAACGAGGGGGUUAGCUCAUAUUGGAUGAACUAAGCCCGCGGGAAAUUCCAGCAAAAGUCACGGCCGUUGUAUGCAUUUCAAGAGCCGCAAUUCGUCAAACACUUGGAAAGCGAAUGUAAGGCACGGGUAACAAUUGAAACUUUCUAAUUGUUCCUAGCAUUCGUAAAGCAAAUUCACUCCAGAAGUACAGUGAGGAAAAGUCAAAGAAAGUGGGCUUCAAUUCCUUGCUCCUGACAUGCGUGGAGACAAGCCAAUGCAAGACUACAAUAAACUAACAAGGAAAAGUCAAGAAUUGGAGCUAAGCUCCCCUGCCAUGCGCAGGAAUCCCAAAAGUAAAAAGUAAAGCUUCAAAGAAAAGUCAACAAUUCUUCCUAAGCUACAGACGGAAGAUCCAGCACAAAAGCCAGCUCCCUUUUUGAUCCCUUUUUCCCCCUUCUUAUUGCGGCGGCUCACCAGGAGAGGAGAGCCCUCCGUCCGUCCUUUCUUCCGGAAAUUACCAAAAUGGGCAUGACAUCUUCUCUUCCAAAAGUGCCCCUGGGACAAGCUUUCUCAUCUGAAUUCUUUUUUUUUCCAAUUUGGCACCUGUUAUCAUAUUUAUAUUCUACUCCCUGAAAUAAACGUCAAAUACUAAAAGUGAGUAGAAUCCAGCAAAUAAAUCCACAUCAAGUCAGGUAAUAGGAGGAAUUAAUAAUAAAAUAAAUGAAUAAAUUGCACCCUAUCAAUUCCCUCCACACCUAAACCAUGCUUGUCCUCAAGCAUAAGAAAAGUAAACGAACACCAAAAUUCGACGAUAGCCAUUGCCCAAUCUCCUAUAUUGCCAAGACAUUCAAGAGAAAAACACAUAUCGAGCAUUGGUGAUUAGAAUCCCAGAAGCAUCCCCCCGGUUAGCCUCUAACCCCCAGAUUCCUUCAAUUUCCAACUUAACUACUCUAAGAAAGAGGAAUGGCACACAACAUUUAUCAGCUAGUGGUCCGAAUAUUCACACAAGUCUUCAUAUCCAAUCCAUAAACCGGCAAGCUUCCCUAUUAUUUAGUCUCUCUUUUUUUCCGUUUUUUUUCAUUUUCAUUCUUCCCCUCUUUUUUUUUUUUUUUUAAAGCAGUAGCAAUCAACACAAAAGACUUAGUCGUUAGCCGUCAGGGCCUUUUGAUGCGAACUCCAACAUUUUUAGAAGGAGGAGCCCGGUUACUCAGCUCCUACCGCUAUACGACCACGCACUCAUAUAAAAUACCACCUUUUGACGCGAGAAUCGACACUUUUAGGUGCCGAUCCCCGGUUACUCAGUAGUAACUUAAUAGCGGAGCACAGUCAAGCUUAUUCUCAGCCAAACAAUGCACAAACGCAAAAUAACAGCACUAACAAUCAAACAUAGGAGCAGCUCGCCUCAUUAUUGUCAAACAUGGAGAACUGGAGUCAAUAUUGGACCAGUUCACAUUAAAAGGCCAUAUUCAUUCCCUACGCCUAGAAAAGUUAACAAAGAAAUCGAAAGAGUCAAACAGUUAAAUAUUCACCAAGGGGAUAUUCAGGACCCAACCACACUAACCCGAUACAUUUUGUAUUUUAAAAACUUGGCAAAAGUAGAUUUGGAGUCAAUGAGUCCACAUCUCAAUUUUAGCCUUCACAUGAAAGGCAAUCACCAAGAAGAAAGAACGGAAAAAUAAGCAACUAGAAAUGAGACUACGAAAAACUACUAAAACUAAAAACUCACUUUUUUUCUUUUUCUCUUUUUUUUUCUUUUUGAAUUUUUUUUUCAUUUUUAUUUUUUUUUAUUUUUUUUAUUUUUUAAACAUUAACUAUAAACAUUAACUACUAAAAACUAAAAACUAAAACUACUAAAAACUAAAAACACUAAAAACUGCUAAAAUGAAAAGCUGAAAACUGAAAACUACUAAAAACGGAGCACACUAGCAUAACUUUAGAUCCCCCCCACACCUAUAGGACACAUUGUCCUCAAUGUGACAAAUAAGAACCAAAAGUGAAGCACAAGUGAGAGGGGAAUCAGCCAAACUUCCCUGAAAUCGGGUCACAGCGGAGGGCGAGGUGGAAAUGGAGGUGCAAAGCCUGUAUGCAUCAGGAACUGUGCCAAAUUCUGUGCUAUGCCGGCGACAUUGGCGUCGACGUUGGUCAUCCGGGCCUGCAAAUCCUGAACCAGCUCCCUGAGAUGCUGCCAAUCAUCGGUCCCAGGUGGUGGAGGUGGCGCAGAAGUAGAGGUAGACGGCCCAGCAGUGUCCGCGGCCGACCCAGGGAAUGAAGAUGGCCCUGCCCGGGCCGAAUGGUGUGCACCCGGGGCUCGAGGUGGUCCCGGACGGGUAAACUGGUGAAAACCAUCUGGCAGACGCUCGACGACCCCCAUUUUCUCUAAGCAAACUACGUCCAAGUGCUCCAUCUCAAAUGCCAAAUGGAGGUCGUGGUCAUCCAGGUUAAGAACUCCCAACUGGGUCGCCAAGUGAGUGAUGUAGGACCCAAGGAUCAGUGGUUUGUUCUUCUUGGUCAAGACCGUCUUGAACUGUGCGGCCAACCAACAUCCCAAGUUCACCUUGAUAUUGUUCUUCAUACUCCAGAGAAAGAAGAAUUCGGGCCGAGAGAGUAUACCGGAGCUGUCCUUGCGCCCCGAGUAGCUAUAAGCUAAGAAUCGCUGAACAUAGCGGGCGCUAGGGUCCUUAAGAAAGGAGCUCCUGGACCGGGAAGGAUCGUAGCGUUGCCUAUCGACGGACAUGUCCUCCCAUACAUCAUGGUAGUGGGAGAGGAAAGGCUCUACGUAGUCACAGGCACUCUCCGCAUACUCCCUAGUCUCAGCAUACUCUCUAGUGAUAAACCCAAAUGCCAGAUUGAAUUGAGUAAUGGAGAAAUUGAAUUCUCGACCCAUGAGCCGGAAAUGAAUGACAUUCGGUGUUUCACCCGUGUAUCUCGUAGGUAAUUCGAACUCAAAGGUGGAGUAAAACUCCCGGAUCAGCUCAACAAAAGCGGGACAAGAAAUAUGGAAAUAUGGGCGCCACCCAAUGGCUGUGAACAUUUGCUCAACCUCCUCCCGUAUACCCAGGGCAGUUAGAGAGAGUCUAUGACAAGACUUACAGGAUAUUAUACGCCUCUCGCAGACCUUAGCGUACCUCUGCCGAUCGGCGGGUCUGGUAAAUGUUAAGUGCCCCCCAAAAUGAACAGGUGCAUCUACCUGAGCACCCCUAUCCCUACCCAAACGGGUUCGAACACUAGAAGAGGAGGGUAGGUUGGUAGGUGAGUUGACAGGAAUAGAGGCUUGUGGAGGGGGUUGAGACUGAGAGGUCCUAGACCUAGAGGAGGAUUUCGGUCUCACCAUUCCCCCCAAAGUAAGUUCAAGGCAACAGAAAAUCCGACAAGUAUAGAAACCAGCAAUUGACAAAGCAAAAAUCUCCCAGUAGUAACCCAGCCAAUAGCAAACAAAAGAGUUCCAGCAAGUAAUCAACAAGCAAUUCAGAAAUAUCUCAACUAAAAUCUCAAGAGAAACCCCAGCGAGUUAUCCAGCAAUUCAAGCAAUAUCCCCAAGCAAUGUGGUGGUCAAAAUGUCAUCUCCAAAUUGAACAAAUAAUCAGAGCAUUGCAACACAUUGAAAAUCUCAAUAAACGGCUCCAGUUGGCCAAGAAAAAUUGCUAACUCAUACUCAGCAAUAGUAGUGCAGCAAAGGGACAGUAACCACGCAAUAAAAACACUUAGCUUGCACUCAAAUGGUCACCCCAAAUAACAACCCAGUAUGAAACCCGCAGGCAGAGUAUUCCUCAAACCGUUAGCCUAAACCCAGUCAACAACCACGGCCAGAAAUAACCCCAUAAAUAGUGCAAUGAGUAAUCCCCAGCAACAUAAUCAGGUGUAAUCAACUGGAGCAAGCAAUUUACAUGGCAUAGAAACCUCCCAAUCAAACAAGUGCAUUAUUCUAGCGCACCCCAAAAUUCCAAGAAAUGGCUCCAGUUGGCCAAUUAAUUUCACAAUGUCACCCAACUCAGGAGAAAUAGCAAUUCCACACAAAAAUAGUCAAACCAGUACCACUGGCGAAAAAUCUUUCAAAUAUGCACAAUUUGCUACCAAAUAUCACCGGCUAACACUGAAAAAUUGAGGGCAAGUGUCAAAUACCUCCACAGGGACUACCCCAGGCGGCAGACAGAGAAGCGGCGUUGAAGCUGGUGGUCGAGCGGGGCGGCGCUCGCGUCGGCGUGCGCAGCGGCGACGGCGCGCGAGGAUGGAGUUUCGGGAGGUUGCGUGCGGGCUUGGCUGAAGACGCGGCGCGCGCUAGGGCUUCGCUGCGGCAGGCGUGCAGCAGGGGAGAAGAAAGAAAAGAGAAAGAAAGAAAGAAAAAGAAAGGAAAGAAAGAACAGAAAAGAAGGAAAAGAAAAAGGAAUUUUUCUUUUUUUUCUUUUUCUUUAGGCUACGGUUUAGAGGACAAAUUUUUCUUCUUCUUGUUUUCUACUUUUUUAUUUUUUUAUUUUUUAGUUUUUAAUUUAUUACUAUUAUUAUCAUAUUUAAUUGAGGAAAAAAAAUGUUUUUUUUUAAAUCCCUACCUUUCCCACGAACGUGACGCGGGCACGUCAAGAGGGCAAGAGAGCUCCCAGAAGUUUCAGAAUUUUCUGAUCGUAAGCGUCCUGCACAUCACCACGCGGGCACGUCAUGAGGACAGGAGAGCUCCCAGAAGUUCAGAAUUUUCUGAUCGUGAGCGCCCUGCACGUCACCACGCGGGCACGUCAUGAGGCCAGGAGAGCUCCCAGAAGUUUGAAGUUUCUGAUUCCUGCCCGUCAUCACGCGGGCGCGUCAUGACUGAAGGUCACCUACAAAUCAGCAAAAACGAAAACUAACACCCAAAAUCAGUCAAAUUCAGGGAAAGCAGAUUUAAACUAUGCUACAAAACCAACAAACAAUUAAAAGAAAUAAUUAGGUUGCCUCCCAAUGAGCGCCUUUCUUUAAUGUCUUUGGCUAGACAUGGUAAAGUGUCACUGAUUAGGACACGGUGGUGCGUCAAGCCUUAUUGUCUCCACCUCUCUACCUGAAAAUCCUUCGUAAUAAUAUUUGAGACGGUGUCCAUUCACCACAAAUUUGUUGUCUGUCUUAGCACUCUGGAUCUCAACUGCACCAUAGGGAAAAACAUGAGUAACAAUGAAAGGUCCAAUCCAACGGGAACGUAGCUUACCUGGGAAUAGCUUGAGCCUGGAUUGGUACAGGAGGACCUUCUGACCAACUUCAAAUGUUUUUCUUGAAAUUUGUUGGUCAUGAAAUGCCCGGCUUUUCUCCUUAUAUAUCAAGGCGUUUUCGUAUGCUUCGUUCCGGAUCUCCUCCAAUUCUUGCAAAUCCAACUUCCGUUGAGCACCGGCCUCCUCUAAAUUCAUAUUGCAGUGCUUUAUCGCCCAAAAAGCCUUGUGCUCGAACUCCACUGGAAGGUGACACGGCUUCCCAAAUACCAACCUGUACGGUGACAUCCCAAUAGGAGUCUUGUACGCCGUCCGAUAGGCCCAGAGUGCGUCUUCCAACCUUUGGCUCCAGUCUUUUCUAUCAGGGCGCACCAUUUUCUCUAAAAUGGACUUAAUCUCCCGAUUCGACACCUCCGCUUGACCAUUGGUCUGAGGGUGGUAUGACGUUGAGACCCUGUGGAGUACACCAUACUUGCGAAACAACGCAGCUAUGGUUUUGUUGCAAAAGUACGUUCCCCUAUCACUGACAAUAGCUCUAGGCAUUCCAAACCGCACAAAGAUAUUAGACCUGAUAAAAUCUGCAACUACUCUCGAAUCAUUAGUUCGAGUGGCCUUAGCCUCCACCCAUUUAGACACAUAAUCAACUGCCAGCAAAAUAUAUAAAAAACCAAAUGAAGUAGGAAAAGGCCCCAUGAAAUCUAUACCCCAGACAUCAAAAAUUUCAACAAAAAUCAACGGGACCUGGGGCAUUUGAUCUCUACGGGCUAUAUUACCUACCAUUUGACAGCGAUCACAUGACUUACAAAACACAUAGGCAUCUCUAAACAAUGAAGGCCAAUAAAAUCCACUUUCUAAAACCUUAUGAGCAGUUCUCUUAGGUCCAAAAUGACCUCCACAGGCAAAAGUAUGACAAAAAGCUAAAAUUGAUUGAAAUUCCAUUUCACUUACACAUCUCCUCAUCACUUGAUCGGCACACCUCUUCCAUAGGUACGGGUCAUCCCAGAUAAAAUACUUGGCAUCGCUCUUCAAUUUAUCCCUCUUCGAUUUCGGCCAACCUGCAGGAAAAUUACCAGUUACCAAAUAAUUGACCAAAUCAGCAUACCAAGGCAACUGAGAAUUUAAGAAAAAUAGGUAUUCUUCGGGGAAUGCAUCCUUCAAUGGCUCGCUAUCCUCUUCAACUAGUAUGCGACUCAAAUGGUCCGCUACUAGAUUUUCUGAGCCUUUUUUGUCCCUUAUCUCCAAGUCAAAUUCCUGUAGGAGCAGUAUCCACCGUAUGAGCCUCGGUUUUGCAUCUUUCUUGGUCAUCAGGUACCUCAAUGCUGCAUGAUCAGAAAAUACAAUCACUUUAGCACCUAACAAGUAUGACCUAAAUUUUUCCAAAGCAAAAAUAACUGCCAGAAGCUCCUUCUCAGUGGUGGAAUAAUUCAACUGGGCUCCAUUCAAGGCCCGGGAUGCGUAAUAGAUGACAUGAGCCGCCUUGCCUAUUCUUUGCCCCAGUACAGCCCCAACAGCGUGAUCACUGGCAUCGCACAUGAUCUCAAAUGGCAAAUUCCAAUCGGGGGGUUGGAUGAUUGGGGGUGAAGUCAGCAAUUCCUUCAGCUUGUUAAAGGCUCUCUCACACUUAUCAUCAAAUUCGAAGGCUACAUCUUUUUGUAGGAGUUGGAACAACGGGGCUCCAAUCUUUGAAAAAUCCUUGAUGAACCUUCGAUAAAAACCUGCAUGUCCAAGAAAAGAGCGCACCUCCCGCACACUCGCGGGGUAAGGUAAUGCAGAAAUAAUGUCUAUUUUAGCCUUGUCAACUUCUAUGCCCUUAGACGAUACAAUAUGACCCAGGACUAUUCCGUGCUCAACCAUAAAAUGACAUUUUUCCCAAUUAAGCACAAGAUUAGUCUCUAUACACCUGAUCAGGAUUAAUUUCAGGUUAUCUAGACAAGUAUCAAAACUAUCACCAUACACACUGAAAUCAUCCAUGAAAACUUCUAUUAUUUUCUCAACAUACUCGGAAAAGAUGCUUACCAUACAUCUUUGGAAAGUCGCAGGUGCAUUGCACAACCCAAAUGGCAUUCGUCUGUAGGCAAAGGUCCCGAACGGGCACGUGAAGGUUGUCUUCUCUUGAUCCUCCGGGGCAAUUGCUAUCUGAAAGUAUCCUGAAAAUCCAUCCAAAAAGCAAUAAUAAGCCCUACCAGCUAAACGUUCAACCAUUUGGUCAAUGAAAGGGAGAGGGAAAUGGUCCUUUUUGGUGACGGCGUUUAGCCUACGGUAAUCUAUACAUUGCCUCCAUCCAGUGGGUUUGCGCACUGGCACGAGCUCACCAGUUUGGUUGGCCUCUACCGUCACUCCUGCAUUCUUUGGGACUACCUGGACCGGACUCACCCAAGGGCUAUCAGAUAUUGCAAAAAUGAUGCCCACAUCUAGCAAUUUUAGAAUCUCUUUCUUUACGACUUCCAUCAUGAGGGGAUUGAGCCUUCUUUGAGCCUGCCUAACAGGUUUGGCAUCGUCUUCCAGCCUAAUCCGGUGCAUACAAAUGGCCGGGCUGAUCCCCUUAAUGUCUGCGAUUGUCCAGCCUAUUGCCUCUUUAUGCUCCCGAAGGACCCGGAUCAAUUUCUCUUCCUGGGUCUUUGACAGUGCCGAUGAGAUAAUCACUGGGAGUGUCUCAUUAUCACCUAGGUAUGCGUAUUUCAGGUGCUCUGGUAGAGGUUUCAACUCCAGUACAGGUGCCUGCACCACAGAUGGCAAUACCCUCUGGUGAGCCUUGGGAGUAAAAAUAGGUAAGACUUCAUACCUUUUCGUGGUGGUCUGCAACGAGUGUAAUGCACCUAUUGUGCAUUUUAAAUCCUCGCUCCACUCCACCUCAGGAGUUGUCUCCAACUCGAGGUGCUUGGUUAAAGCCACCUCCAGCUCAUCCCUGCCAUCAGUUUCAAACACUUCCUGCACUACAGGGUCAAUAGCACUCACAGAAAAAACUGAGCUAAAGUUGGAGUUAGAGGGGUACUUCAUAGUAUCAAAAAUAUUAAAAUGCACAAUUUACCCAUCAAACUCCAUGGACAAGGUACCCUUAUUAACAUCAAUUUUCGUCUGCGCAGUGCUCAUAAAAGGUCUACCCAAUAACAAAGGUGAGGGAUCAGGGGAGUGAUCAUCAUCCAUAUCUAGUACAUAAAAAUCAGCUGGAAACACCAAAUCAUUAACCUUUACCAACACAUCUUCAAUCAACCCAUCAGGAUAUGCAUUAGUUCGGUCAGCUAAUUGAAUAAUUAUUCCAGUUUCUUUUAAUGGACCUAGUUUCAAAGAAGCAUAGAUAGAUUUAGGCAUGACAUUAAUUGAUGCUCCCAGAUCCAGCAUGGCCCUUCUGAUCACAGUAUUACCUAUCUUACAGGGAAUAGUAAACAUACCUGGGUCCCCGCACUUUGGUGGGAGCUUUCUCUGCAGGACCGCAGACACAUUUUCUCCAACUAUGACCCGUUCAUCUCCCCUCAACCGCCUUCGGUUGACACACAAGUCCCUUAGGAACUUGGCAUAUUUUGGUACUUGUUUGAUGGCGUCUAAGAGGGGGAUAUUUAUCUCAACCUUGCGAAAAACCUCCAAGAUCUCCUUCUCCUUAUCCUGCUUCUUCGAUUUUUCCAACCUGCUAGGAAAAGGAGGCGGGUUAGUUUUAACUGUAAUUAUUGGGUCAGGAAGUACCUCUGGAUCUGCACCAUUGCUGUCCUCCCUUUCGAGCUCAUUUUCGAUCUUCUCUUCAUCCUUGUCCUUGGGAAUCACAGGUUCAGGCCCCUGAAUUUCUUUCCCACUCCUUAGGAUCAUUGCGCUCACGUUCUUCGGAUUCAACUCCGGUUGAGAUGGCAGCUUCCCUUGGUUCUGGGACUCCCAACGGUUCAUUCUGGUGGCCAAUUGACCUAUCUGAUUCCUUAUGUCCUGCAUUUCGGAGUCCGUCUUUUGCUGAUUUUGCAUAAUAGCUGCCUCCGUCCUUUGCUGAUUCUGCGCCAUGGUUGUCAUCAUUUGUUUCAGCAUCUCAUCCGUAGAUGAACCAGAUUGAGGGAGCGGAGGUGGUCGGGGUUGGUAUUGCUGCUGGUACCCUGGUGGCUUAUUUGGCACAAAGUUAGACUGCCUGUUUGGCGUGAAGUUGGAUUGCCUAUUUCCACCAUAACUGAGGUUGGGAUGAUCUCUCCACCCGGGGUUGUAGGUGCUUGAGUAAGGGUCGUACUGCUUCCUUGGCGCGGGCGCGUGGUCAGCCAUGUUCACCUGUUCCGCAGUUUCUUCCUGAAUCAUUGGGCACAUGUCUGCAGAGUGACCUAUACCAGUGCAAAUCCCGCAUACCCUGGCUUGUGAUGCAUUUCUCACAGCCUAUUGCCUAACGAACGCAGUCAACUCAUUUAGCUGCUGCUGCACAGAGGGUGUCUCUAUCUCAUUCACCCUACGUAUUGGGACAUCCUAUCUUGUACUGAAUUGCUGUGAAUUCUCUGCCAUCCCCUCUAUUAACUCCCGUGCUUCCUGAGGGGUUUUGUUCACCAGUGCCCCUCCACUUGCAGCAUCAAUGAUGCUCCUGUCUCUAAAAAUGAGCCCCUCAUAGAAAUAUUGUAUGAUCAACUGCUCACUUAUUUGGUGAUGGGGGCACCUGCGCAACAAGCUCUUAUACCGUUCCCAAUACUCGUAAAGUGACUCCUCGGGAUGCUGCUUGAUCCCACAAAUUUCUUUCCUUAGACUCGCAGCCCUGGACGCAGGAAAAUAUUUAUCCAGAAAUUUUUUCUUCAAUUGGUCCCACGUGGUGAUGCUACCUGGUGACAGGUAGUACAGCCAGUCCUUCGCAGAAUCUUUCAAGGAGAAGGGGAAUGCCCUCAUUUUUAUCUGCUCUUCUGUGAUUCCCGGGGGUUUCAUACUGUUGCAAACGACAUCAAACUCCUGCAGAUGCUUAUACGGCUCUUCACCUGGUAAACCAUGAAAAGAGAGUAAAAGCUGAAUCAGACCAGAUUUUAGUUCAAAUGGAAUGUUGUCAUUUAAAGCUGGGAAAGUAAUGCAUAACGGCUGCUGAGUUAAAUCAGGAGCAGCCAACUCCCUUAAUGUUUAUGCAUUAGCCAUGGUGCCUUCCUGCUGGUCAGAGUCACUCGAAGUGUUACCAAACGAAUCUGUUGGUUCAACUUCUGACUCGGGUCUUUGAGAUGUAGCACUAGAGUGCUCUUCUCUGAGCUGUCUGGUUUCCUUUCUCGUUCUACGCGCGGUCUUCUCUACCUCAGGAUCAAAAACCAAAUCACCUGUGCGACAAGAUCGAGGCAUACACUAGAAGAAAACCAGAAAAUUAGGACAAAAUUGAAUUUAAGAAGAAACAAAUAAUAACGCCAGUCCCCGGCAACGGCGCCAAAAAUUGACAGGUCGUCAACCUGUGCAAUAAUAAAAUUAAACCUAAUUGCCAGUUAAAAUGACCAAAACCCAAUUCCAAGUACUGGAGCAGGGACUCUAGGUGUGCAAUGGGUUACUUGAUUCACCCUGUUCCCGAAGAGUUUGCUUGAUCCGAUAUACCCGAAUGGAAUGGUUAUUCCUUUUCACAAAUGAUUAGGAAUUUGUAGACAGGGCAAGUAGGGUCGUAUCCACAGAGACUGGGUAUAUUUGUUUCUUAAGAAAUCCAAAGUAACACAGGGGGUGAUUUUGUAGGAACGACGAUAAUUAAAUAAAUUCAAAUGAGAAAGUAAAAAUAAAUAAUUAACUAGAAAUUAAACCACAAUUUACUGAACUCAGGAUAACAAUAGUUAAAGGCCUCAAUUAAUUAAAAUAAGGAAACAAUCAAAAAUAAAAUAAAGUAGGUAAUUAAAAGUCAAAUGGCAAUCCACUACAAUCAAGGAAAUAUUAACUAAAGAUCUAGCCAAGAAAUAACUUCAGCAAUGGUUCACCUAAUCGAUCAUUGAUGCAAAGCAAUCCCAAUUAUUUACUAAUAAAUAGGUUAUAACUACCAAACAAGCGAUGGCAGUCAACCCCUCCUUACUGUGUCGGUGAUCAAGGUACGCCCGUUAAUCACUGCUCUAAUUGAGAAAUAAUCCUAGGUACGCCCGUAGAAUUUAAUUCCCCAACUGCCUUACGUAUUAGAGGAGCCCUAUUCUACCCAAAUAACACACUACCAGGGUUAUUUUAGAUUAGCCCGCGUAUCCCCCUGACACGAAUCUAAUCGUGCCAGUUGUCACUAAUUUGAGGUAAUUAAACAAUUACGGAUUCAAUACCCCAAUUGACAAUAGAUUAUCAAACCAAUGAAUUAUCCGGAUCCAAGACAAUCAACUAAUUAAAUAAUCAUAAGCACUGCAACCAAGGAAUAUGCGAAUACCAAUAAAUAAAGGAAAAGAUAAAAUUAAAUCGAUCUCACAAUUUACAGGUGAUCCAAAGCAUCAGUCGUUUCUUGACUAGAACGAGGGGGUUAGCUCAUAUUGGAUGAACUAAGCCCGCGGGAAAUUCCAGCAAAAGUCACGGCCGUUGUAUGCAUUUCAAGAGCCGCAAUUCGUCAAACACUUGGAAAGCGAAUGUAAGGCACGGGUAACAAUUGAAGCUUUCUAAUUGUUCCUAGCAUUCGUAAAGCAAAUUCACUCCAGAAGUACAGUGAGGAAAAGUCAAAGAAAGUGGGCUUCAAUUCCUUGCUCCUGACAUGCGUGGAGACAAGCCAAUGCAAGACUACAAUAAACUAACAAGGAAAAGUCAAGAAUUGGAGCUAAGCUCCCCUGCCAUGCGCAGGAAUCCGAAAAGUAAAAAGUAAAGCUUCAAAGAAAAGUCAACAAUUCUUCCUAAGCUACAGACGGAAGAUCCAGCACAAAAGCCAGCUCCCUUUUUUAUCCCUUUUUCCCCCUUCUUAUUGCGGCGGCUCACCAGGAGAGGAGAGCCCUCCGUCCGUCCUUUCUUCCGAAAAUUACCAAAAUGGGCAUGACAUCUUCUCUUCCAAAAGUGCCCCUGGGACAAGCUUUCUCAUCUGAAUUCUUUUUUUUUCCAAUUUGGCACCUGUUAUCAUAUUUAUAUUCUACUCCCUGAAAUAAACGUCAAAUACUAAAAGUGAGUAGAAUCCAGCAAAUAAAUCCACAUCAAGUCAGGUAAUAGGAGGAAUUAAUAAUAAAAUAAAUGAAUAAAUUGCACCCUAUCAGAAAAAUGCAAAAAUUUGUUAUUUAUCAUUAAGGAUCAUAUCGCAUAUAACAUCAAAAAAUAGUAUAUUAUUUAUAUCUUUCACUUAAUAUAAUAUCCAAAUUACUCUUUUCAGUUACAUACCCAUUGUUAGACAAAAUCAACAACAAAUAACCAAAAAAUUUGCAACCAAAAUAUUACCAAAAAAAUAAACUUUAACAUCAUAAAUAUUUUUAUCAACAUAUUAAAGUUAGUUAUUGAAAUUUUUAUGGUGUUAAACUUCACUCUUAGCAAUAUUUUGGUUACAGAUUUUUUUGAUUAUUUAUUGUUGAUCGUGUUUGACAAUGGAUUUGUAACUGAAAAGAAUAAUUUGAAUCUUACAUUAAGUGAAAUAUAUAAAAUAUUAUACUAUUUUUUAUGGCAUAUGUGAUUCUUUUUUUUUUUUUUAUCAGAACGGCAACAUUGUAUUAAUAGUAAACCAAUUACAGUAUAGGUGGGCAACCGCCCUCACAAUCUGCCUGGACUUGUUCCAGCAGCCAAACUGGGAAGUUUUCCUUCCAUUCAGUAUUUUGUUCCAAAGUAAUAGCUACUUUAGCUAGUUUAUGGCUAACAAAGUUGUUCACCCUAUUUGCAAAGGUAAAACAACAUUCAUCAAAUUUUAUUCAUGUACAAUUGUUGCUAUCACCACGUCCUCCUCCUCCUCCUCACUGCACACUACUUGACUACCACCCUUCGCCAACCUUGCUGUUGCAUGUGCAACUAUCAUGGCCUCUCUUAGCGCCUUUGCUUCUUCGACCUUUGGACUGGCACAGCUAAAAUUUGGAACAGCCCAGGCCCACCCGCAAUCUUCCCAACCAAUCCCUGGCCACCCUUUUCCCACCCAGCUUCUAUGGCAUGUGUGAUUCAAUCCUUCUUGAUAGGAUUGGUAAUAGAGGCAGAGGGGGGAGCCGGCUGCAUCCGGUCUACUUUUCAUAGAUAGUACAAUAUUGCGAAAUCGAUCGCAUUCACACAAGAAUAUUUCGAAGUCAUUGCAUCGCUAAGUUGCAAAAAAGUACAAACACUUGUUAUUAUAUAGCUUAAGAUUCAAAACUUUAGAGCACAACCCUCCACCUAACACAAUUGAAUAAUGAAUAUUCACGAUUGUCAAAUCUGUCAAAGCACAGUUUGAGGACAACCCAUUCCAACCUGCAAAAGAUUUUUGACUUUUUUAAAGUUGUUGAGAGCUGUAAAAAGACUUACCAUGCUUACAUCUUCCGAGCCUUGGGAGUUAAAAAUGAAGGCACUGAGUGCUAUAAAAAGGGGGCUAGAGGCUGCCUAGAAGCAUAUCAGCCUAAAACAAGAAUUUGUAGUUAUGAUGGGAAGCAAAGCAAAAGCAAUGGGGUCUGGGCUGACUCCUCUUCUUACCACUGUUUUAGUGGUAUUUGUUGCUCUUGGCUUGCCCUCAGAAACUGCAGCUGAUGAUCACUACAAGUAUUCAUCUCCUCCUCCUCCUUACCACUAUCCCUCACCACCACCUCCAGUGCAUUUACCUCCACCAGUGUACAAAUACAAGUCCCCACCACCACCUCAUCAUGUUUACAAGUACAAAUCUCCACCACCCCCACCACCACACCCAGUUUACAAGUAUAAGUCGCCACCACCACCUCCUCAUCCGGUAUACAAGUACAAGUCUCCUCCGCCACCUCCUCAUCCGGUACCACACCCAGUUUACAAGUAUAAGUCACCACCACCACCUCCUCAUCCGGUACCACACCCAGUUUACAAGUAUAAGUCUCCUCCGCCACCAGUUUACAAAUAUAAGUCUCCUCCACCACCACCUCCAGUGUACAAAUACAAGUCUCCACCACCACCAGUUUACCACUACAAGUCUCCACCACCUCCUCCCCCAGUUUACAAAUACAAGUCUCCACCACCACCACCACCAGUUUACCACUACAAGUCACCACCACCUCCUCCCCCAGUUUACAAAUACAAGUCUCCACCACCUCCUCACCACUACUAAGCAAUUGCUUCUGAGGUAAUAACACUUGUUCAAUAUACCCACUUCUGCAUGAUAAAGCAUAUCUCUAUCAACACAAACUGUCAUGUCUAUCAUGCUAAGUGCCUUCACUUCAUCCACCAAAAUGACUGCUAGAAAAUUUUUUUUAUGUUACCAAAGAAAGGCAUCAUUUUUUCCCUCUGUUAUCAAGAACUUGUACAGUAUAUAGAUUAAAGAGUAUUUUUUUAACUAGCUUAUCAACUGAGAAAUGCAUAUAGCUGAUAGCCAGCUGAAUAUUUGCAGGCAAAGGAGAAGGAAACCAGUGUUUGAGACCUUCUUGAAGAUGUAGAAGCAUAAGAAUUAAAGCCCAAUGUGAAGAUGAUGAUUUCAAGUUUUUCUACGUUACCAUUUCUUUAUCUAAAUUGGUUGUAGCGCCUUAGUUCCUUUGUUUAUGGGAUUUGUAUCGUUUUACGUACCAUGCAGUACAUGUCAUGUUUGUAAGGUUUUCUAUCCUGCCGGCAAACCGCAGGUUCCAUGUAAUAAAUCAAUACUAUUUAUAUUACGACACUUUUCUCUGUUUCUCUUAUAUUUUGUCGUCUUUAAUAUUCUUAAUCAUAUUUUUAACAAAAAUAUUCAAACACUUAGGCAAUCUGGUCUAAUGCUAAUUGUAUGUUUUACUUUUCUUUUUCACCUGCUCCCCUUUUCAACUCAAAAGGAUGCAAUAGUUUGUGAUCACUGUUGAAGACGGAAGCAUGAUACUAAUGAAUAUAUCAUUGAAACUCAAGGAAACUAACAUUAUGAAAAGUGUAAAUCUUGAUUUGAUGCAACUAUUUAUUCGUGGAAUCUAUAGUUACAAAACUCAAACUCUGACUGCGCCAUUGAUAAAUUAUUAAUGACGCUAUCAUCAUUAUUUAUCCCCAACUAGUUUCGACUACAACUGAACCCAAUAUUUUCCCCAUGAUAAAAGUUUUUUACUAUUUUACUGGCCUCUCUUCAAAUUUUAAAAAUUACACUAAUCUUCAUUGAGAUUAAUUAUCUUGUAGCAUUUAAGUCCAAUUAAUAAUUAAAAAAUAAUAUUAUGAGAGAGAAAAUAAUAUAAUUUUAUCAUUGCCCCCCAUCUUGCUAUAUUAUUUAAUUAAUUUAAUAGCAACCCACACAUUAAAGAAAAAUACUAAAAUUUGCUGCUUUUCAUUAAAGAUCAAAUUGCAUAUGCCAUAAAACAUAGUAUAUCAUUCUAUAUGUUUCACUUAAUGUAAGAUCCCAAUUGUUCUUUUCAAUUACAAACCCAUUGUCAAACAUGAUCAAUAACAAAUAACCAAAAAAUUUGCAACCAAAAUAUUACAAAAAAAAACUUUAACAUCAUAAAUAUUCUUACCACCUCUAGUGCAUUCACCCUCAUAAAAUAAUUCAAGACCCUACUGUCAUAAAAUGACUGAUCAACUCCUGUAAACCUAAUUUGACAACAUUUAAAUGGAGAACUUUAGCUAAAAGAAUUAUGGUCAAGCUAAAGAAAAAACCAGUUAUUUUCCAACAUAUGCAAUCAUUGAUCAGGGAAAAAAAAAAGAAGCAAAAAGACAUCUUCAAUCAUUUAAUAGCUUACAGGGCAAAUUAACCCCUAAGCGAAAACUGGUUGCUCUAGAAUCAAAAUUUUACUUUAGUUACCCAGGCAACUUUUUUUGUUGCCUUUUCUUUUUCUUUUUUGGGUAUAUAUAUAGCUCCAGUUUUGCCCCCUCUGUCAAGCUUAUAUAAUUAUUAAGAUAAUAAAAGUGCCUUUAAUAGUAUUAAUAUAUCCAUUGACUUGAGCUGUCAUCGAUCGGUUUGGGCUACUUCGAUUCCAUGAGAACAAAUGGUAAUAAAAGUACUCAGAAAAUGGGGAGUCAUGAAACCCUUUUGUUCUAUUCAUUGCUAAGAUGCUUUUCUCUAUAAAGACACUUCCUAACGAAAAUACUUUGUAGAUUUCUUUACUCCAAGUGGUGCAUGGAAAAUUAAUAUUUUCAAUUAUCAAAUAAAAUUCCCUUUUUUCGGUGUAGAUUUCAUCCAUUCAGCUGUUAACACUCCGAAUUGACUAAUCUUUUCGUUUCCAUUUUCCAACUUGCGAAUACGGCAUCUUACAUAUUGUCUGCUGAAUAUGAAUACAUAUCCCUUUUCUGAGCAGGUGCAGAGUCAUUAUCAUUUUUAUUCCCACCUAACAAAUUAGUUAAUAAUCUUUUAAAGAACAUGUUAAAUUAAUUUAUUGGUAUGAAUAGUAGUCAAAGAAGUAUGUUAAAGUUAGUAAUCUUUAAAAUAAUAUGUUAAAAUUAUUCGUACAAAUUAGCCAGAGAAGUAGCAUAAACACCGCGAUGCAAUUAAUACUUUCAAUCUCAAGGUCUCUAUUAUGGAAAUUUGCAUCGGUCAACAUACACAAAGCAUUAUUGUAUGCACGUCUCUCUAUUAUGGAAAUUUGCAUAGGUCAAUAUACACUUGGCAUAGUUGCAUGCACGUCCAAUUUUUUUUUAUUUUUAUUUUUGGUAUUUUACUUCCUGCCUUAAGUUGCCUGCAGAUGUUUGUAUUACAAAUAUAUGGUAUACUAAAUAUAUAGUAUGCACAUUAAUUUCUUUGGGUUGCUUAAGGGUAUAUUGUUAAUAAUAGGGGGUUUAACCAUAAAUUAUAACAAUGAUGAAGUAAUAUAUAUUAGAAAAUUAACACAAUUAUGAUUUUUUUUUUUGUAAAAUUCAAAUUUUAUUAAUAAGAAAUGAAAUAGGCAGUAAGCAUUUACAAACCGAAAACAAAAUCCUACAACAACUCUAGGACUCUACACCUUAUUAAAAAAAAACAUUUUGAUAGCGUUUUUCCAAAAGCAGAAGAUGGAAAAUUGCCCAUUUGUACUGGGGAGUUCGUGAUCUUUUCCUCAUUCUAGUCUACUUACAAUUCUUGGAAAAAGGAAUACUCACAUCUCAAACAACAGCCUGUUCAUCUGCAGUGUCCUGCCGAAUUCUAGAAAGUUUGGUGGCAAUGUUAAUUACAUUUCAAAAUUGACUGCUGCGAUAACUAAUUCGAUGGCUUACUACAUGGUCAACGUUUGGAUCUCUUCCUGUCCUUUUUGGAUGCACAUUUUUUUUCUCUAGGUAAUAUAUAAUCUCCCAACUCAUUUCUUUACAAAUGCACCUUUAAUCACCACCAAAAGGUGUGGACAUGAUCUUUACCCUAGAAAACUAUUCACCGACAGGCAAAUUGACGUCAGAAAUACUAAGAGGAAUUCUAGUUUCCUUCGGGUUAAUGCCAUUUUGUACCCUUCAACUGUAACUCAAUUUCUAAGCUGUAAUUUGUGACAUUAUAGUCCUUAAACUAUGAAACCCUUUCUUAUUUAAUUACAAUGGUUAAUACAAUGCCCGUGACUAGACAAGUAUGAAGCAACCAUAACAAAAAAAAAAUCCAAAAUUAGAGAAAAGAAAGAAGUUGCGACCAAAGUAUGUAUCAAGGCAUAGUAUAGAAAUAAAAGUGUCAAAAUUAAGAGUUUAGGGAUAAAAAAGAAUCAAAAUAUAGUUUAGGAAUUGAUUUGUCUCAAUUAGAGUUUAGAUGUCAACUAAGAAGAGAGAUAUAGUUGAAGGGUAGAAUAUAGAUAUAACAGUUCAAUGAUUGAUAUCAACGAGACAAUGACAACUUUGGAUUAUUACCAACCUCUUCUUGAUGGAAAAGGAAAUAGAGAAGAAAGUCGGGCCUGGUCUAAGCCUGUUUCGGAGGCAAAACAACAUUAUGAAAUCACCGGCAUUCACACAAAUAUGUCAAAGUCACCGGCAUGCUAAGUUGCAAAAUUUAUACAAACACUGAAUAUUAUAUUCUUCUCAAAAUUUUUGUUUAAGAUUUAACAAUUAGAGCACGGUACACGAAUUAGCAAUAUUAAAUAAUGAAUGUUCACGAUUGAUAAAGUUAUCAAAGUACAGUUUGAGGACAACCCAUUCCAACGUGUACAAGAUGUUUAGCCUUUGAAAAGUUAAUUAGAGAAGGUGACGAGAUUUUACUAGGCUUACAACUUCUAGGCCUUGGGAGUAAAAAGUGAAGACACUGAGUGCUAUAAAAAGGGGGCUAGAUGUUGCCUAGAAGCAUAUCAGCCUCGGACCACAUUUUGUAGCAAUGGGGAGCAAAGCAAAAGCAAUGGGGUCUAGGCUGACUCCUCUUUUUACCACCGUUUUAGUGGUAUUUGUUGCACUUGGCUUGCCUUCAGAAACUGCAGCUGAUUACGACAAGUAUUCACCUCCUCCUCCUCCUUACCAUUAUUACUCACCACCACCUCUUGUGCAUUCACCUCCACCACCGCCAGUUUAUAAGUCACCCCCACCACCUUAUCACUACUUCUCACCACCACCUCCAGUGUAUCCAUCUCCACCACCAUCUGUUUACAAGUCACCUCCACCACCUUCGCCAGUAUACAAGUCCCCACCACCACCUUAUCAAUAUUCCUCACCACCACCUCCAGUGCAUUCACCUCCACCACCACCGAUUUAUAAGUCACCUCCACCACCUCCUCCAGUUUACAAGUCCCCGCCACCACCUUACCAUUAUUCCGCACCAUCACCUCCAGUGCAUUCACCUCCACCACCACCGAUUUACAAGUCACCUCCACCACCUCCUCCAGUUUACAAGUCUCCAUCACCACCUUACCAUUAUUCCUCACCACCACCUCCAGUGCAUUCACCCCUACCACCACCGGUUUACAAGUCUCUGCCACCACCUUACCAUUAUUCCUCACCACCACCUCCUAUGCAUGCACCUCCACCACCAAUAUACAAGUCACCUCCACCACCUCCUCCAGUUUACAAGUCUCCACCACCACCUUACCAUUAUUCCUCACCACCACCUCCAGUGCAUUCACCCCUACCACCACCAGUUUACAAGUCUCCGCCACCACCUUACCAUUAUUCCUCACCACCACCUCCUGUGCAUGCACUGCCACCACCAAUUUACAAGUCACCUCCACCACCUCCUCCAGUUUACAAGUCCCCACCACCACCUUACCAUUAUUCCUCACCACUACCUCCAGUGCAUUCACCUCCACCACCACCGAUUUACAAGUCACCUUCACCACCUCCUCCAGUUUACAAGUCUUCACCACCACCUUACCAUUAUUCCUCACCACCACCACUCUUCAAUUUGGAUGUAAUUCAAUUUUCCUUGUAAUCGGUGGCCCUCCUUCGGAAUCCAAAUAGUCAUUGAGUGCAGCCUUCUUUCUUUAUUUUUUACUCAUUUUCACCUCAUAAAUUGCUUUCAUCCCCUAAAACUUGUUCGCUGGAAUUUUGAAUUUACCCAUACAACUAAACUCAGAAAAUUCUUACACAAAGGGAUUAGUAGCAUGAAUAGCAAACACAGAAUAAGAGAUAACAGUAUGUUUUAUUGUAUUAAAAAUAUUAAAGUGGAUUAUUUCUCCAUCGAAUUCCAUUGUGAGAGUAUCGUUACUAACAUCAAUCUUAGUUUGAGCAGUACUCAAGAAUGACCUUCCUAAUAUAAUGGGUGAUGGAUUUGGGACACUUUCAUCAUCCAUAUAAAACACAUAAAAAUCAACAGAAAAAAUUAAUCCAUCUACUUGAACUAAAAACAUCCUCAACUACCCCAUUUAGAUAAGCAAAUAUACGAUCAGCCAAUUGAAUUAUUAUCCCUAUUUCUUUUAAAUGUUCUAAAUUUAGGGAAUCAUAAAUUGAUUUAGACAUCACAUUAAUAGAAAUCUUUAAAUCUAUCAUGGCAUUUUUUAUAUUAGAAUGUCCAAUCUUACAUGAGAUAGUAAACAUACCUAGAUUCUCGCAUUUAGGUGGUAGUUUCCUUUGUAAAAUUGCUGAAACGUUCUCAUCUACCACAAUAUGCUUGUCCUCCUCAAUUUCUUCUUGUUGACACACAAGUUUUUCAAGCAUUUAACGUAUUUUGGAACUUAUUUGAUUUGCGUCCAACAAAGGGAUAUUGAUUGCCACCUUGCGAAAAUCUCUAAAAUCUCCUUUUCUUUAUCUUGUUUCUUUGAUUUCUCUAACCUGCUUGGAAAAGGUGGUGAGUUAGUUCCAACUCUAAUUAUAGAAUCAACAAUUACCUUUGGAUUCACAUUUCUCAUUCCUUCCUCCUCAAGCUCUUUGUCGAUUCGAUCUUCAUUUUUAUCCUUUGGAAUCACAACUUCGGAUCCCUGAAUUUUCUUCUCGCUCCUUAAGGUCAUUACACUUACAUUCUUCAGGUUCAGUUCAGGUUGAGACGACAAUUUUUCAUAGAUUUGGGAUUCCAGGCGGUUGAUUGCUAUUACCAUCUGACUCAUCUGACUCUGCAGUGCUUGCACCUGUCCCAAUUGAUUCCUCAUACUUUGCAAGUCAAAAUCCAUCUUUUGUUGAUUAGCAAUUAAUUGCUUCAUUAUCUCUUCUAUAGAUGGACUUGAGUUUGAAAGAGGUGGUGGCGGGCGAGACUGAUACUGUUAUUGAUACCCUUGCUAUCUAUUUGGUGCAAAAUCUGGCUACCUAUUUCCUCCAUAGCUGAGGUUGGGAUGAUCUCUCCAACCAAUAUUGUACGUAUUCGUGUACGAGUCGUAUGGUUUUCUUGGCACGGCGCGUGACCAGCCAUGUUCACUUGCUCCGUACUUUUCUCUUGAAUCAUUGAGCACAUCUCUGUAGAAUGACCCAUAGCAGUGCAGAUCCCACACAUCUUGACUCGUGAUGCAUUUCCUAUAGCUAAUUGCCUAACAAAGGAUGUUAAUUCGGUCAACUGCUGUUGGAUAGAAUAUGUUUCUACCUCAUUUACUUUGCGUGUUGGGGCAUCCUCCCUCGUACCAAACUGUUGCGAAUUUUCCGCCAUUCCUUCAACUAGCUCCCACGCUUCUCGAGAAGUCUUGUUCACCAAUGCCCUUCUACUUGCAGCAUCAAUUAUACUCCUGUCUCUAAAACGCAGCCCCUCGCAAAAAUAUUGGAUGAGCAAUUGCUCACUUAUUUGGUGUUGAGGGAACUUGAUGCAUAACUUCUUGAAUCGCUCCCAAUAAUCAUAAAGCGACUCUCCUGGAUGCUACUUGAUACCGUAUAUCUCCUUCCUUAGACUUGCAGCUCGAGAUGCAAGAAAAUAUUUGUCCAAGAACUUUUUCUUCAGCUGAUCCCACGUGGUGAUGCUACCUGGUGGUAGAUAGCACAGCCAGUCUUUUGCGGAGUCCUUCAAGGAGAAGGGAAAUGCCCUCAUUUUUAUCUAUUUUUCUGUAAUUCUCGGAGGUUUUAUGCUGUUGCAAACGACAUCAAACUCUUGCAAGUGCUUAUACGGUUCCUCACCUGGUAAACCAUAGAAAGAUGGCAAGAGAUGAAUUAGACCAGAUUUUAACUCAAAUGAAGUGUUAUCAUUUAAAAAUAGAAAAGUAACUGAGAUGCAGCACUGGAAUGUUCUUCUCGAAAUUGUCUGGUCUCUUUCUUUGUUCUACGCGUAGUCUUCUCUACCUUAGGAUCAAAAAUUAAUUUACCUGUACGAGAAGAACGAGGCAUACACUAGAAAAACACUAGAAAAUUAGAACAAAAAUGAACAUAAAAAGAAACAAAUAAACCAACGUCAGUCCCCAGCAACGGCGCUAAAAAUUGACAAGUUGUCGAUGCCUGUGCAAUAAUAAAAAUAAACCUAGUUACCAAUUAAAAUAAUCAGAGCCUAAUUCUGAGUACUAGAGCAGGGACUAUAGGUGUGCAAUGGGUUACUUGAUUCACCCUAUUCCUGAAGUUUGCUUAACCCGAUAUACCAGAAUGAGAUUGCUUAUUCAAAAGGAAUUAUUGAUUUGUAAACAGGGCAAGUAGGGUCGUAUCAUCAGGGAUUGAAAAAAUUUGUUUCUUUUCAAAUCCACAGUAACAAGGGGAUGUUUUUGUAUAAAUGAUAACAAUCUAAGGAGUGCAAAUAGAAAUAAAUAGAUAACUAGAAAUUAAAUGACAAUUCACUAAAAUUAGAGUAAUAAUAAUUAAAGGUCUAGCUAAGAAAUAACUUCAGCAAUGGUUCACCUAAUUGAUCAUCGACGCAAAGGCAAUUCCAAUUAUUUACUAAUAAAUAGGUUAUAACUGCAAAACAAGCAAUGACAGUCAACCCCUCCUUACUGUCGGUCGGUGAUUAAGGUACGCCCAAUCACUGCUCUAGUUGAGAAAUAAUUUUAGGGACGCUCGUAAGAUUUAAUUUUCCAAUUGCCUUACGUAUUAGAGGAGCCAUAAUCUAACCAAAUAACGCUACCAGGAUUAUUUUAAAUUAACCCGUGUAUUCCCUUGAUACAAAUUCAAUCAUGUCAGUUGUCACUAUUUCAAGGUAAUGAAACAAUUACGGAUUUAAUAUCCUAAUUGACAAUAGGUUACUAAAUCAAUUCACUAUUUCGAUCCAAGAUAAUCAAUCAAUUUAACAACUAAUAGCACUGCAAUCGGAGAAUAUGUAAAUACCAAUAAAUAAGAGGAAAAGAUAAAAUUAAAUCGAUCUCACAAUUUUUAAACAAAUCAAAGUAUCCGUUGUUUCUUGACUAGAAAAGAAAAUUUAGUUCAUUCCUAAUGUGAAAGACCCACGUGAGAAUUCAAAAAUAAUAUUCACGGAUAUUGUCUUGAUUCAAUAGAUUCAAUUGCGUUGGAAUAAGGAUAAAAAGCCAAACUAUAGAGAGUGAUUCAAUGUUUUGUUUCGUUUGCAUUUUUUCUACACAUAUGGAAGAAGAAAAACAACUAAAGGACGAAAAAAAAAAGUCAAAGAAAGGCACCCAAAGUAGUGCUUGGUCUCUACCAUCCUAUUUCCUAUCUAAUUACUACUUCCCUUCUGCGGCUGCCUAGAGGAAGAAAGAGAAAGCAGACUUCAGGUCUUGUUCCAUCUCCUCCCUUUUCGGCAAUUCCCCAAAAGUAGAAAAGUUCCUCCGUUUACCAAAAUGCCCCUGGAAUGAGGACUGCUACUUGAACUCAUUUUCUUGAUAACUGUCAAAUUAGCACUUGUUAUGGUAUUUGCGUCUACUUCCUGUAAUAAAUGUAAAUUGCCAAAAGUGAGUAAACUGAUAAUUAAUUUACAUCAGGUCAGGUAAUAGGAAAAAUUAAUUAUAAAAUAAAUGAUAAAAUUGCAACCUAUCACUUAGAAUAACCAGAAAUAAAACAAAACAAGAAAUGAAAGAAAUAAGAGGGUAGCAUAGACAUUUUGGAUUUUUCUGUUAAUUUGGAUGAUUUCCACCUACGGUCUAAUUUAAUCCAAAACACAAAUGGAUUAUGUGGAGAUUUUUAAACAAUGAGGGAGUAUCGUGACCGAAUCCCAAACCACAAAGGGGAUUUACUAUAUUUUACUCUUAAAUUUUGGUUUCAUCUCAUAGCAUACAAGAGUACUAUUUCACUGUCUGUCGACCAGGGAGGAGGGUUGGGUUGGGUGGUACGGGGGAGGGAGUCUAAGUAAGAGGUCUCAGGUUCGAAUCCUCCUGUUUAUACUAAAAAAAAAAAUUUACUAUCUGUCGACAAAGAUUUUCUAUGGUUGAUGUACCAUAGGAAAAAUCUGCCUAUACAAUUAUUUGGAAAAAUUAUCCAUCCAAACAUAGUCACGAUAGCAUUUUUUCAAAAACACUAGAUGCAAAAUUGUCCCCUUAAACGUGGAAAUUCAUGAUCUUUCCUCGACUAGUCUACUUGUCAAUUUUUGAAAAAAGAAUACUCACGCCAAAAACACGGCCUCUUCAUCUGCAGAAUUCUAAAAAGUUACGUAAACUCUAUAAACAAGUUGAUAGGUACAAUCGUACCCAAGAUCAAGUACAGAUAGUUGUACAUUCACUGCUGCAAUAACUAAUCUGAUGACUUACAAACACAUCAUGGUCAAUCGUUGAAUGGUAAUGAGUCUUUUGUUAUGCAUUAGUAUUAGUGUGUACACUCUAAUAGAUUGAUACUUAUACUCUUUAAAUUAUCAUAAUAAUACCCUUAAUUAACUUUAACCCUUAAAAAGAAUACGUGUUAAUACACGAGAGUGUGUAACCUGAAUUGUUACUUAUACAUUAGUGUGUAAUAGAACGGCAAGCAUUAUGGUGGUCAUUGAGCAACUUAUAGGAGAAAUAGUCCUAUAAGCUGUUCAAUGACCAAUCACAACUUGCUAAUUGGAUGACUAAUAUAGCUCUAGCUGUAAUGUUUUAAUUAAAUUCCACACUAACGUUGGGAUGACUUUUUAAUCAAAAAAAAAAAAGCCUUAGUUCAAGCUUUUCCCCUUAUUGUGCAUUUUUUAAAACAUUUGAUAGGCACUGCAAAUCUGUCAUUUUGGACAUUUUAUUAUUAACUAACAAUGAAAGCCGUGGACAUCAACCCAUAUCCAACAAAAUAUUAAAUUAAUAUUAGAAAAAUUAUUAAGUAAUUGGAAAAAAAAAAGAAGAGGCUAAUUUUCAUUGAAACCCACCGACAAACUAUCCGUGUCCAUAGCUUUUGAAUAGUGCAUUCAACGUUUAAUUGUAUGGUCCAGUUCAUUGCCGAUUACAUGGAGUAAAGAUUGUGCUCUUUCCUUUUUCACCCCUUUUGGAAUCGAUACUGUGGAGAAUUGGGUUUUUCCCUCCUUUUUUUCUUUUCUUUCCUUCUGUGCUUUGCAAAACAUACGUAAAAAUAUGAAAUCCGAAGCAUUCUUUAAUUGGGAUUAAGUAUUGUUGUUGAAAUUAAAAAGAAGAAAGAAAGAACAACAAAAAUCCCAAUCUGGGUUGAUUGUUGAGCUCUAGAUUGGCUGCAUCGUGCUUCCAUAGAAGUUCUCUUAGUGUGAUACGCUGCUUUCAAUCAGUUUUAAUAUUUAAGUAGAGUGCAAAAUAACUUUACUAUUUAAUGGGUUAUAAUGCACCAUUUGGUACCUCUCACCCACCUAUGAUUUGAUUUACUACUGGCAUGGUAAUGGACAGAGUUGGGGGAGCAGGAGGAGGGAGAUGGCGGUACCAGUCCGUCAACCACAGCACACCCUCCCUCGGACUUUGCGUGGUAGCGAAGUGGAGGCAGAUCGAGCACACAUGCACUAACGCCUUAAGUAUGUACAAUAUAUGUAUGCCAAAAGCAUAGCCAAGCCUACCAGCGCAUUUCAAUAAUAUAACCCGGAAAUUAAGGGCAUUGAAUUAAGUACGAUGAAUCAUAUUGGUGCACAAUUACAGUUUGAAGCUACCGAUUCGAGUAAAUUUAAGCGUAAGCACAAUCAAUCGCCAGUCAAAUGCUGAAAUAUGCAUAUGCAUGGAUGAAUGUAUGGGUUUCUUAGUUCCAGACCAAAGGCCAACAAUAAGGGAAGGAAGGACAGUUCUCAUUUUUAGCACGGACAAGGAGAUGAAGAAAAGUGUAUGUAGCUUGAGACAGAACAAUGGCAUGUGACCGCUCCUGAGACCACAUAACGUGGGGUGGGGAUGGGACGGCCAAGAAUGAAGAUGCCUGUCGGUCUCUCCGUGCUGCUACCAUAUGAAUCCCCCGUUAACCAAUUCAAGAUAAGCCUGAAGUUCUUUUCAUCCCCAAACCCUGUCCCAUCUGUGUAAAUCCAACAUCAUCAUUUACGACCUGCAACUCAGGUUAAGCAUGUUCUAUUGAGAUUCAGACACCACCCUUCAAAAGAUAUACUACUGUGAAACCAGCAGCUUAAUAUCAUUGUAUAAAAAAAAAAAAAAAAGAAAGAAGAAAAGACAUGAAAAGCAAAUUUUGUGGGGAUAAUUUCAAAAUCUCUCCUAAAGUUUUUUACUAUUUUACUGGCCUCCUUUCAAAUUUUAAAAAUUACACCAGUCUUCCUUGAGAUUAUUUAUCUUGUAACAUUGAGGUCCAAUCAAUAAUUAAAAAAUGAUAUUAUGAGAGAGAAAAAAAAUAAACUUUAACAUCAUAAAUAUUCUUAUCAACAUAUUAAAGUUAGUUACUGAAAUUUUUAUGGUGUUAAACUUCACUCUUUGUAAUAUUUUAGUUACAGAUUUUUUGAUUACUUGUUGUUGAUUUUUUUUUUUUUAGUGUAAACAGGAGGACUCGAACCUAAGACCUCUCACUUACACUCCCUCCCCCCGUACCACCCCAACCCAACCCAACCCUCCCCUCGUUGUUGAUCAUGUUUGACAAUGGAUUUGUAAUUGAAAAGAACAAUUUGGAUCUUACAUUGAGUGAAAUAUAUAGAAUGAUAUACUAUUUUUUAUGGCAUAUGUGAUUCAAUCCUUGAUGAUAAAAGCAAAUUCAAGUGUUUUCUUUAAUGUUUGUGCUGAUAUUAGAUUAAUUAAAUAAUUUAGUAGAUGAAGGAAAAUGGUGAAAUCAUAUUAUCUUCUCUUUCCUAAUAUCACUAUUUAAUUAUUGAUUGAACUUAGAUAUUACAAAUAAUAAAUCUCAAGGGAGAUUAGUAUAAUUUUCAAAUUUUGGAGAGAAGCUAAUGAAAUAGUCAAAAACCUUAAGGGAGGUUUACAAAAUUAUCCCAAAUUUGUGGGAAUUAGAAUAAUUGUACUGGACGGCACUGCCGCAACAGAGGGAAAGAGGAGGAGGUGCAGUUAACUUUUUGUUGUUUGAAAUCCUUGGUGAAAUAUUACAGAAAGACAGAUAAAACAGUUAGUACAUAGAUGUAUAUGACAGGGAAAAUGGUACGUCUGUUAAUCACAUUUGAAACACUUUCAUUGGUGAAUGACGAAAACUAUCAGGCUUGCCCAAUAGUUGAUCAUUGACCAAGACAAAUCUUGCCAUGCUAGAGGUACCAUCUUUUCGUACCUCUUUAGUGCACAGGACAUUCCUUUGUUUCAUCUAGCUAAUAAUCUACCAACUCAUUUCUUUGCAAAUGCACCUUUUAUGGUCACGUCUACGAAAGCUUUACAGGAUCUUUACCCAAAAAAUCAAUUCACCGACUCGCAUUUGAUGUCAAAAUUUCUUUACUUUACUCCAAGAUUGACUGUUAAUAAUAAUGCCACUUUGAAUUAUCACACCAUCCUUCUUGAUAGGAUUUGUGCUAGAGGUAGGGAGGGAGUCGCUGCAGCCGGUCUUCUCUUCAUAGACAGUACAAUAUUGCGAAAUCGAUCGCAUUCACGCAAUAUUAUAUUUCCAAGUCGUUGCAUGGGUAAGCUGCCAAAAAGUACGAACACAUGUUAUUAUAUAGCUUAAGAUUCAAAACUUUCGAGCAUAACCCUCCACCUAACACAAUUGAAUAAUGGAUAUUCACGAUUGUCAAAUCUGUCAAAGUACAGUUUGAGGACAACCCAUUCCAACCUGCAAAAGGUUUUUUUACUUUUCUAAAGUUGUUGAGAGCUGUUAAAAGAUUUACCAUGCUUACAUCUUCCGAGCCUUGGGAGUUAAAAAUGAAGGCACUGAGUGCUAUAAAAAGGGAAUAGAGGCUGCCUAGAAGCAUACCAGCCUAAAACAAGGAUUUGUAGUUAUGAUGGGAAGCAAAGCAAAAGCAAUGGGGUCUGGGCUGACUCCUCUUCUUGCCACUGUUUUAGUGGUGUUUGUUGCUCUUGGCUUGCCCUCAGAAACUGCAGCUGAUGAUCACUACAAGUAUUCAUCUCCUCCUCCUCCUUACACUAUCCCUCACCACCACCUCCAGUGCAUAUACCUCCACCUCAUCCUGUUUACAAGUACAAAUCUCCACCACCCCCACCACCACACCCAGUUUACAAGUAUAAGUCACCACCACCACCUCCUCAUCCGGUACCACACCCAGUUCCUCAUCCGGUGCCACACCCAGUUCCUCAUCCGGUGCCACACCCAGUUUACAAGUAUAAGUCACCACCACCACCUCCUCAUCCGGUACCACACCCAGUUCCUCAUCCGGUACCCACACCCAGUUUACAAGUAUAAGUCACACCACCACCUCCUCAUCCGGUACCACACCCAGUUUACAAGUAUAAGUCACCACCACCACCUCCUCAUCCGGUAUACAAGUAUAAGUCUCUCCGCCACCAACACCCAGUUUACAAGUAUAAGUCACCACCACCACCUCCUCAUCCGGUGCCACACCCAGUUUACCACUACAAGUCACCACCACCACCUCCUCAUCCGGUACCACACCAGUUUACCAUACAAGUCACCACCAAUCCUCACCCAGUUUACAAAUACGAGUCUCCACCACCUCCAGUUUAUAAGUACAAGUCACCACCACCUCCUCCACCAGUUUACAAGUAUAAAUCUCCUCCACCACCACCACCAGUUUACCACUACAAGUCUCCACCACCUCCUCCCCCAGUUUACAAAUACAAGUCUCCACCACCUCCUCACCACUACUAAGCAAUUGCUUCUGAGGUAAUAACACUUGUUCAAUAUACCCACUUCUGCAUGAUAAAGCAUAUCUCUAUCAACACAAACUGUCAUGUCUAUCAUGCUAAGUGCCUUCACUUCAUCCACCAAAAUGACUGCUAGAAAAUUUUUUUUAUGUUACCAAAGAAAGGCAUCAUUUUUUCCCUCUGUUAUCAAGAACUUGUACAGUAUAUAGAUUAAAGAGUUUUUAUUUUAACUAGCUUAUCAACUUAGAAAUGCAUAUAGCUGAUAACCAGCUGAAUAUUUGCAGGCAAAGGAGAAGGAAACCAUGUUUGAGACCUUCUUGAAGAUGUAGAAGCAUAAGAAUAAAAGCCCAAUGUGAAGAUGAUGAUUUCAAGUUUUUCUACGUUACCAUUUCUUUAUCUAAAUUGGUUGUAGCGCCCAAGUUCCUUUGUUUAUGGGAUUUGUAUCGUUUUACGUACCAUGCAGUACAUGUCAUGUUUGUAAGGUUUUCUAUCCUGCCGGCAAACCGCAGGUUCCAUGUGAUAAAUGAAUACUAUUUAUGUUACGACA